RNAcentral lists this long non-coding RNA (89859 nucleotides) under Brassica napus (rape). RNAcentral describes it as "long non-coding RNA (BNAP_LNC006401)". The record is from RNAcentral. Lineage: Eukaryota; Viridiplantae; Streptophyta; Magnoliopsida; Brassicales; Brassicaceae.
CAUUCUUGGUGCGCCAUCAAUCUCCGCAACUUCCAUACCGGUCACGAUCAUACCAGGAACGACCUCCCUAGUCAAUCUCACAAUCGCAUCUUCAGCGGUGUUCAUGUCGAGAGCUUUCAUCCCAGGAACAUGGUCGAUCAACCCAAUACUCUUCAACCUCUUCACACCAGUGGCUCCAAAGGGACCGUCGUGACCGCACGAGCUGACAACAAUCUUGGCUUCCAUGACGUUUGGGUCCAUGCAAGACUGUGCAUCGGUCAAUCUGAAAUAUUGGGGUGAGAGUGAAUUUCACCAAGUAAAAAUCUCGAACCUCUGACGACGACGUCUUCUUAGAUACUUGAAUUUUUUUGCGUUUUCGGUGUUUAACGUUUUGGGGAGGAACGUAUGAUUGGAAAGGGGAGGGUCGAAUCUUAGCGACAAAGGGCUGAAUCUCAGUGGAUCGUGGCAGCAAGGCCACUCUGCCACUUACAAUACCCCGUCGCGUAUUUAAGUCGUCUGCAAAGGAUUCUACCCGCCACUCGGUGGUAAUUAUAAUUCAAGGCGGUCCGNNNNNNNNNNNNNNNNNNNNNNNNNNNNNNNNNNNNNNNNNNNNNNNNNNNNNNNNNNNNNNNNNNNNNNNNNNNNNNNNNNNNNNNNNNNNNNNNNNNNNNNNNNNNNNNNNNNNNNNNNNNNNNNNNNNNNNNNNNNNNNNNNNNNNNNNNNNNNNNNNNNNNNNNNNNNNNNNNNNNNNNNNNNNNNNNNNNNNNNNNNNNNNNNNNNNNNNNNNNNNNNNNNNNNNNNNNNNNNNNNNNNNNNNNNNNNNNNNNNNNNNNNNNNNNNNNNNNNNNNNNNNNNNNNNNNNNNNNNNNNNNNNNNNNNNNNNNNNNNNNNNNNNNNNNNNNNNNNNNNNNNNNNNNNNNNNNNNNNNNNNNNNNNNNNNNNNNNNNNNNNNNNNNNNNNNNNNNNNNNNNNNNNNNNNNNNNNNNNNNNNNNNNNNNNNNNNNNNNNNNNNNNNNNNNNNNNNNNNNNNNNNNNNNNNNNNNNNNNNNNNNNNNNNNNNNNNNNNNNNNNNNNNNNNNNNNNNNNNNNNNNNNNNNNNNNNNNNNNNNNNNNNNNNNNNNNNNNNNNNNNNNNNNNNNNNNNNNNNNNNNNNNNNNNNNNNNNNNNNNNNNNNNNNNNNNNNNNNNNNNNNNNNNNNNNNNNNNNNNNNNNNNNNNNNNNNNNNNNNNNNNNNNNNNNNNNNNNNNNNNNNNNNNNNNNNNNNNNNNNNNNNNNNNNNNNNNNNNNNNNNNNNNNNNNNNNNNNNNNNNNNNNNNNNNNNNNNNNNNNNNNNNNNNNNNNNNNNNNNNNNNNNNNNNNNNNNNNNNNNNNNNNNNNNNNNNNNNNNNNNNNNNNNNNNNNNNNNNNNNNNNNNNNNNNNNNNNNNNNNNNNNNNNNNNNNNNNNNNNNNNNNNNNNNNNNNNNNNNNNNNNNNNNNNNNNNNNNNNNNNNNNNNNNNNNNNNNNNNNNNNNNNNNNNNNNNNNNNNNNNNNNNNNNNNNNNNNNNNNNNNNNNNNNNNNNNNNNNNNNNNNNNNNNNNNNNNNNNNNNNNNNNNNNNNNNNNNNNNNNNNNNNNNNNNNNNNNNNNNNNNNNNNNNNNNNNNNNNNNNNNNNNNNNNNNNNNNNNNNNNNNNNNNNNNNNNNNNNNNNNNNNNNNNNNNNNNNNNNNNNNNNNNNNNNNNNNNNNNNNNNNNNNNNNNNNNNNNNNNNNNNNNNNNNNNNNNNNNNNNNNNNNNNNNNNNNNNNNNNNNNNNNNNNNNNNNNNNNNNNNNNNNNNNNNNNNNNNNNNNNNNNNNNNNNNNNNNNNNNNNNNNNNNNNNNNNNNNNNNNNNNNNNNNNNNNNNNNNNNNNNNNNNNNNNNNNNNNNNNNNNNNNNNNNNNNNNNNNNNNNNNNNNNNNNNNNNNNNNNNNNNNNNNNNNNNNNNNNNNNNNNNNNNNNNNNNNNNNNNNNNNNNNNNNNNNNNNNNNNNNNNNNNNNNNNNNNNNNNNNNNNNNNNNNNNNNNNNNNNNNNNNNNNNNNNNNNNNNNNNNNNNNNNNNNNNNNNNNNNNNNNNNNNNNNNNNNNNNNNNNNNNNNNNNNNNNNNNNNNNNNNNNNNNNNNNNNNNNNNNNNNNNNNNNNNNNNNNNNNNNNNNNNNNNNNNNNNNNNNNNNNNNNNNNNNNNNNNNNNNNNNNNNNNNNNNNNNNNNNNNNNNNNNNNNNNNNNNNNNNNNNNNNNNNNNNNNNNNNNNNNNNNNNNNNNNNNNNNNNNNNNNNNNNNNNNNNNNNNNNNNNNNNNNNNNNNNNNNNNNNNNNNNNNNNNNNNNNNNNNNNNNNNNNNNNNNNNNNNNNNNNNNNNNNNNNNNNNNNNNNNNNNNNNNNNNNNNNNNNNNNNNNNNNNNNNNNNNNNNNNNNNNNNNNNNNNNNNNNNNNNNNNNNNNNNNNNNNNNNNNNNNNNNNNNNNNNNNNNNNNNNNNNNNNNNNNNNNNNNNNNNNNNNNNNNNNNNNNNNNNNNNNNNNNNNNNNNNNNNNNNNNNNNNNNNNNNNNNNNNNNNNNNNNNNNNNNNNNNNNNNNNNNNNNNNNNNNNNNNNNNNNNNNNNNNNNNNNNNNNNNNNNNNNNNNNNNNNNNNNNNNNNNNNNNNNNNNNNNNNNNNNNNNNNNNNNNNNNNNNNNNNNNNNNNNNNNNNNNNNNNNNNNNNNNNNNNNNNNNNNNNNNNNNNNNNNNNNNNNNNNNNNNNNNNNNNNNNNNNNNNNNNNNNNNNNNNNNNNNNNNNNNNNNNNNNNNNNNNNNNNNNNNNNNNNNCAUUUAGGCGGUCUAGGCGGAAAAAAAUCGGUGAUCCGAUUUUUUUCACCGAUUUGGCAUAAAUCGGGGCGGAAUAGUGACGCGUAGCGCCUAGGCGGCCGCCUAGGCGGCUAGGCGGCCGAUUUUUAGAACAGGGAUUAGUCUAAAUGGACAUGGUUACUAUUUUUUUGCUCUAAAAAAACAGUUUUCCCUAUAUUUUUUUGUAACGCCCAACUACUAAUAAUUCAAUUAGCAUUUUUUUCUAACCCAAUUGAUUAAUCAAAAAAAGACAAGUUUGCUUCGGAGGAAGCAACCAUAAAAAUGAAAAAUAAACAAAACGUCAUCUAUUUAUACUAAUUUGGAGGAACAUGUACGUCAUGAUGCGGUUAAAAUAAUUCAUCAACAAGGAAUGAAAGAUGUUUUCAUUAGCAUGUCCGAUGAUGAACGUUAUGGUUGGAUACGAAGAUACAACUUGUAUAUAAUGAUGUAAACACUGAUAUAAAAACUUGUAGGCACUAUAUGGGGUAAUAAUAUUAACACGUUAUCAUUAUGGUAUCUCUCUACUUAACUAUGACUUAUUAUUGGGUUCACUCCUAAGGUGAACCUAUCAACUAAUCGGAUUGUGUUAUUUCAUAUUUGAUAUCUUUUAAAAAGGGAAACAAAAUAUUGUCAAAUUAUAUUAUCGUUUUAAAACUAAUAGGUAAAAAUAAAUAAAUAAAAAAUAGUAGUAAUUACAAAAAAAAAAAUUUAACAUCGUCAGCAAAACAUUAAACCAUAAAUCCUAAACCCUAAAUCCUUGGGUAAACCCUAAACUUUAGGGUAAAUCUUAAACUCUAAAUCAAAAUCACUAAACACUAAAACACUCAAGGGUUUAGGGUUUAUAGUUUUAGGGUUUAGUAUUUUUAUUUAGAGUACGAUUUAUCCAAGGGUUUAGGGUGUUUAUCCAAGGGUUUAGGGUUUACCCAAGGGUUUAGGGUUUAGGUUUAAGAUUUAGGGUUUAGAGAUUAGGAUUUAGGGUUUAGUGUUUUGCUGACAACGUUAAAAAUAUUUUUUUUUAAUUCUUUUUUCUGUAACUAGUUUUUUUUUUUACUUUUUAAAAAAAAAAUAUAAUAUAACUUGACAAUAUUUUGUUUCCUUUUUUAAAAGAUAUCGAAUUUAAAAUAAUGAAAUCCUAUUGGUCGGUGAACCUAGAGGUUCACCCUAGGGGUGAACCCAAGAAUAACUCCUUAACUAUUUGGCUGAUUUAUGAUAAUCCAAUUAUUUUGAUUUUGAAAUCUAUAUCAUUGAUUCUCAAAUCUACUUAUUUGACUUUAAAAUCUAUGUAUUUAUCAAAAAUUUCUAAAUCCAAGAAAGAAUCUUAAAUUCAUUAAAAUACUAUAACGGUAUAACCAAUAACCUCCACUUAUUUUGCGUCAUACAAAAAAAGUUGAGAAGAGUUCUCACUUCUCAUGAAACGAAAGUAACUGCACAAAAUCAAUUCACUGCACGCGCACAAAUUUACUUCUCAAUAUUAACUUUUAUAGGGUGAUAGUAAAUGAUAUUAUGAAGAUGAUGCACUCCUUGAGACCAGAGAACGAUAACUUCGUACUCUUCAUCCAUGAUUGGCCGAUCGCUAGAGAAAGAGAGGGACUUUUUAUUUUUGGUUGGAGCAGUCGACCGUCUACAGAGAUCUGUGGUUGACGUCUAUUAAAAAUACAGAGAGAGAGAGAGAUGCUUUGCUUUGUUCGAAUAAUUAAAUCUUCUUUUAGGUUUUUUAUUUUAGUUGAUUUUUCGCGGGUAAAUAAUUUUUUUUUAUUACUUAUCAUUUUUCCUAUUUAAUUACGUUUAAAGACUGAUAAACCAAAAUGUAAACAGAAAAAAAAACAGAUAACUUAUAAAUCAAUUCUCACCGAGUAUACCGGAUGAUAUAAUGCAGCGAAUGUCCUCGCGUUUUGGAUUAUCUAGAUCACAGUUACCCGUCCGUUAUCUGAGUGUUCCUUUGUGCUCUAAAAAGCUAUCUUUUGGUGAUUGUGAUCCAUUAGUGCUGCAAAUUAAAAAGAAGAUGAAUGCUUGGACUACUAGGACUCUUUCCUUGGCAGGUCGGCUCACUAUGCUUACCUCAGUCAUCUCAGGUAUCAUUCAUUAUUGGACAAGUGCCUUUCUCUUGCCAAAGAAGGUCAUCAAAGCGAUAACCUCUCUCUGUAGCUCUUUCCUCUGGCAUGGGAAAAUAGGAGUUCCUACGGGUGUGAAGGUGGCGUGGUAUGAUGUCUCUGUCCCAAAAUCUGAAGGAGGCCUGGGAAUUAGAAAUUUGGAAGUGUGGAGUGAUGCUUGUGCUUUAAAACUUAUAUGGAUGCUCUUCUUCAGGGCUGGAUCGAUAUGGGUUGCAUGGAUGAGAUCAAAAUAUUUGUCUCAUGCACCAUUCUGGUCAUUGAAUGAAAAGAACUACGGUUAUUCUUGGAUGUUCCGUAGGCUACUGAAACUAAGAAGUAAAGCACUUCACUUUCUGAAAAUUCAUGUGGGGAAUGGCGACUCAACAUUCUUCUGGUGGGACCCUUGGACGCCAUUUGGUAUGCUUUAUACCUUCUUCGGCCAUGAUGGACCUUCACGUCUUGGUGUUCCCUUGUUCGCUACUGUGGCAGAUGUUCGUAACGGUGCUGGCUGGUCUCUUACAUCAGCAAGAUCUGAUAAACAGCUACAGCUUCUAGCCUUUGUAUCUACCUUGGCUCUAAAUGAUGCUUCUGACGUACCUCAUUGGUAUGUCAAUGGAAGAUUGCAGAAGGCUUUCGUGUCCAAGUCGGUAUGGAACGUGAUCAGGCCCCAUAAGCCUCUCGUAUCAUGGUCUACACUGGUUUGGCAUAAAGCAGCUAUACCAAGGCAUGCUACCACUGCCUGGUUAUUUGUCCUAAAUCGUAACCCGACGCUAGACCGCUUGCAAAGUUGGAACCCGGAUAACCUCACUACAUGUCUCCUCUGUGGGUCGGGAUUAGAAUCGCGGAAUCAUCUGUUUUUUGACUGUGCCUACUCAGUUGUAGUUUGGCUCCUAAUCACUCGUAGACUCAAUCUCCAUACUGCUCCUUACAGCUGGAAUGCCACCUUGACAUGGCUGCCCACUGCUCAUAGUGACAGAUAUGUGCGCGUCGCUUUGCUACAAGGCUGGCAAGCAGCCAUUUACGGUAUUUGGUUUGAGAGAAAUACUCGCUUCCACACUGGUCUUACUCAUUCUCCUGAUGUUGUGGCCAGGAAUUCCCUGAGAAUUGUCAUUGAUAAAUGCUAUGCCAUGUGCUCUCUUGGAUCUGCCUUAGGCUCUCUCUUGUUGCAGAUUUGGCAUCCUCCCUGAAAGUCCAUUUUCCCAACUCUGUUUCUUCUCUUAUCUGUAAUAGAUGAUGUUACUUCCAUGUAACCUCUUAUUUUAAAUUAAUGAAAAUCCUUUAUCAAAAAAAAAAUAAUCAAAACUGAAUUCGCGUCAACGUCCAUGUUUACUCGUAACGUGGGACCUGUUUUUUCAAAGAACAUGCAAAAUUGAUUGGUUUAUUAUUUAUUAUUCUUAAGAAGGGAAAAAAAAAAACCCAAUAUUGGUGUAAACAAAACCGACUCAGAUACCGAAAUCAAAAUUGGACCGGGUCAAACAUUGUACCGUCAACAAACACAACGAUUCUCUGUUUCCUAAAAACGGAAAAGAAGAAAAGUCUAAAGGAGGAGGAAGGAGGAUGGAUCAACGAAACGAUACACCAGUCAAAAAAAAAAAAAUUCAUACAAAUCCAUGUUGUAAUAUUUUCUUUAAAAAACUAUGAUUACCUCUUGGGGUUUAAACUACAUUUUUGUCCCCCUUUUUAUAUAUAUUUGGAAUCAUUUCUCUUGUGUUGUUUGAAUGUGUAUCAUUGUUUGAAAGUCUUUUAUCAUGAAGAGAACAUUAUUAGUUGUGAAUUGAAAUGCCCCCAUGUUGAUGUCUUUUCUGAUUGUGUGAUUAAAUGAUGAGGAUUAUUGAUUCUUACUGCUCUUUUAACUAAGUUUAUUAUAAUCUCAUGAUUGUGUUUACAGUAAAAGCAGAAUUUCUCAUUUGAUUUGUAAGAUUUUUAUGUGUUGUUAAUUGUCUUGAUAUGAUCACACAAGAGAAGAUAGUAUAACUAGUUAUAUGCUUAAUAGGGUUUUGGUAAACAUUAAUACUAUAUUACUGAUCUUUGUGCUGCUUUUAAUUCACAUAUUUAAGUAGGUGAUCUUUGCUUAGAAGCAUCACAUGAUUAUGUUUUAGAGAAAGGCAGAGUCAACUAUAUUGCUGACAAUACCUGUCUUUUUUCUUGAUUGCAGCCUGGUAAAACUCUAAGUGUAAGGAAAUGGCAGGCUGCAUUUACACAGGAAGGAUUCCUCGAUAUUGGCAAGACUCUUGGUCGUAUCCAACGAGGGGUACGUCUCUCAAAAAAAAUUGUCUACAAAAAAACUGCAACAGCAACUAAAAUAUUGUUCUGAUUGUGCAAAGAUCACUUGACUUGUUGUUUCUAGGGAAUCCAUCCAUCGAUUAGAGGAGAAGUGUGGGAGUUCUUACUUGGUUGUUAUGAUCCAAAGAGCACUUUUGAUGAAAGAGAGCAAAUCCGACAACGUAGAAGGUAGAUUGUCUUGCAUUCUCUUUGCUACUAUUAUAUCUUUUUACUUAAAAAGUAUUUGUAUUUCGCUUGAAGGCUGCAGUAUGCUUCUUGGAAGCAGGAAUGUAAACAAAUGUUUCCAGUCAUCGGAAGUGGUGGAUUCAUCACCGCACCUGUAAUUACCGAGAAGGGUCAACCCAUUCUUGAUCCUCUUGUUCUACAAGAAACAAACUUAGGUAACACAAGCUUGUAUCUUUUUUUGCUUGAGGACAUAGUAGAACGUCAUAACUUGGUAAACUUAAGCAUUUCAAGAAUCAUGAUCAUAGGGGAGGAUUCUGAUUUCUUCAAAGAGCUUGAAAGCAGAGGACCUUUGGACAAGAAAGUUAUCCAAUGGAUGCUAACACUUCACCAGAUAGGUUUGUGAUCAGUUUCAACUAGUUCUGAGACUAUAUCUCGCAUUUCACUUACCUAAACUCUGUUUUAUCAGGUCUUGACGUAAACCGCACGGAUAGGACAUUGGUAUUCUACGAGAAGAAGGAGAAUCUGUCUAAGCUUUGGGACAUUCUAGCUCUCUACGCCUGGAUAGACAACGACGUUGGGUAUUGCCAAGGAAUGAGUGAUCUUUGUUCUCCUAUGAUCAUGCUUCUUGAAGACGAAGCUGAUGCUUUUUGGUGUUUUGAAAGAUUGAUGCGAAGAUUGGUACUUUGUUCUCUAUACUUGAGUGUUCAUAGUCAGUUUUGAUUCUAUCUUUUUUUUUUAACUUUGUUCGAAAUUGAUAGAGAGGAAACUUCAGGAGCACGGGAAGAUCAGUUGGAGUUGAAGCACAGCUUACUCAUUUGUCUACAAUCACUCAGAUCAUCGAUCCUAAGCUUCACCAUCACUUAGGUAUCUAUCUAUUCAAGCCCUUCUCACCUCACUUUUGGAAGAUAUAAUCAUAUAUUAUCUUGAAAUGCAGAGAAUCUUGGUGGAGGUGACUAUCUCUUUGCUAUUCGGAUGAUAAUGGUUCAGUUCCGAAGAGAGUUCUCUUUCUGCGACUCCUUGUACCUUUGGGAGGUAACGGUUGUUUCUUUAUAAACUCAGAGACAUGUUUCUUGGACAGGACACUAAUAAAGACUUGUGGGCAGAUGAUGUGGGGGUUGGAGUAUGACCCUGAGAUGUAUUCUCUGUACGAGGAGCCUGAGUUCGAGGGAGCGAGAACCGAAGGUUCCUCCAAAGGCAAACCGAAGUCGAUAAAACAAUGUGGGAAGUACGAGAGAGAGAACAUGAAGAACGGUGGGAAAAGCAGCGCGGAAGGUCCUUUGCCUAUAUCGGUUUUCUUAGUGGCGAGUGUUUUGAAAGACAAGAGUUCUAAGCUUAUGACUGAAGCUAGAGGUCUUGAUGAUGUUGUUAAGGUAAUGCAGACAUAUAUCUCAAAGGGGGGUUUUAUCUCUUUAAACAGCUUCCAUUUUUAGUAAUCUGUGUGUGUUUUGAUCAGAUCUUAAACGACAUAACCGGAAACUUGGAUGCUAAAAAGGCAUGUGCUGGUGCAAUGAAGCUACACAAGAAGUAUCUAAAAAAGGUUUAUCCUUAUUUUCCUUCUCUCUUGGAUUUGUUUAUGUCGCAAAGUUUAUAUUACUGAGAAACUCUAUUUGGGAUUGUGUUUGAUCCUUCUUGAACUGUCUUUAAAAUGUCUCUGACCGUUCUGCUUUGUGUUAUUGCAGCAGGCCAAGAAAUAGCACCUGGAAAAGAGCCAUGAGUAGCGUUUUUUUUGUAUGUGAUUUAUGAUUCCUUGGGAGACAAGCCUUCAAAAGAAAAAAACAAGAGUCCUACACGCAACAACUUUUCGUUGUCCAGUGUUCAUACAAAUCCAUGUUGUAAUAUUUUCUUUAAAAAACUAUGAUUACCUCUUGGGGUUUAAACUACAUUUUUGUAUUUGUCGGAUUAUGUAAAUAAAGAUGAAACAUGUGAACUCCAAAUCAGAAAUGAGAUUUGAGGAUCUUAAGAGGAUAAGUAUUUUCUCAGCCACGAAAACUGUUUGUAGACUCCGUUGCAAUGGACCAGUCCUGGUGGUGGAACGUUUGUCUUUCUUUGGAACAUCGUAACUUUAGUUCCUCAUGUUAACUUGAAGGCAAGGGAGAAAGCAACUAGGUCAAACAAGUUAGAGAGGGAGAGCAAACUGUUUAACUAAGAACAUGUUUAAUACGUUUCUUAUUUCUUAGGAUUAGGAUGAAAUUCUUAGCGGGAUAUAAGAAGUCUUUUAACUAAAAAAAACUAAUAACGGCUCUUAAAUAAUAACUUCACACUAAGAACCCAUUAAAUAUGCUCUAACAAAAAGUUUUAUAUUAAAAAAAAUAUAAGUCAAUAAAUGACAGAUAAGUGGCAAACCUUCUCAUUAUAUUGCAAAAGUCUCCUCAUGAAGAAACGUUCUCUUGUCUCUCUCAUCAGUUUCUUUACUUUUGUAUUUUUAUGUUUUAUGUUAAUUAUUACUAAGAAACCAAUUGAGAAUCCCACCAAUGCCGAUGGCCUAACGCAUACAUGUUUUAACUGCUACGAAACAGAACCUGCAUGCAAACAAACAAGUACAGCCGAACAAAGCUAAGUGAGCUGCUUGUGCUAGUUAAAACCAAUAAAGGAUCGGAGAACAACGCACAUUAAACCGAAUAAACGUUUUUAUUGGGAAGAAACCAGUGUUCAAAAAUACGGCUUACGCGGCCGCCGAUACGGUCACUAUACGCUAUGCGGCUAUGUAACGUACGAAAUUCAUCGUAUACGGCUUUAUAUGCGGUUUGUUAAAAAACGGGCGUACAUACGGCUUACGCGGACGUUUAUACGGUAGUGGCGUCUAGGCGUUAGACAUUGUUUUGUUUGAAAAGAUAAAGUUACGUAAUUAAAUGAAGUUGAAUUAAAAAAACUGAAAAACAUAAAACUACGUAGUUUAGCUAAAGUUUUAAGUUGUUAACCCUAAUUAGCAAUUCACGUUCAAUUCAUUGUAUUCUAAAGUCUAUACCACAGAGCCCUGCUAGGCUGCCACCUUCACUUUGCCUCUUUAUCGCUUUCUUAUCUACCAAAGGUUUUUGUUUUGAUUUAUGUUCUCUUCUUUUUUGUUUCUCUGCAUAUGUUUUUUUUUUUUUUUUGAAGUUUGCAAUAGUUCUAAAGUACGAUCAGUUUUUCUUACUAGUUACUAAAGAUUUGUUUUUGACUUUUUUCCAAAAACUGCAGAAAAUCAUUCAAGAGAUUUUGCCAUUUUGGUAUGGCUGGAUCAUCUGCAAAUUCAAAUAUGAACCAAGCAGGAACUUCAGAAACACAAGCUUUGAAAAGAAAUUCAAAGGAUGUUGCUUGGGAAUAUGGGAUGUUGUGUAACCCAAGUAAUCCAGAUAAGGUGAAGUGUAAACUAUGUGGAAAAUUAUUUUCUGGUGGUGCAUUUAGGAUUAAAGAGCAUAUUGCCAAGAUUCCAGGAAAUGUUUCUGCUUGUCCACUAUCAACAAAAGAUGAUCAAGAAAAGUGCAAAAAUGCUAUUGAUGAAGCUAAGAAGAAAAAGAAGAGCAAGAGGAGCUCAGAUGCUGACUUGCGAAAUUCUGUGAAGAUAUGUGAUGUUGGAGAUGAAGAUGAUGAGGCUGGUGCUGAACUUGAAGAGUUGAGGUCAAAAAAAAUUCCUCGGACACUUGGUCCCAUGGAUAAAUUUGCAUCAGAUAUCAACCCACGACUCUCUUCCGUGGAGACUAGACAACAAAAUAUCAGUGAUGCUCUUUGUAAAGAUAGAUUACAUAAAGUUCACCAAUAUAUUGGCAGAUGGGUCUUUGCUUCUGGUGUCCCCUUCCAUGCUACUGCAAACGAUGAAUUUAAGUUGAUGCUUGAAGCUGUUGGACAGUUUGGCUCGGGAGUUACGCCACCAAGUCAAUAUUUGCUAAGAGAACCUUUACUGAAAGAAGAAGUUGAGAGAGUCAAGGGUUUAUUAAAAGCUCAGGAAGAAGAGAGGAAAGAGAACGGGUGCUCAGUUUUGACGGAUGCUUGGUCCGAUAGAAAAAGAAGAAGUAUUAUGAACUUAUGUAUUAAUUGCAGAGGAGGAACCAUGUUUCUUUCUUCUAAAGACUGUUCAGAGGAGGCUCACACUGGUGAAUUUAUUUAUGAGUAUGUCAAAGGGUGCAUUGAGGAUGUUGGGGUAGAAAAUGUGGUUCAAGUGGUGACUGACAAUGCUCCAAACAAUAUGGCCGCUGCGAGGUUCUUGAAAGAAAAAAUACCAGACAUUUUUUGGACAUCAUGUGCUGCCCACACUGUUAAUUUGAUGCUUGAGAGCAUUGCAAAACUCCAAAGUUUUAAGACCAUCAUCAAGAGGGCUAAAGGGUUCACAAUAUUUGUUUAUGCUCACCACAAGACUUUAGCGAUGAUGAGGAAAUUCACAGACAAUAAAGACAUUGUUAGACCAGGGGUUACAAGAUUUGCAUCAUGCUUCUUAACUUUGCAAAGCCUGAUGGAAAAGACUGAUCAGUUACAGUCCAUGUUUGUUAGUGCUGAAUGGAAACAGUGCAAAUGGGCAAAGCAUUCUAAGGGAGUGGAAGCUUUUAAAACAAUGACGAGUAUGCAGUUUUGGAAUGGAGUCACUAUGUGUUUGAAGGUUUUUGGACCCUUAGUUAAGGUACUUAGAUUGGUUGAUGGUGAUAUGAAACCUACAAUGGGAUAUCUGCAUGGAGAGUUAUUACAAGCAAAGAAAGAUAUAUGUGCUGGGUUGAAUAACGUUCAAAGGAAUAUUCAGCCAAUCAUGACUAUCAUUGACCAAAGGAUUGAGGGUCGACUUGACAGUCCUUUGCAUUUGACGGGUUAUUUCUUGAAUCCUUACUAUUUAUACAAGGAUCAAACCAUUCCAUUACAUAACAAUGUGCUCACAAGCUUUUUCAAGUGUGUCAAUGCUUUCAUUCCCGACGACCUUUCUAAGCAAUGCAACGUCAUCAAUUCUGAGAUUAAUAAGUACAAGAACAAGGAAGAUAAUUUUGGGACACCAUGGGCUGUAAAAGGCUGUGAAGAAUUUAAAGAUGAUUAUGAUCCAGGUAUGUUUAAAAAUUCAAAGCCACUAUAUAUUUGUAGUUUUGUUUGAUAUAAUUUGUGUAGUGGAAUAUAUUGUUUUGUCUUGAAUCUUGUACGUAAAGACAAAUGUGAAUGCAUAAGAAAUAAGUGGAUUCCGUAACGUUUUCACUUUAAUAAAUUAAAUAAAACAGAAAACACUAAUUGUUUUGUUUUCUUAUUAGUUGAAUGGUGGAACACUUACGGGACGUCAGUGCCUAAUUUGCAAAGAAUGGCAAAGAGAAUUUUGUCGUUGACUACUAGUUCAUCAGGAUGUGAAAGAGCUUGGAGUUCUUUUGAAGGGGUAAUUUUUUAUUAGUCUACGAUUCUAAAAUCUUUUCAUAUGUAUUGAUGAUUUUGUUUUAAAAAUGCAGAUACAUACAAAAAAGCGAAACCGGCUUAGUACAAGUAGAAUGAAUAAUCUUGUAUUUGUCCAAUUUAAUACAAGAUUGUUGAACAAAAGAAAAAAACGGAAGGAGAAGAACAUUGAUAUAUUGCUGGCUGAUGAUGCUACUCAUGCUCAAGAAUGGCUUGUUGAAGGUGAUGAUGCAGAGCAUGAAUCAGCUAUGGGUGUAGGAGCUGGUGAUACAGAAGGAGCGGCAGAUGAUGAUGAUAUGGCUGAUAUUAGAGAACUGCGUGAUGAAGAUUUUAUUUCUGAUGCUGAAGAGGAAGAUUUUGCUGGUACUAAUUUGGAAUCAGAUGAAGACCAAGUUCCAAACAUGUACGGUGAAGAAGAAUAUGAUAAUUAAACUUUCAGUUGUUUUUUUUUUCAUUUUAGUUGUUCUUUUGAUUUGAGGACGAGGAUAUUUUCUACUUUAUUUAGAAUUAUUAUCAUCUUUUUAGAUGUUGGUUAUUUGAUUUUUAAGAAUUUAGUAUUGGAACCCUUUUCUUCUUUUAGUACUAAUAUUAUUUUAUUUCAUAUCAAUCAUUAAUAAUAUAUAUCAUUAAUCAUUAAUAUAUAUAUAUAUAUACAGUCCGUUUAGGCCCCGUUUAGGCGUCCGCGUAUACGGCUAGGCGCUAGGCGCUACGUCACCGCACAGAGAGCGCAUAGCGUAUUUUAGAACACUGGAAGAAACAAAGACACCAGAAAAGUUCAUAACAUAAAUAGUCACAAGUUUUUUUAAAACACUCCUUUAUUGCAACUCCUUUCACAUAAAGAAGUAUCAAGGGGAAAUUUUCUUAGUUAAAAAAAACUUGUCCUUAAGCAUCUACGGUUUCAGCUGAAUCAGCAGCUGCUAAGACAAGCUCCGGGCUUAGGUCUCCGACAUACGAUCCAUCAAUAACAUUGGGCUGUCCCAAAGCUUUUAGAGCCAGAUGUGCCGCCUUCUGUCCUGAUAUCAUCAUAGCUCCGAACGUUGGUCCCUGCAAAUCACAUAUUCAUUCACUCAGUAUAUCAUCCUACUAUAAAUGAUUGAUUCAAGGAAAGGGAAACAAACUCACCAUUCUUGGUGCACCAUCGAUCUCAGCAACUUCCAUACCGGUCACGAUCAUACCGGGUACAACCUCCCUAGUCAACCUCACAAUCGCAUCCUCAGCUGUGUUCAUGUCAAGAGCUUUCAUCCCAGGAACAUGGUCAAUCAACCCAAUGCUCUUCAACCUCUUCACACCGGUGGCUCCAAAGGGACCGUCGUGACCGCACGAGCUCACGACAAUCUUGGCCUCCAUGACGUUAGGGUCCAUGCAAGACUGUGUGUCGUGGUUCAUUGACACAAGAGCCCAGUUAGUCACCACACCGCCGACUCUGUUUCCUUUCACGAUCAGAUCCUCAGCGGCGACAGCGUUGAAGAGCUUGACGUUGGGACGAGCCAAAAGCUUGCUCAUGAUGGUGGAUGUGAAGAGAGCAGCGUGCUUGAUCACGACGUAGUUGUCUUGCUCAUCGUAGGCUACACCAAUCUCGUCAAGGAACAAGUGAGCUGGUUUGCGCACAAUCUGUUAAACACGGAUAUACAAUAACUUCAGUCUACUACACAUUACCAAUCACAUGCAAACCAAUCUAUGUACUUAAACACAUAAGAAGCUCUUAACACAGAGAGAGUUCGGAUAAAACAUUAUCAUGGGACAAUCUGUCCAACACAAACACACACAGGGCCCGCUAAAUCCCCCAGUAUCUUGAUAGCUUAAGGAUCAAAUAUUUUUUGUAUAUACAAAUUUUUAUAGAGAAAAUUUUAAAUAUUCACUAAAUUUGGUUGAAAAGUAGGCAUAUUUUAUGUGUACAUAAUUUGUUUUCAUCACAAAUUUUAUAAAGAUGUUGAUGAUAAAAUAAUUAAAAAAUAUUUUAAAAAACAUAAAUAUUAAAAACUUCAAUUUUUUUGCGCAUGAGUCCAAAUAAAUAUUGAGCCGUCCCUGAAUAUACAAUAACUCCAGUCCAGAGCAUACAUAUUCGCAUAUGACAUCCAAUAUAUUAAUGGUUAGUAUGUAUUAUAUCAUUCAGUCCUAAAUGAUUUUAAAAUAUAUGUGUUUAGUAAUUGUUUAAGCCUAAUAAUCUCAGAGCCCGCCUUGGCUUCCAUGAACACAAAUUAAUUAAACCAAACCUUAGUAGUUCCUCAGUAGUGUGACAUGCAAGUUAGUCUAAGUACUGAAACACUAUAUAGCAAGCUCUUACCACAAAGAGAGUUCGAAUAAAACAUUACCAUGGCGGAGAAAAGCUGACCACCGAGCCACGCGCCACCACCAGGACUGACAGAUUGCUCGAUGAUUGCGACCUGAACGUUAGGGUUCUUGCUGAUCUCGUAAGCACACGAUAGUCCAGCGGAGCCAGCACCAACGACGACGACGUCGGUCUCGGCGUAAGUGAUCAUAUCAGUCAUGUACCUCCUCGUCAUCUCGCGAGACACGAUGGACUCCUUGAUGGGGUCAAAAGUGAAGGCGUUCAGAUCGUAGCCAGCGGUGGCGCGGACGGAGAGGGAGCGCGGUUUGAGACCGACGGAGACAGGUGCGGCGGAGGAGAUGGAUGAGCCAUGGAAAUAGGAGUCGAAAAGGCGCUGAGGCUUGGUGGAAGAGAGGGAGAGAGUAGAGGUGAUGGACGCCAUAUUUGAGAGGUGUGUUUAUGUUUUGAGUGACGAUGAAGAUGAUGGUGGUGAAGUGAAACUGUGGUGGCUGUUGAAUAUUUAAAUUAGAAGAUGAAGAAAUAUCUGGAGAGUGAUGGCCACGUCAGAGAUAAGGCAUGAAGGGUCGUCGAUUUUUUGUUUUAUUUUUUAUAUAAAUGAAAUUAUUAAUUUCUGCCAUUAAUGGAAACAUUGGAAAGUAACGAUCUCCUUCCUUCACGGUUCGAAUUGAAUGAAGGAAGUUUUGAAAAUUUUCAUGACUUUUGAAAAAACCAAAGUUUAGUGAGAAAGUUAACAUACUUAUUUGUUUUUGUUACCCGAUUAAACCAGAAAUAUUUGCUUGUCUAAGAAAGAAAUAAAUCGUUUUGAUAUAUGUAGUUUAUGAAACAAUUAGAUUCAUAUAUUUUGUAUUAAAAUUCAGUUUGUGGUAAUUAAGAAAUAUCUCGAGACUUUUGUCUGGAAGUUUCUGUAACCAUUUGCACUGAGUGUGUGGUGACACGAACAACACCAGAAAGUGAGAUAUCUGUGUACGAUAGAUAUGGAUUUGGAUUUUACUAGUGAAAAGAUAGUUCACUAUUAUGGUGUCCUACGAAACAGAACAUGCAUGCAAACAAGUACAGCAGACCAAAGCUAAGUGAGCUGCUUGUGCUAGGUAAAACCAAUAGAGGAUCGGAGAACAACGCACAUUAAACCGAAUAAACGUUUUUAUUGAGAAGAAACAAAGACACCAGAAAAGUUCAUAACAUAAAUAGUCACAAGUUUUUUUAAAACACUCCUUUAUUGCAACUCCUUUCACAUAAAGAAGUAUCAAGGGGAAAUUUUCUUAGUUAAAAAAAACUUGUCCUUAAGCAUCUACGGUUUCAGCUGAAUCAGCAGCUGCUAAGACAAGCUCCGGGCUUAGGUCUCCGACAUACGAUCCAUCAAUAACAUUGGGCUGUCCCAAAGCUUUUAGAGCCAGAUGUGCCGCCUUCUGUCCUGAUAUCAUCAUAGCUCCGAACGUUGGUCCCUGCACAUCACAUAUUCAUUCACUCAGUAUAUCAUCCUACUAUAAAUGAUUGAUUCAAGGAAAGGGAAACAAACUCACCAUUCUUGGUGCACCAUCGAUCUCAGCAACUUCCAUACCGGUCACGAUCAUACCGGGAACAACCUCCCUGGUCAACCUCACAAUCGCAUCCUCAGCUGUGUUCAUGUCAAGAGCUUUCAUCCCAGGAACAUGGUCAAUCAACCCAAUGCUCUUCAACCUCUUCACACCGGUGGCUCCAAAGGGACCGUCGUGACCGCACGAGCUCACGACAAUCUUGGCCUCCAUGACGUUAGGGUCCAUGCAAGACUGUGUGUCGUGGUUCAUUGACACAAGAGCCCAGUUAGUCACCACACCGCCGACUCUGUUUCCUUUCACGAUCAGAUCCUCAGCGGCGACAGCGUUGAAGAGCUUGACGUUGGGACGAGCCAAAAGCUUGCUCAUGAUGGUGGAUGUGAAGAGAGCAGCGUGCUUGAUCACGACGUAGUUGUCUUGCUCAUCGUAGGCUACACCAAUCUCGUCAAGGAACAAGUGAGCUGGUUUGCGCACAAUCUGUUAAACACGGAUAUACAAUAACUUCAGUCUACUACACAUUACCAAUCACAUGCAAACCAAUCUAUGUACUUAAACACAUAAGAAGCUCUUAACACAGAGAGAGUUCGGAUAAAACAUUAUCAUGGGACAAUCUGUCCAACACAAACACACACAGGGCCCGCUAAAUCCCCCAGUAUCUUGAUAGCUUAAGGAUCAAAUAUUUUUUGUAUAUACAAAUUUUUAUAGAGAAAAUUUUAAAUAUUCACUAAAUUUGGUUGAAAAGUAGGCAUAUUUUAUGUGUACAUAAUUUGUUUUCAUCACAAAUUUUAUAAAGAUGUUGAUGAUAAAAUAAUUAAAAAAUAUUUUAAAAAACAUAAAUAUUAAAAACUUCAAUUUUUUUGCGCAUGAGUCCAAAUAAAUAUUGAGCCGUCCCUGAAUAUACAAUAACUCCAGUCCAGAGCAUACAUAUUCGCAUAUGACAUCCAAUAUAUUAAUGGUUAGUAUGUAUUAUAUCAUUCAGUCCUAAAUGAUUUUAAAAUAUAUGUGUUUAGUAAUUGUUUAAGCCUAAUAAUCUCAGAGCCCGCCUUGGCUUCCAUGAACACAAAUUAAUUAAACCAAACCUUAGUAGUUCCUCAGUAGUGUGACAUGCAAGUUAGUCUAAGUACUGAAACACUAUAUAGCAAGCUCUUACCACAAAGAGAGUUCGAAUAAAACAUUACCAUGGCGGAGAAAAGCUGACCACCGAGCCACGCGCCACCACCAGGACUGACAGAUUGCUCGAUGAUUGCGACCUGAACGUUAGGGUUCUUGCUGAUCUCGUAAGCACACGAUAGUCCAGCGGAGCCAGCACCAACGACGACGACGUCGGUCUCGGCGUAAGUGAUCAUAUCAGUCAUGUACCUCCUCGUCAUCUCGCGAGACACGAUGGACUCCUUGAUGGGGUCAAAAGUGAAGGCGUUCAGAUCGUAGCCAGCGGUGGCGCGGACGGAGAGGGAGCGCGGUUUGAGACCGACGGAGACAGGUGCGGCGGAGGAGAUGGAUGAGCCAUGGAAAUAGGAGUCGAAAAGGCGCUGAGGCUUGGUGGAAGAGAGGGAGAGAGUAGAGGUGAUGGACGCCAUAUUUGAGAGGUGUGUUUAUGUUUUGAGUGACGAUGAAGAUGAUGGUGGUGAAGUGAAACUGUGGUGGCUGUUGAAUAUUUAAAUUAGAAGAUGAAGAAAUAUCUGGAGAGUGAUGGCCACGUCAGAGAUAAGGCAUGAAGGGUCGUCGAUUUUUUGUUUUAUUUUUUAUAUAAAUGAAAUUAUUAAUUUCUGCCAUUAAUGGAAACAUUGGAAAGUAACGAUCUCCUUCCUUCACGGUUCGAAUUGAAUGAAGGAAGUUUUGAAAAUUUUCAUGACUUUUGAAAAAACCAAAGUUUAGUGAGAAAGUUAACAUACUUAUUUGUUUUUGUUACCCGAUUAAACCAGAAAUAUUUGCUUGUCUAAGAAAGAAAUAAAUCGUUUUGAUAUAUGUAGUUUAUGAAACAAUUAGAUUCAUAUAUUUUGUAUUAAAAUUCAGUUUGUGGUAAUUAAGAAAUAUCUCGAGACUUUUGUCUGGAAGUUUCUGUAACCAUUUGCACUGAGUGUGUGGUGACACGAACAACACCAGAAAGUGAGAUAUCUGUGUACGAUAGAUAUGGAUUUGGAUUUUACUAGUGAAAAGAUAGUUCACUAUUAUGGUGUCCAAAUAACAAAAAAAUAUUACUACUUUAUUAUAUCAAUAUUUUUUAUUUAUGAAUUAUGAGCGGCAUGUUCUUUUUGGUCAUAGAAUCUUUUUUUCUUGUGGACCAAAAUAAAAUCUGCAAUUCAAAGAUUUCAAAAUAAAUUUGUAAUCGAGAAACCUUAGUACUAAAAUCAUCACAAUAAAUUUGUAAAUAUGCGUUUUUUCUUCUAUAUUUAUAUAUCAUAUGUAUCAUGUUAAACCUCUGGUUCCAGACCAAUAACUUCCAAGUUAUUACAUACUUGCAGGUUUUUUUCUUUGUGCCUCUCUCUAAACCAUACAUUAGUGAUUCGGUUGAUGUGUGUGAAUGUCCAUAAACAAAGGCUAGCUAGAAUGUCUAGUGAACAUGUUGUUAUAAUUUGAGUCAUUUGACAGCUUUGUGUUUUUUUUAAACUUAAUUAGUAAGUUCGGAUCUUGAGGUACGAGAGAGAGAGAGGAUAACUUAAGAUUACAUGGUUAUCUUUUUAGCCAUGCAAGCCUGCCAAGUAAUCUGAGUUUCAAACGUAUAUGUAUAACGGUGUCUUAGUUAUUUUGGCAUCAAGAGUUGAAGAGGUUGAUAUAGCCCGAGCAAGGAAACAUAAAUGCGUAUAUAUAUAAUAUACUGUAUAUAUAUAGCUCUAAUGUAAGGAGUGUUGUUGGAAUUCAAAAUUUGUAUAUACACACUCCAAACAAAACAAAGUCGGAUCGAGCAUGCACGGUGUUAUGCGUGCCAGAGCGUCAUCUCGAUUAUCCCCGUAACAACUUGCACAAAUUUUGAAACUUAACAAAACUCUCAUACCCGUGUGCACAUACACCAUCUCGUGCUCAUUACACGUAAACACCAUGCAAAACUCUCUCUUCCAUAAAUAAACUAUUUCUCUUCACUUCGCUUCAUCAUUAUCACUCACCAAGAACCUCAAAAACUCACACAAAAUGGCUAAUUAGCUCUUUCUCGUUUUCGCAACUCUCUCCCUCUUGGCCUUCUUAACCAACGCUUCCAAUAUUAGAGCUAAUCAUAGGUAUCAAUAGUUUCUUAACUCUUUAUUAAGCAUAAAACUCUCAGACUCUCAUGUGUGUGUUCUAAGAAACUAUUGAUAACUAUGAUUUUGACCUAAUACUUGGGACGUACCUGUACUGAAUCAGGAUAAGAUUUACAUGUCUUCUGUAUUCGAUUGAGACCUGGACAUGGUUUUUGUUUACAACAAAAAACAAGAAACAUGGUAAGGUUGUGUCACGGAAGAGCACUAAUACUAUAAUCUGUAUAGAAAUUAAAAUAGUCUUUUUGAUCCAACAAAUUGUCCUAUUAAGCAAGUGUUUACAGUAACGAAGUGUUGAUACAUCCUAAACUUAAGAAACAAGACAUGUGGAGUUCUCUUUUGAUUUAAUGGUUUAACUACCGAGUUUUUUUCAGCCAGAAUCAGAAAGGGUAGGAUACUAUUACUUCACAGUUGCAAAUUUAUAAAACUGACCAACUGGUCACUGUUAAACUUACAAGAAUAAGAAGCUAAUCUUGGGGAGCUAUAUCUUUCAGGUAAGCACAUGCACAGCUUGAGCUUGAGAUUGCGGAAUUCAACCACAGACAUUCAUGCCUAGACACAAGACAGAGAUUCUUUCCUUCUCUUCAUUCCAGAUACUUGAAUAGGACCCAAGCCUCUACAUUAUAAUUAUAAUACAUCUAAAAGGUAAAUGAAUAGAGAAACCAUAAACAUGGUGUGGAAGACUUCAAGCUGAACUGAUAGAUACCUUAGUUGAUGACUUUGAGCUGUCAAAGGAAGAUUGUUGACUGCUGAGAUGGACCAAUAAGAAGGACACUGCUGAGCUGAACACAUAACCCACACCUCUCCAUUAUAAGAGCACUUCCAUCAAUAGGACACGAAGGUGGGUAUCAAACAAUUAUUAAAUUAAAAAAAGAGAGGGAAGUGGGAAAGUGAUACGGUUUGGAAAAGUUAAUUGCGACUCUUUUGCGUUCUUACUUUAUAAGACCACGAUUAACGCUGAAACCCCAAAUGAAUUAUUUAAAUUUUAUUUUUUAUUUUUUAUUUUUAUCUGAAUAAAAAAAUCAACUAAUCGCGGACUGCCACAUGUCAGUGGGAUCCGCGAACAGUGCAAAAACCCAACUAACAGGGUUCUUUAUUAUGGAUUUUCUGGCACCGGUUUUUUUCUCCCUGUGAACCACUCCCCCCUUAAAAAGCCCACUAAAACCCCCGAUAAUCUUGCUCUAAGUGGCAACCAUUCAUUUGAUUAGUUUAUUACAUACAAUUUUUUUAAUUAUUUACUAAAAAAUGUACUAAAUAAUAAUAUAAAGAGGGAUGAGAACCCUUGUGUAUUUCUUAACCAAUAAUGUACUUCUUACCAAUAAGGUUGAUCUAAUACAUUUAAAACCUAAAUGAAUAGAGAAACAAUAGAUAUAAUAAGUUGAUGAUGGUGUCAUGGUGAGCUGAAGACUGUUGACUGCUGAGCUAGACCAAUAAAAAGAAGAUUGCAGUUGGAGCUUUCUUGUAUUGGUUGAUUACUAUAAAGGCCUUGACCAUACCUUUCUUGUAGAGGAUGGAAAGCUCAUAGGUUAGGUGUGUGGGCAAUUUUAGGGUGGUGGUCUCUAGAAAUUGAAGGCAAAAUUAGAGUGUUUUAUUUCUUGAGAAUCGGUUCCCCAAUACUAGUGUACUUGGUUUCUUAUCAUCAACAAAGAAAAACAUGAAGUUAGAAUCCUCCCUUUGAGCAACUGCCAACUCCACAUUCUACCGUUAUGAUUCUUUACAAGAAAGUGCUUAUACAUCCUUAACCUAAGAUAUAAUGUUUUAUAUGUGUAGCAUGAAAAUCCAGUCGUUCAAAAACAUAAUUGAGUCAUUUUGCUAGCUUUUCCAAACACUUGCUCGUUAAACUACGCUUUAAACACAUUUUGAUUCUUAUCUCUCAGUACAAUGUAAAGACUCAAGACUCACAGAAUGGCAACAUGCCACAGAACAAUGACCGGUCAGAAUAUCCAACACGAGCGCAAAAAAGGUUCAAAAGCAAAUACCUAUUAACAUAUACAAAUUUCUUAACCUUAUCCAGUAGAAUAAUUGAAGUUUUAAUAGAAUACGAAUACAUAAAACACUUGCGUUCUCUUUCUUCUGUAAAAAAACAGCAUCAGACUCUAAACUUCUCCCUCUAUGAAGCCCACAACAUGGUGGUAGUCAAUAAUAAAAGAAAGAAACCAGAGAUCUUCGGUGGUGGUUGCAAAAACUCAGAUUCCUCUGGAGAAGAUUAAAAACCUGGAAUUUUUUUUUUCAGUCUCACAACAACGCAAGAUUCACAUUUUCUUUUCACUUGGAUGAUAGACUUAGCCAAUCUAUUGGAGAACACACCUACAUUAUUUAGUUUAACAUGGAACGACCAGCAGAUCCCCGAGGACAAACAACAGAUCUUACAUGCUCCGAGAUCUGUUGAUGCUCCAUGUUAAAACAAAAUAACGUAGGUAUCAGCUAUCCAAGUGAAAAGAAAUGAGAAACCAAGAGUUGCUGAGAAACUGAAAAAUAAACAGUUGUGAAAAAAACGGAAGAGAGUGUAAAACUCGUAUACAUCUACUUCGCUUUUGUACUGGCUAUACGGAACCGAGGAAGAUUUCAUCGUCAGCUCAUGGAAAAAUCUGACGCCAUCAGAACACCACGCAGACUAUCGCCAACAUUAUGAUCAUUUUAUAGCUUAACGGAAUAUUCGAGGAAAGAAAGCUCCUUAGUGGGCCCUUACAUGUCCCUAGUCUUUUUUGAACUCAAGUCUUUUUAGUCAGCUUUCUGAGCUAAUGAUAUGUUUUACCUGGACCAGUCAAAUUUGUAUUAAACCAAGUUGAACCAAAUUAGUCUAUCUUAAUUUUUUAAACCAAUAAUCUAAUUAAACAAAAAUAUAAUGAAACUCUUCAUCUAAUAAAGAGUAGUAGCGCACGUCAUGGGAAAUAAUAACAAAAGACUGGCGCUGGAGCACGUCGAACUAAUUUUGGUGGAUUUGAUUGGUUUGGCACGUCAAACUAGGGCUAUGCUUGGUAAUGGUUUUAUGCUUUAGAAGAAAAAAAUCCAUCAUGUAGUAAGGAAAAGUGGCUUUAAGUCUUUUUAAAAGGCUUUAAAAGCUUUUAGAUCAAUAAAGUCUAAUUGAAUAGUUAGACUACAACCGUAGAAAUUUUACUACAUAAUUUAGUCUUUAAAUUUUUUUGAUAAUGUAACUAAUAUAGUUGUAAAAAUUUAAUGAGAAACAUAAUAAAAAAGAAACAGAUUCAUACGUCAAUAUCUUUUUACUUUAGAAAAGAAAGUUCAUAUAAUUUUUUCGUUAGUUUUUUUUGGCUCUACCUUUAAAAAGUACAUAAAUCAUGAUUGGUAAACUUUAUAGUUAUAGAUAGAAACUAAAACUAAAUAACAAUCCAACCAAUCAACUCGAAUGACUUUUAAGGCUUUAGAAUUAUCUCAAAGCUUUGAGACAUUUCACAACUAAAAACUGAUUUUUAUUUAAACAAAAAUAGGGAAAGGGAGACGUGUCAGAUACUAAAAUGUGAGUCUAUUCUUCUCUGUUAAAGUAAAAAGACUAUACGUAAAAGAAAUCUCAAUCCGCUUUUUUGCAUUUAAAAAUCAGAUAUAAAUAAGAAAGGAAGAAAGAAAGAAAGAAAAUCAUUAGUGAAGAAGUUUAAAACAGCUUUCGUCUCUUCUUCGCUCUCUCUAUUAUCCUUCAAAUCUUUCCCCUUUUCUUCCUCCUCCUCCUAAUCGUUUCCAAAGUCAUAAUCAGGUUCCUGCUUCGGGACUCGCUCUUCUUCUUCUUUCUUCCAAUUCUUAUUCUCAAUUGCUGCUUCAUUUGUUCGUUCUUUUCUUUCAUCUUCUUCUUUAGCGCGAUUCAACUUAAGCAUUUUCAGUGGGUUUCGCAAAUUUUCAAUCUUUUUUUGCUUUGAUUGUGUUUCGGUUGGUUUCUUGCUUCGUCACAACUUGAAGAAGCAAAUUGCGAUGUUCUGUUUCUAAUUUGAGAUUCCAUUUAUUCGUUUCUUGUGAGACUCCACCAUGAAAGAUUUUCUUGGAAAAUUCUCAGGCGUACAAGUAUGAGUAACACCGACGACGAUCCUCAGACGAAGCCUGAGACUUCUUCCGACGGAGCUGUCUCGCGAUCAGCUCGGACCUCCUUUCAAGCCGUCUCUGACUGCCUUCGUGCGAUUUCCUCCGGCGCUUCCACCGUCGCUCGCUCCGCCGCUUCCGCCGCCUCUUCCGUCGUUAACCGAGACGCCGACUCUCUUCACGACAAGGUAUAAAAAAAAAGUUGACAACUUUGAUAUAAUGGGUCACGAUAAACUUGCUUUAGGUGCAAGAAUCAUUAGGGUUAGGGUUGAUAGCUUUUAAAGAUUGAACCUUUAGUCUUUGUGUUGCUCUGUUGAGAAAAAGUUUGAUAGCUUUAGGUGCAAGAUUCAUUAGGGUUAGGGUUGAUAGCUCUUAAAAGAUUGGACCUUUAAGCCUUUGUGUUGCUCUGCUGAGAAAAAGUUUGAUAGCUUUAGGUGCAAGAUUCAUUAGGGUUAGGGUUGAUAGGUUUUAAAAGAUUGAACCUUUAAGCCUUUGUGUUGAGAAAAAGUUUGAUAGCUUUAGGUGCAAGAUUCAUUAGGGUUAGGGUUGAUAGCUUUUAAAAGAUUGGAUCUUUAGUCUUUGUGUUGCUCUUUUGAUGCCUCAGGUACUAUGGGCGGGGUUUGAUAAGCUAGAGAGAGAGGAUGGCGACACUCGGAGAGUUCUUCUACUUGCGUUUCGCUCUGGUUUCCAAAUCUGGGACGUUGAAGACACUGGGAACGUCCAUGUCAUUGUCUCUGCUCACGACGGACACGCAGCCUUUAUGCAGAUGCUACCUUACCCGUUAGUCUCCGAGGAGAUAGACGAUGCGUUUGCUGAGAGCCGUCCGCUUCUGGCUGUGUGUGGUGACAGCUCUUGGGUGGAGAUUUUAGAUAUAGAGAGCGCUUCUGAUAACACUGAAAGUGAAACCAUAGUGCCUACGCAUGUGAAUGUCUACUCGUUAAAGUCAAACUCUUAUGUGCAUAAGUUGAAGUUCGAGUCUGUCAUCUACACCAUCAGGUGCAGUUCUCGGAUCGUUGCCGUGCUACAAUCAGAUCAGGUUCGAAGUUUUUUGUCAUAUUGUGUUUGAUUUUGUAUCUCUUCUGAAACUAACAAGUGACUUUUGCAGAUUCAUUGCUUUGAUGCUAAGACGUUGGUGGAGGAAUACAAUAUCCACACUAACUCCAUCGCGUAUGGCUCAUUGGGUGUUGGAUAUGGUCCUCUUGCCGUUGGUCCACGAUGGAUCGCUUAUAGCGGGAGUCGUAUUGAUGAGUCUAGCUCCACGGUUUUCACUUCAGAGCUUCUCCCACUGUCAUCAUCACCCGGUGUUGCACAGUUUGCAAUAGAAUCGAGCAAACAUAUUGUAACUGGGAUAGCGAGGCUUGGAGGCAAAGGGUACAAGUCAUUGUCUAACUUCUGCGCAGAGGGUCUGCCCAAUCCGUAUCUUCCUGGCUUUAAGGGCAUUGGAGGCGGUGCUAGUGAGAAAGCGCAAGACGCUGGUGACAUAGGAAUGGUAAAACUCUCAAAUAUUCCCUCUCAAGUUGUGUUGAGUUUCCAUUGAUACAUAGACUUGGUGGUGUGUGUGUGUGUGUGUGCAGGUUAUAAUCAGUGAUGUUAUAAGCAAAAGCGUGAUAUGUCAGUUUAAGGCACACAAGAAUCCGAUUUCAGCUUUGAGCUUUGAUCCGAGUGGGAUGCUUUUGGUGUCUGCUUCGACUCAGGGCCACAACAUUAACGUGUUCAAGAUAAUGCCGAGAAUCUCUAACACUAGUGAUGCGCCGCCCAUAGAGUGUUUUAUGCAUCUGUUCAGGCUCCAUCGUGGCUAUACUUAUGCGGUAAGCAGAGAGCUCUUCACUUUCCUGUAUUUUAAAAAGUAUUAUUAUUGAUAUUUUUGUUCUUGCAGGUGAUACAAGACAUGAGUUUCAGCAAUGAUAGCAGUUUGAUAGUGGUUAGCUCGUCAAGAGGGACAAGUCAUGUGUUUGAGAUCAAUCCCGAGAGAGAGGCGCAUAUUCCUGUAACUCUGUCACCUGUUAUUAGGAUAAGAAGCCGAGACAUCAGCGGAUGGAUGGGGACAGUGAGCGGUGCUGCAGCUGCGGCGGCUGGAAUGGUUGGAGGAGGAGGAGGAGGCUCUCUUCAGGGUUCAACCACAUCAACUUUCAGCUACUGCGUUGAACAGCAGAAUAAGAACACCCACUAUGGUUCUACUGCUUCUGAUAAUAGUAGCGUAACGAGGAAUCUACUGGUUUUUGCUCCUUCUGGAUGUAUGACACAGUAUGCGUUGAAGGCUGGGGAAGGUGGUGAGGCUUUGGUGAUGACGGGGAUUGAUUCUGAGUCUGGUGCAGAGACUGAAGGACCGGUUGUGAGGAUACGAAGGUGGUACAUGGUCCAAAACCGAUCUAGAAGAGAGAUGCAAGAUCAGCAGAGGGUCGUAUAUGGAGGAGGUGGAGCAACUUCGGGUUCUGGAAGUAACGUGUUUCCGGAGAUUGUUAGAAAGGAGAGUGCUGAGGAGGAACCUUGGAAAGCAAAUAAGAAAGGAAAGGCCCGUCGUGUGGUGGAUAACAACCAUCAGCUGUACGUGUCUCAAACAGAGUUGCGAAUGUAUCAGCCGUCUCACCUACCCUUAUGGGAAUGGGACAAUGUAAAACUUUCCUUCCUCUUCUCUUCUUGUUUUUUUUUAUUAAUGAUGUGUUGUGUGGAUGUGGCUGAGACUGUGUGUUUUGCAACAAAACAGUGUAGGUUUGAGAAGUUGGUAUUGGAUGUGGAUGAAGAGAGUAAUGGGGAGAUGGAGAUUGAAAAAAUCAAAGGUCAAACGAUUGAAGCAAGAACAAGAGGUUCGCAUCCAGUCUGGGGUUGAAGAGGAGGAGAGUUGCAUUAGAAGAAGGAAGGUGAUAUGCUGCUUUUGGUUUUAUUGUUUCUUCACCAUAAACUCAGCUUCAAGUUCAGCGAUAGGACUACAAAAAUAACUGUGGAAAAUUGUAUAGAAAAUUAGAAAAGUUGGCAUACCUUUUAGAUGUAAAUAGCUAGCAGUAUAGUCUUCUUUGGUUACAGGUUGACCCCAUUAUAUUGAUUCAUGAAGUGCAUCUUCUUUGGAUGUAAGCGUAAUAAGAAAAAGAAAAAAAAGAAGGUUUUUGCCAUUUUUGCUGCACCUUUAUAAUGUGUGUGUGUGUGUGUGUUUACAAAGUAAAAAAAACAACAGAAAAGACUGUUACAAAAUGAAUGGAACAGACGCAAACAAGUGUUCCAUUGGGAAGUGAACUUCGGCAGCGCUAUGAGCCAUGGGGACAGGGUUUUCGCUGUUGCUGAUAACGAAAGUCCUUCCAAUCACAGCGCCUGAGAUGGAGACGGUCACGCAAGGGUCGGGUCGCUUGUGAUCUUGGAGGGCUUCUCAUCUUUAGAACUGUUCCUCCUGGUUUAACCCAAAUGUCUAAGUUACCGUGCAGCAGCCUCUACACGUAAAGAUCCGCUGCUGGUGACAAAGGGCACGGACUGCUGGCCGAAACCGUGGCUUGAUCCUCCUCUCAUUGAGAUUAUCAAACACUUGGCGAGCAAUCAAGAUUGAGAUUAAAGAUUGCAGCUUUAAUUAAUUUAAUUUAAUUAAUUAACGAGUGAGUGACGAAGAAGAAGACUUCAACUUUGGUUCGGCUGCUCAUGAUGAUAGUCGUUUUUUGAUUACUACACCAUUAUCUAAGUUAAAUCACAUAAGGAGAGUAAUUAACAAAUUUGGACGUUUUCUAUUAGUGGGAAAGAAAGUUUCUUCGUUGAAAAUUUUAUUUAAUUAUGAACCAUAGUUUUCAAACAGCUACGGAUGGUAUAUAUAUGAUGAAUUCAAAUUAAAUCACUUGUUGUCCGAGCAAAUAUCAUACGGAAAGAAAAGAAAUAUGACUUUAUAAAGAACUAAAAGUUACAUCCAACGGAUGUACUUUGAAAUUGAAUAGAGGUUUGGAAAAUAUCAAAUACCGUGUUGAAAAAGUAACAUAGCUAGACAGUAUGUAAACACAAAACUAUAAUUUUAUUAUAUAUAAAUAAAUAAACUGAAAAACGCCACUGUUUAAUAUUGCAGCGUUACAUUAUUGAUAUGCUAUUCGAUAGAUAAAUAAUUUAGAAUUUUCAUCACCUGUUAAAAAAAGACAAAAUUUUCAUAAAACAAAACAAUAGUUAAACAAAAAUACUUAUAAACCACCAUCAUCGGGCACAACUUGUUGGCGGUUGCCGCCACACCAAAUCCAUCCAAAAUGCCAGAGAACAGCCAAGAUGAUUAAACAGGCCACAAUAGCGGCAGUUAUGAUGUAACCAAUCGAAGCCCCCAUAUUAUUUCUUCAAAAAACCAAAAACUUGUUCUUUCUAACUUUAUUUUUCUUCUUUUAAGUUCAAGAGAGAACUAGCUUUAUAUAUAAAGAUGGUUAACCUUAUUAAAAUAGAAAAAAGUUAGACAUGGAAAAUGAAAAAUUCUAUUUCAAAAAUAAAAGAAAUCUUCUAAAUCUCUUGAAAGUCUUUGGCUUUUUUUUUUAAAGAAAUUUGGUAAAAUAUGUAAAUCAUGCAUAUAUCAUUAAGGAUUAUUAACCAAAAAGAAACUGGAAAUUUUACAUAAGUCAUUCACAAACGUUUGAUGACAUAUUUUUAAGCUAUUUGAUCGAAUAUGUCGUUAAAAAAAAGCAAGGACUACGAAAAUUUGGAAAUUUAACAUUUUAUGGUUCUCUAUAAAAGUAAAGUAUUUUUACUUGUUAUUUUUUCUUUUUCUUGUAUAUAAUGAAUUCAAAUUAAAUCACUCAUGGCCUUAGAAAAUAAUCAUUGUCUUAAAAAUAAAAACUAAUGUACAUAAGACAGAAGUAAAAUUUGAAACUGAAUAGAGGUUUGGUCCUUUUUGGAAACGAAGAGUAACGUGUUUGUAUAAUUUUCUUGACCUAGUGUUCGUAUGUUUAUCAUAGUCAAAAAUUUGUUAGGUUAUGCUUUUGAAUUCAUUUGGCUUGCCUAUCAUAUUAUAAAGUCUUGUGGCUCAUACUGUCCAUCAAGUCCAACUUCCACAAGUGCCUUGUGGAUGGUUUGAUACAUCAUUUGCAUGGUUUUGUGCUGCAAUUAUCAUGAAAAAGAUGUCAGUAUUAAUCGAGAUUACAUCAUUUAGCAAAUAAUGGACAAACUAUUUUACGUGCCAGUAUAGAAUCCUCUGUAUAGGGUUACUUGUUGGAGCACCUUCUGGCCACAUUGGAAUGACAAUGUAAGCAGCAAACUUCCCCCUUGCUCUAAUUUUGUUAGCAAUCUUUAGCGCGAUUUCAAUAGGGAUUAGAUUGUUAUUACAGCAACUAUUGAGUAACUGAACUUUCCCUUAAAAGCUCACAGUUACUUACCCAAGUCCUUGUUUGAAUCCCAGUUGAAUGAUCGAUGAUCCAAGAAAAUAUUGGUUCACAAUGUAGAUGAAAUGCUGAGCAGAUCUUAUGGCCUUAACAUAAGCUGCAUGUAUGCUCAUGUCAAUGAGUAUGUUCUUCCCACACAAAAGAUUCUGACCACAAACAUGUAUAUAUUAGAAGAAGAACCUUCUGAUAGUCCUAUCAAAUGCAGAGUAUCAAAGAGAGAUUAACCAUCAGAUUCAUCAUUGUCCAUCUAGUGUUAAUUAGGUUCAAAGCCGUCAAGGCUCUGUGGUAUCUGUAAUGUAACUCAAUUAUCUGAAUUCAUAGAGCCUUGGAUUGACAAGCAAGAAAAGAUACUGUAAGAAAACAAACUCGAGUUUCCCUAAAAGAAUCAUGUUAUAGAGUCUGUAACUUGUGAAUAUAUUUAAGUGUUGGUAGAUUCCUAUAUACGGCUUGCUUUGGUUACGUUGAUCUCAUUGUCUCAUUCUCUUCAUAUAAUGUAUGUUAACAUGAUCUAACACAUAUAAACUGAGCUUUUAUAUACAAAAUCAUGCAAGAUAUUAGAUUGGAACUUGUACGUUUUCAAGGCUGUAUACCUAGGCCCCGAAGGUAUCCAUAACUAGCAGAAAACUGAAGCGUGCAGAACAGAACUAACCAAGGAAAGGCUAAAGUAGUACUACAAAAAGACCUGCGCUAAAUUUACAAAAUUACUUUGUUUUUGGUGGGGGCGAGAUUGAAUAACUCACGAGAAAUGUGUAGCUGUCUAAAUUAGCGAAGAAAUUAGUCCUCAAAAAGUAAAUUCCGAAGUUGAAGCUCCAAUGUCUUUGUUCAAAGACUUUAUUUAGAGGUAAAGCUAUGUCUUGUAACCACCGAAUAGCUCCUUUUCAUCUACACUCUAUAUAUAUUUUAAAACAUGUGCUAAGUCUCCAAACUUAACCGGCUUAUACCAAACUGAACCCGGUCUACGGUUAAUCAAACAACGUUCUGUUGAGCUUCCGCGGUUAUUUAUGACAUUCCGGUUUAUAAAUCACAAAAAAACGUGAGAUUCAAUGAAUUCGUAUACUUAUAAGUUAAAAGACUACGUAAACCGGACAAAACCGAAGCGUUUCAUGCAAAUACAAAACGAAAAUCACAUCACAUUUUAAACCGUAGUCUUUCUACGUCUAAGUUUCUAACAAACACACAUUACCUUUUCAUCACAUGAAUCAGAUACGAUCUGCCAUUAAUAACCUCAACACAAAGCAAGGUUAGGUAAAUGACGUAGACCCUUUUUCAAUAAUCAUACAAUACAUAACAACGUAAGAUCCUUUUUCGACAUCCAUCUCCUUUCAGACAAAACCACGUUCAGAAAAGAACAGAGACAUAAACAGAAACAGAAACAGAAAGAUGCAGUUACAUAUAUCUCCAAGCUUGAGACAUGUGACGGUCGUCAAAGGGAAAGGACUAAGAGAGUUCAUAAAAGUGAAGGUUGGUUCAAGAAGAUUCUCGUAUCAAAUGAUGUUUUAUUCUCUCCUCUUCUUCACUUUUCUUCUCCGGCUUGUCUUCGUUCUUUCCACCGUUGAUACUAUCGACGGUGCCUCUCCUUGCUCCUCUCUUGGUAACUAGUUCUUGUCCCUUCAUUUAUUUAUUUAUUUUCUAAAUCCAGAUAUUUUAAAUAAUGAACUAUUGAUUUCUUUUUGAAUAAAAACUCUGUUUGUUGCUCAUUUUGUCACAAUUUUUGCUAAUUAAAAUAUGUAAAUGCGAUUUCUGUAAAUCAUUUAUGUAAAAUAUCAAUAUAAUUUUUUUUUUUUUUUUUGAUAAACAGCUUGCUUGGGAAAAAGACUAAAGCCAAAGCUUCUAGGAGGAAGGAUUGAGACUGGUGUAAGUUACUCUAACUUCAAUUUUAGUAUCUACCAUAUUUAAAUUUUGUUAUACUGUUAAAAGUCAAUUUUCUUUGGUUAUUCAUCUAGAAUGUUCCAGAAGCUAUAUACCAAGUUUUGGAACAGCCUCUAAGUGAAGAAGAGCUAAAAGGAAGAUCAGACAUACCACAAACACUUGAAGAUUUCAUGUCUGAAGUCAAAAGAAGCAAAUCAGACGCAAGAGAAUUUGCUCAAAAGCUUAAAGAAAUGGUGACAUUGAUGGAACAGAGAACAAGAACAGCUAAGAUCCAAGAGUAUCUAUACCGACACGUCGCAUCAAGCAGCAUACCAAAACAACUUCACUGUUUAGCUCUUAAACUAGCCAACGAACAUUCCAUAAACGCAGCCGCACGUCUCCAGCUUCCAGAAGCCGAGCUAGUCCCAACCUUGGUCGACAACAACUACUUUCACUUUGUCUUGGCUUCAGACAAUGUACUUGCAGCUUCGGUCGUGGCUAAGUCUCUGGUUCAGAACUCUUUAAGGCCUCAUAAGAUCGUUCUUCACAUUAUAACUGAUAGGAAAACUUAUUUCCCGAUGCAAGCUUGGUUCUCACUUCAUCCUCUGUCUCCAGCAAUCAUUGAGGUCAAGGCUUUGCAUCAUUUUGAUUGGUUAUCGAAAGGUAAAGUUCCGGUUUUGGAAGCUAUGGAGAAGGAUCAGAGAGUGAGGUCUCAGUUCAGAGGCGGAUCAUCGGUCAUUGUCGCUAAUAACAACGAGAAUCCAGUUGUAGUUGCUGCUAAGUUACAAGCUCUUAGCCCUAAAUACAACUCCAUGAUGAAUCACAUCCGUAUUCAUCUACCAGAGGUAAACUUGAUCCGUGUGACAGAGAAGAAUGCUCUGAACAUUAGACUUACAACUUCUUUGUCUUUGCAGUUGUUUCCGAGCUUAAACAAGGUUGUGUUUCUAGACGAUGACGUUGUGAUCCAAACUGAUCUUUCACCACUUUGGGACAUUGACAUGGAUGGGAAAGUUAAUGGAGCAGUGGAGACAUGCAGAGGAGAAGACAAGUUUGUCAUGUCAAAGAAGUUCAAGAGCUAUCUCAAUUUCUCAAACCCAAUAAUAGCCACAAACUUCGACCCAGAGGAAUGCGCUUGGGCUUACGGGAUGAAUGUUUUCGAUCUAGCGGCUUGGAGAAAGACUAACAUAACCUCCACUUACUAUCAUUGGCUCGACGAGGUAAAUCAAAACCACUAACUAGCCACAACAAACACUAUCAAGCACUAGUAGUCAACUUAACUCAGCCCAUUUUUCAUGUAUAUGUUGCAGAACUUAAAGUCAGACCUGAGUUUGUGGCAGCUGGGAACUUUGCCUCCCGGGUUGACAGCUUUCCACGGCCAUGUCCAGACCAUAGAUCCGUUCUGGCAUAUGCUUGGUCUCGGAUACCAAGAGAAAACGAGCUUCUCUGAAGCUGAAAGUGCAGCUGUUGUUCAUUUUAAUGGAAGAGCUAAGCCUUGGCUUGAUAUAGCAUUUCCGCAUCUACGUCCUCUUUGGGCUAAGUAUCUUGAUUCCUCUGAUAGGUUCAUCAAGAGCUGUCACAUUAGAGCAGCAUAAUAAUAAUCACAUAUCAAAACUCAAUUCACCGUUGGCUAAAAGAACCAGAGAAGAGAUUCAGAGAUCAACUCAUAGGAGCAUACUUUUCUGCAAUGGAGUUUUUACUUCACUGGUCAAGUUUCCCUCUUCCAGAUCAUGUUUUUGCAGUCUCUCCUGUUUCUAAUUCUUUUGUACUUCCAAACUCUAAUGGCGAGAAAGUAAUUAAAAAAACAUUCUAUAUAUUAAUGUAAGAACCAUCUGCCAAACUCUACUUAAAUUUACAUGUAAAUAGAUAACAUUGCACCAAGCAAUUGGAGUUUACAGUUGUUCAGCAGAUAACAGUUGUUCAUACGACCAUAACACGAUAAAACGAAAGCAACGAUAAGACUAAGAAAGCCGAGAAAGUGGAGAGCAAAACAAAUGGACUUUUCAUUUCUUUUUUCAGCGGAAGCAAGAAGCAAACCAGUCGAUGAUUUUUUUUCCUCCAAGUUAAGCAACUGGUGGACGAAGGACAUGAUCCUGAGAGGUAUCGACGGAAGCAGGAGGCAUGAACUGCCACAUGGCAACUCCUGGGUAACUGAUGAAUGGCACCAUCUUGUUUCCGGGAGCUUGGCCUUGCGCAGCAGAAGCAAAAGCAGUUGGCAUCAUAGGUGGAGCUGGGAAGAAGCUUGGUUGAGGAGCAUUCAUGGCUUUCAGCUGUUGCUCCAGCUUCUCUUUCUCUGUCUUCAGCCUCUGUUUCUCAUCUCGCAGCUCGUUUUUCUCAGUCUGUUCGAGAUUCACAAGGAAACUAGUAAGCAUGCAUGGUGAAAGUAUGGAUUCCCAGUCGAAGAAAAAUUUCUACCUUUAACUCUUUGAUUUUGUCCUGAAGACCUGAAUUGGUGUCCUUCAACUUCUGAGCUUCGCCGCGUAGCUGUGUCACCAUGCGGACAGCAUCGACCAAGAUUGCAGCCUUGUCUGUUUUGGGAGGGUUUCCAGGCUCCAGAAUUACACUUAAUUCCAUAAACCUGUUAUUCAUUUCAAAAGGCGAUAAACUUCAGUUCCUACAGUAGGGAAGAGAAGGAUAUACAAGUUGAAAAGAUUACUUGUCAUUCAGCCUGUCUCGGCGCUGCUUCUCUCUACAUGCUUUCGAGCUAGUGACAGAGGAUGAUUCACAUCUCGCCCUGCAAAAAAAGAAUUGACCAGGGAUUACUUUUUUUGAUACCUUAUCAACCUAAAAAUAUUCCAAGAAAGCCAAUAAUACAGAUCCACAGAAACAGUUAAAGAAUGAACUGUUUUGCAGAAGUUGCUAGAGUUACGUGGUCUUUUGAAAAAAGGUGCAACAGGUGGAGUUUAUAAGAAGAAGGCUUACCUCUUUUUGGAGCCAGGUUCCUUGCUGGCUUCUGAAUUUCCAGCCGAACCAUCAACUCCCGCGCUGAAUCCAACAAGAACCAAAAAGUUAUAAUUACAAUGCAAACAAUCCAAGGGAACUUACCAUAAAUCCCUCAAACACUCAUUUAUCUAAAAGUGGAAGCUCAAGAACUUACAAAUAUGCUCAUCUUCAAGGAAGAAAAGACGAAUCAUUAAAAAAAAAACAUUGACAUGGUAAGGUCAAACUAGCAACUCAGAUGGAAAGGCACUAUCCACAAAAGGAAUCUAAUUCCCACAAAACAAAGUGAUAGUUAUGAAUCGAUUCCCGAACCAAGAAACAUGUCAGGCACACACGCAAACAAGUUGACUUUGAGAUAAACAAACACCAGAACUCUCCUGAAGACUUAGGGCCUGACUGGUUUAACCGCAGAGGUUGCGGUUGCGGUUGCGGAAGUUUGCGGAUGCGGAUGGUUGCGGUUUCUAGCGGUUUUAAGAGAUUUGUACGACUGGUUAUGCGGUUAGAAAUUUGUGCGUUUGCGGGAUACUUAUGACUGGUUAACUACCAAAUGCAGCAGCAGUUAAAUAAUAAAUUAACAAUAUUUACAUUUUAUACAAUUAUAAAAAUAUCAAAAAUAAUAAUAUUAUAAUAAAUAUAAAAUUUAUAUUUAGAAAGUUAUAGUUUAAAUUUUUUAAAAAUAUAGAAAAUAUUUUUAUUUUAAAGUUUUAUAAUAUUAAUUAAAAUUUAAUUGAUAUAUUUUAGCAUUUUUAUAAUUUCAGUUUAAUUUUUUUAUUGAAUUUUUUUAUUUUUGUAUUUAUAUUGUUUUGGAAAAAAAAUAAUUUUUUUUAUCCUCCCGCAAACGCCCGCAACCGCAAACGCUAGCUGGAACCAGCUUUUGAAUUUAUGAGGUUCAGAGCGAUUUGGAGCGAUUUGGAGCGGUUUAGAGCGGUUUGAGCGAUUGUUGCAAAACGCCAGCAACCGCUACCAACCGCAAAAGCUGCGUUUGCGGGUGGUAGCGGGAAAACCAGUCAUACCCUUAAUGUCAUUAAAACCAACUGCAAGGAUACCUCACCAGCUUAAAGAGUCAACCUUUAAGCUUAAAAUGAAUCUUUCAGAUGACAAAGAAAGUAACAAUAAGAUCUCAGUUUCUUUCUCAACAACCUACUCAAACAAUCCCACAAGCUUAACAACUUAGCCAAUCAAAUUACAAAUUUCAAAUUCCAUAAUUUAACUUUCAUUUCUUCAGAAAACCCCUGAAAAAUAACAUUUUUAGGCCGAAUAUGCCAACUUGUGCGCAAGCAAUUAGGGUUCCCUUUGAUCAAAUUGCACACUCGCAUCACUAUACUGAUUCCUCCCAAAUGAAUCAGAAGCUGGUAAGAUCAGAUCGGAACCCUAAUUGAAUCAGUUAGAGAGAAGAGAAACCUGGAGUUAGAAGAAACGGCAAGAGGUUGGUGAACGGGCCAAGAGAAACCAGGACCUUGGAUGGUGAAGCCUCCAUAGUCCGCAUCGAUCAGGUCGGAUAUCCAAUUAGCGUUUUCGGGUGACACCAUCUCCUCCUCAAAACUCCACCGGUGGAUCGAUUUCUUCCGUUAAAAUUUGAUUGGAGCUGAAGAAAAAGAGAACUGUUGGAGGAGACCAAGUGUGGAAUAAUCCCAGGAGAUUUAGAGUUGUUUUCACGCGCAUUGCUUCUUCUCUUUUGGGCUUUCAAGGCCCAUACAUUUAUAUAACACUCAUAUUUUUGUAUUUUCUUUAUUUUAAUUUAUACUGUAAUUUAUAUUUGUAUAUAGAAAACCAUUGAUAUUCAGAGUACGUUCAUGCCUUGAAUAUUAAAAAUAUAAUUUUUCAUUAGUAUAUUAGUAGAUUAGUGAAAAAAUCAUAUAUAACAUCUUCAUAAAACGGUUCAGUAUAUGAAAAUACAUCUCUUUAAGGCAUAAGUAAAAUUGUUAAAUGUGAAUUUUUAUAAAGUAUGUAGAGUAAUUGGUUUAUAAUUCUCAUACUUUAUUAUAAAUAAAUACAUAUUAAAAUUAUUUUUAUAUAUGUUACUGUUACAUCAUCAUAUAUUUAUUGAAAACAAGAGUUAAAACAAACACCUAACUUGUUUUUGGUUAAAUCAGAAUGUUUGAAACUAAGCUUCCCAAAAUAAUAGCAUUCAAUUGAUAAAAUCUAGUGCUUCCAAAGACAAUGUCAAAAUAGAUAUGCUCGACACAAUUUCAGUUUUGUCAAAUACAAUUAUGCAGUAGAAAUUAGUAAUCAUAGUUCAACAAAAAUGAAUCCUAGGUAUGGACUAUGUGAUGAGCAAUAAACUCUAAACUGUAUUUUUUUUUAAAAAAAAUAGAAGUAUAUUUUUAUGGCGAGCCCAAGUUAUUUUGAAUUAACCCUUAUUUGAAUUUACUAGGUGUUUUUAAAAAUAUAUAAUUAAAUUAUAUUUCGAAAUUUAUAAUGCCAUAUUUGAAUAUAUUUAUUUUAAAGAUGAUUUAUGAGUUAUUCUUAUAUUCUAAAAAAAUUUCCAAAAUAUAAAAUUACAUUAAAUGUAAUAUAUGAGUUAUUACCAUAUUUUAAAAAGUUUACCAAAAAUAUAAAUUAACAUUAAAUGCAAUUGUCCAUGUCAUAUUAAACUAUAAGACAUGUCAUCAAUUUCAGUAGCCAUGUCAUAUUUGUUUUGUAAAAUUGAUUGUACAAAUGACAUGUGGCAAAUUUACUUUGCAAAUAUAAUCUAGGUGAUUUGAAUAGCAUGUGUUUUUCAAUAUAAAUUGUAACAUAUGACAUCUUACAUUCUUAUUUGAUGUGAAAUUAAUUCUCAUCUGAAGAGCAUAUUAUUCUCAAUAGGAAAUGAAUGUGACUUUUUACACAAUUAUUAAAUGAUAUAAGAGUUUUACAGAUCCAUAACUAUAUAUUACUAUUUCUCAGCUGGUUUUAGUUUUAUAUUCGUUUACUAACUAGUGUAUUGUUUUUUUUUUCUCUGCUUAUAUAUAAAUUUAUAAUGAUUUCUGAUCAGGUUGGUUGUAUUUGUACCGAAAUUUAUUCGAGAACAUGCAUGGUGUCGUUUUGUCGUGAUCUAGGAGAGAUCACAUUCUUCUGCUUCCUCGCAUCCAUACAUGGAAGUUCCAUAAGGAAUUAUUCCAAAAUACUACGAAUAUAUACAUAAAUAUAACAUAUAUGUUUUUUUUUACUAAAAGGUAAAUAUCAUAUAAAUGAAAGAAAAUUUACAAGCAUUGUAGAUCUAGAUUAUGUUACAUCCUUGGCAAAAAAGAGAAAAAAUAAGGUUGCAACAAAAUUGUAGAUGAGAAGACUAAUGUCAUCGCAGCCACUUAGCCAUAAGGGUGAGGAAUUGUUUCCUACCCCUCCUUGCUGUUAUGGUGUUGCGCAUUUCCCUGUCGAUGAGCUUGAAUAUGGCGGUGGGUGGCAGGACAAGGUGGUUGUGCAACACAUUGUUUCUUUGUUUUCAAAGAUGGUAGAUAAUAUAACAUAUAUGUUAGUCCGGCGUUAUCUUAAGUUAUAUAGAGUUGCUCUGAAUGUAAAAUUUCAAACGAGGUUCAACAAGCAAACACUCCAACGAUGUAACAUGGUGUUUUUACGUAUUGGUUUCAUUGAUAAGUACAGUACAUAACAUAUUCUAGACACAUACAUGAUACAUGAAUAUCAGUAGCAAUUUUUAUGUCCUUUUACAAAAAAAAAAAGUAAAUAUUUUUUCUUGCUUUAAGAUAACAUUGGUAUUUAACUAUUCAACUAGCAUUGCAAAUAUAAAUAUAUUUGUUAGUGUCAAAAUUUUUAAAAUGUAAAUAUAAGAUUCCCAUGACAUCUCAGGUUCAUAUAAAAACUGCUAUAUAGAGGGAUAAAUUAUAAUAGCACCUCUUCUGUUUUAUUUAUAACAAAACUAGUUAAUUCUUAAAUUAUAGCUGUAUAACAACGAAUAAUAGCAUUUUUCAAAAAAAAGAAACGAAUAAUAGCAUCCUGAGCUUUUCGCAUUCGAUAAAAUUUUGCAUAAAUGUAUCACGUAGAAGUCAACUUAUUUUCUUCGGAAAAGCUAAAUUGAUAAAUAGACUUAUCAACUACUGCUCAGGGGAUAUCCAUAGAGACCGUGGGUAUAUCCUCUUAAUAUAUUAUACUAAUCUAUUAGCAAAUUUCUAUCAUGUUUUUUAUAUGUCAUCGUCCUUCUUGUCUUGAUAUCUUUUAUAUAUAGUACAUACACAAAUGUAAUCAUAUACAAAGUAAUUACAGGGGAGAUGAUCCUCUUCUUCUUAUUAUAAGCUUCCACUACUAUUAUUUGAAGAAUCACAAAAAAACUAUUCCAACUACAUUUAGUUUGAUUAAAUAAUUUAUGCAAAGGUGACGUUAUAUACCAACUUGAGUAUCUUAUCUAUGAUAAACUUUCAAUAUUCUGAAUCAAAUGUAAUAUCAUAUGAGUGUUCUAUAUAUUUUAGAGUUUGACUUAUUCCGUUACCAAGUUCCGUGGAACGGUGGAAGCAUGAAUUGUGCCACUAGUGCUCCAGAUGUUUCUUAGUUUACCUUAUCCACUAAUAGGAAUUCAAGAGCAGUUGACUAUAUAAAUCAUACAAAUAAUUUAUGUACUUUCUAGGCAACAUUCAUUCUUUAUAUUCUCAUUAUAUCUGUAAUUUGUAAAGUUUGAUUUGAUUUGGUAUCCUUUUCUAUUCAGUCAAAAAUUUUGGAUAUGUGUAACUUUAUGGAGAAAAAUAACUAAUAAUUUGUUAUAUUUAUAAAAAAAAUCACAAAUAUUAAUAUUUUUAAAGUGAAUUUUCAUUUUGACAUGUUAUAUGCAUAUGUAUGUAAAUUUUUUAUAUAGAAAUUACAAUUAUUAUAUUUUAAUGUAUUUUAAUUAUUACAUUUUAAUGUAAAUUUUUAUAAUAUUAUCAUUUAUUAAAUUGAUUAUAUAUUACAAGAUUAUUCUAAAAGUAAUUAAAAUAUUGUUAUUUUAUAUUAAUCUGGAUUUAAAAUAAUAAUUUUAUUUAUCAAAUCAGAUGUUCAGUCAAAAUAUAUAUUUUCAGAUAUUAGGAGACUACAUAAUUGGAUGGUGGAAUAGUUGCGGAGCGGAUACAGACUAAUUAGCCCAGAUAAACCUUACCACUCCAUAUUAACAUUCAUGGAUAGACACGAAGGGUUCAAAUGGUCGUAUAAGAAAUUAAGGAGAAUAGUCAAUUUCUGAUCAUUCUUUAAAAAUUAUACUAUUUAUGAGAAAUUUUUUAUGUGUUUAGUUCCUUGUCAUUUCUUGAAUUUUAAGGAAUUAUAGAAAAAAAUAUUUUUUAUCAAAAUUGAUGUGGAACAAAAAGAAUAAAUAUUUAUUUUCAUUUUUUUAUUUUGUUCCUAUUCAUUUAUUUCUUACUCAUUCAUGUUUUUAUUUUAAUGGUCACCGGUUAGUGUUGUAGUAAAUUUUCGAAUUUAUAGAGAUAUUUUUUGUUUUGUUUAUAAAAUAAGAAAUACGACGGUGGAACAUUGAAAUACUAUACAUGUAUGCUGUGUUUUGUGUGAUAAUAAUGGUAUUCUAAUUACUAAAUGUUAAAUUAUUGGUAUCACAUUUUUUUUUUGUAAAAAGCAUUAUUUAUCAUGGUUUUUUUUUGUCAAUGGUAUAGACACAUGCAACGUCACUAAAAACGGUACAUUUCCAUGCAUGACUUAAAAUAGUUUGGUAAGUUUCUUUUCAACAGGAAAGUAUACUAAUAUCAACUGUCAAUUUUGAGAUCAUAGAGUAUGAUCCUAUCACUAUCAAUUUUUCCCUUUUCUCAAAAAAAAAUCGCACACGAAUACCACAAACUGUACAAAUCGAAAUGAACCUAUUGAUAAUACAAGUUGAAUUGAUUGUAAUGAGAGCCGUGCUAAAGUUGGUGAACGCCAUAACCAAGUUCUGACAAAAAUACGAACAAGUAAACAUUGUAAUCUAAAGUAAGAGUAUAAAAUUGAUGUUUCACAACUUUUAGUUCAGAACAACCAUAAUCAUUAGUCUCGAUUUUUUGAUCAAAUAUUAACAUUAGACUUUUACACCAGGUUAAUUGAUCAAUAACAAAGAGAAAUUAAUAUUUUGAACCCCAGAAAAAAAAAUUGAAUCCAAACACAAGCUAAACCAAACAACAUGUAUAUAAAAAUGCUAAACCAAACUAUACAGAUUACAACCAAAAGGUCUUUGUGUUUUCCCGUUAGAAUCAUCUCAUCCUUCCAUCCAAAAGUACACACAUUCAUGUAAUUAACUUAAGAGAAUGAUAUGCCUUCAAAACCUUACCACUCCAUAUUAACAUUCAUGGAUAGACACGAAGGGUUCAAAUGGUCGUAUAAGAAAUUAAGGAGAAUAGUCAAUUUCUGAUCAUUCUUUAAAAAUUAUACUAUUUAUGAGAAAUUUUUUAUGUGUUUAGUUCCUUGUCAUUUCUUGAAUUUUAAGGAAUUAUAGAAAAAAAUAUUUUUUAUCAAAAUUGAUGUGGAACAAAAAGAAUAAAUAUUUAUUUUCAUUUUUUUAUUUUGUUCCUAUUCAUUUAUUUCUUACUCAUUCAUGUUUUUAUUUUAAUGGUCACCGGUUAGUGUUGUAGUAAAUUUUCGAAUUUAUAGAGAUAUUUUUUGUUUUGUUUAUAAAAUAAGAAAUACGACGGUGGAACAUUGAAAUACUAUACAUGUAUGCUGUGUUUUGUGUGAUAAUAAUGGUAUUCUAAUUACUAAAUGUUAAAUUAUUGGUAUCACAUUUUUUUUUUGUAAAAAGCAUUAUUUAUCAUGGUUUUUUUUUGUCAAUGGUAUAGACACAUGCAACGUCACUAAAAACGGUACAUUUCCAUGCAUGACUUAAAAUAGUUUGGUAAGUUUCUUUUCAACAGGAAAGUAUACUAAUAUCAACUGUCAAUUUUGAGAUCAUAGAGUAUGAUCCUAUCACUAUCAAUUUUUCCCUUUUCUCAAAAAAAAAUCGCACACGAAUACCACAAACUGUACAAAUCGAAAUGAACCUAUUGAUAAUACAAGUUGAAUUGAUUGUAAUGAGAGCCGUGCUAAAGUUGGUGAACGCCAUAACCAAGUUCUGACAAAAAUACGAACAAGUAAACAUUGUAAUCUAAAGUAAGAGUAUAAAAUUGAUGUUUCACAACUUUUAGUUCAGAACAACCAUAAUCAUUAGUCUCGAUUUUUUGAUCAAAUAUUAACAUUAGACUUUUACACCAGGUUAAUUGAUCAAUAACAAAGAGAAAUUAAUAUUUUGAACCCCAGAAAAAAAAAUUGAAUCCAAACACAAGCUAAACCAAACAACAUGUAUAUAAAAAUGCUAAACCAAACUAUACAGAUUACAACCAAAAGGUCUUUGUGUUUUCCCGUUAGAAUCAUCUCAUCCUUCCAUCCAAAAGUACACACAUUCAUGUAAUUAACUUAAGAGAAUGAUAUGCCUUCAACUUCACACAUCUUUCUGUUUCUCUCAUCCAAGACUCAAACGAUCCAAUGGUUUAAUGAUGUUAGUCUGCCUACGCGGAGUUCCAAUCUCACAAGCAUUCACUCUCGCUGCGAAUCUCAGAGAGCAGAGAGACUCACCGGUUGAAGAAGAUUCAGGCGCAAUGUUUACAAACAUCAGAGUCUUUGAGUCACCGCCUAAGCAAGGCUGAAUCAUUACAAACGAAAACAUAGUUUCAUCAUGAGAAGAAACAUAAUCUUUUGAUAAUAUGUGUGUUUUGUAAAGUAGUAAGUACCUGGAGAAGAUAAGUCAGCUUCGAGUUACGGAAUGGAACAUGAUCAUCUUUCUUUGCUAAGGCGAAGAUGACAUCACCAAGAGACGACAAGCUUUUGUUGAUUGCCUAAAAAAAGAAAUGUUUUCUAAGCUACAAUUGCAAUUAAAAGGCUUAAAUUGUGUUUUUAUGUUUUUUGAAGAGAGCUUACUUGAGUUUCUUUAAGUCUAUCUCCGGUUGAUCCACUCUUGGACAAACGCUCACUCCCUGCAAGAUCAAUCAGGUUCAAGACCCCUUGAACUUGCUGCUCAGUGCUCUUUAAGAAGAAGAACACAAAAAAAAACAGUUUGGUUUAUUACACAGAACAGAAGUCAAUCUCUACAAGAAAAAGAACCAGUUUGGUUAAUAGAUACCUCGUUGACACCUGAGAUUCUUAACGUGAAAACGAAAUGGCUUCUUGAAGACUGCUCGUUCAUCUGAGUCUUCCCCACCGAUCUAAAAGAAAAAGAAAAGAAAACCAACGUUUAUAAAACCAUAACCCAUCUGUUAAUGGGUUUUUCACUUUUAGCUGUUCACCUGUUACGAGCAGCGUGAUCCAAGAGGAAUGAAACCUCUCUGGAGCUUUUAACAUCCAAGAUAGUAAGCUCAGCGACAUGUGUGUUCCCAUGAGCAUCAUGUUUAAUAGCAUGUUUCUGUGGAGAUACACCAUUGUCUGUUCGCACUGCUUCUUUGUUUGUCGACAAGAGAUCUCUGAUCGUUUCAUUGUAAAUCUCCAACAUAGAAACCUAUGCACAUGAUACAAGACUAGGUAAAGUUACAUAUCAAUUCUAACCACAAGGAUGUAUCUUGCUUAGUGCUACUUACCUGCAAUUCGUACUUCCAACCUUGAGAUCUAAGAGACUGCCUCGUUUCGAAUAUUUGCUCCAAACAUCUUGGGAUCAGACCUUUCUCCUCAGCAUUCCCUGGCUUACCCAUCAUUGUGUAAGUCUUACCCGAACCGGUUUGUCCAUAUGCAAAAAUGCACACCUGCAAAAUGAAUUAGUAUCAGCUUAAUGCAACAAACAGACCAAUUGGUCUAGUGGUAAGGAGUGUCUAGUAGGCACUCCGCCACUAGGUUUCAAUACUUACAUUGCUUGGGUUUCCGGCAAAGAGGUGAAACCACUUUUUUUUCUUAGCAAAAAAAAAUGCAACAAAAAGAAUAUUAGUUUCCAUUUUCAUUACCUUGUAACCAUCGAGAGCACUUUGAACAAGUUGAGAGAUCUCUAUGAAAACGUCUUCUUGUGUUGUAUUAGGCAGACACACCUUAUCAAAUGUGAACGAAUGCUUUUGCGCUGUCCAUAGCCGAAAACACACAACAACAAAUGUUUAAAAUAAAAAAAAACUGUGUCAUUUCCGUAAGAGCCAGAGUUUUAUAUUUAGUUUCAUACCAUUUUGCAUCAAGUCAAUACCGCGACCAAGUAGUUCUAGAGAUGCAGGGUAAGAAAUGGUCUUCCCCUCAUCACCGUUGUUCUCUCCUGGUAAUAGAGGUCUAACUCUACAGAACACACGUAUGUUCCCUUUCAGUUCCUGCAAGAUGAAACAAAAAAAACAAUGAUCAGACAAAAGCUUACACAAAUGGUGGCAGAGGUUACUUAAAGAGGAUCAUACAAGAAUAGUAUUGUGUAGCUUCUUCCUUAGUUUCUCUCCUUCAACGAGUUUAAGCUCUGCUUCUUCCACGCGGCUUUUGAGAUCGAUAAUGGUUUGCUUCUGGUCUUCAAACUCGUUCAUUUUCUCAAAUGUAGUUAGAUCAGACAUCUAAUAAACCAUCAACAAAUAAAAAAUGGUAUCAGAAAACUUGGAAAAAAUAUAAUGCAGCCACUUGAGAAAUGUGAUGAAACCUGAAGUCUCCUAUCACAAGAUACUAGUCGGUCUUGCAACUCCUGUAUCUGGUUACUCUGGGAAGAACAAGUGGUCUGCACCAAAAAUUUACCAUCAUCUUAGUAGAAAACAUUCGGCAGUAGAUCUUGGUAAGAAAAUAUGAAAGGAUAUCAAAACCUCAAGCUCAGUUAUAGUGUCUUUGAAAUCAUUGUACUUGUUUGCUUCUGUUUGUAAGGUUUUUAACUCCGUUAAAUGGUGAUCACGUUCAUCUUUAGCCUGCUGAAGCUCCACCUUGAGGCUCGCAAUUUCGUUUACCAGUUCAGCUUUCUGCUUCAUUAUAUCAUCUUGAGAGGCCUAGCAAACAGAAAAACAAGACACACAGUCAUAUUCUGAUGACUAGUAACAUAUAUAUAUUCCAAAAGUAAGAUUUUCUAGAUUUUUUUUUUUUGUUGUAUAAAGAUAUAUUUAUAAUUUUAAUGUACUUUUAUUAAUUGAUGUUAAUGAAUUGUAUGCUUCUAAUGAACACUAACUGCCAAUAUUUCAACUGAGUAAAUCUUAUUGGUUUACUGUUACUGGAAACUGCUAGUAUAUAUAAAUCAUAUAGUAAUUAUAAACAUUUGUUACAUUUUAAUAUGCUUGAAAACUGUAGUGUCUUUCUUUUAUGAACGGAAGGAGUCCUAUCUAUUGGUCGAAUUAAAAUAGAGAGUAUGAAACACCUUAGAAGCAGCAAGCUGAUCCUGCAAUGCUGAGAAUUGACCCUUCAAGUUGCCAAUGUUCUCAACUAUCUCAGUCCUUUCUUUCUCGCCGCGUUUUAUAGUUUCAUGAGCUUCAUCAAGAUCACCUUGUAGCUUGCUGUUAUACAGCUGCAAGCUUGAGUUAUACUCUUGCAACAGUUUGUACAUGUCAUUCACAGAUUGUAUCUGAACAAAACCCCACAAAAAAAUGUCAUUAGGUGACAUCAUUUUUAACAUUUCAGAUCUUCUUUUUUUUAGUUUCCUCACCCUUUGAUUAGCAGUUUGAAGCUCUCCUUGUGCUUUUCCUAGCUCUUCUGUGAGUCCAGACUGUGCCUUUUCAACAGCAUGUCUUGCUUCUUUCUCUUUUACAAGAGAAUCAUUUGCAGCCUAAAAGCAAAUUAAAACAUCAGACAACAAGUGUUUAAUUUUUAACUAGAGACUAGCAGCUGUCUUACCAACUUCUCUGUCUGUUCCUUGGCAAGUUGAAUUUGAGCAGAUUCAAAAUUCUUCCUCAGUUCCUCAAUGAUCAUAUUCAGCUCCUCUUCUUUGUUUUUCAAGCUAGCCUCUGUCAUCAAAUUGCAAUAAUUUUGAAGUUUCAAUCCCAAAACUUCAACAAACUAAAAUCUAAUUUUUAAAACGCACCCAUAUCAGCACAAUGCUUCUCAUUCAAUACCAAAGCGUUCUUCAACUUCUCUUGCUCAAAAGCGUAGUCCAACUCCAGUUCUUGAAACCAUCUAAUGCAAAGUCUAAGUCUUUUUAUAUAUUCCAUCAUGUUCUCACAUCUCUCCUGCAAAACCAACCACCAAACCAAGGAGAAAAUUCAAAAUUCUCAGACCAAAAAUGGUCAAACACAUAAACAAAAAGUCUUUAAUGCUCAUAUCAAACAGACAAAAAACUAUUUUGUCCCCACAAGUUGUCUUAUAACAUUUCAAAUCUUCUUCAACACCCAACAGAUCCAAUGAGAAAAGCUAGUAAAUCAAACUGAAAAUUAAAGCAGAUCAUAAAACAAAGUCUUCAAUGCUAAUGCCAACUAAAGGUCCCACAAAAUGUCUUAUAACAAUCAAAUCUUCUUCAAAAUGAACCAACAAGAAAAGCCAGUAAAACUAUUUAAAACUCAAAACUUCUUUAAUCAAGAUUUAGUAACUUAAACUCUUUGGUAUUAAGAAUCCUAAUUGAUAUGCUUAUCCAUGACCACAACACAAUCAAAUUCAAACAUAAGUCAUAAUACCAAACACCUAAAAGAAAAAAAAAGAAAGAAAUAUUCAGUGAGCGUGCAAACAAAAGAAGAAACCUUGUAGUUGAACUUGCUCUUGUACUUGAUUCGCUCAUUAAGAAGAGCUUCAACGUCUUCUCUUGUGAACUCAACCUGACCACAUUCAGAUCCCGCCGUGCUCACCGGAGCACUGUCCGGCGUCAGAUCUUUAGACCCAUUCGCCACCGGAAAAGCUGACCGGAUUCUUCCAUUGCUUGCCAUCGUCCCCACCAUAACAGAGGAAGACUUGUUCUCUCUUCUUGUUAAUUAACUACUUCUCAAGUCUCUCUCUUUUCUACCAAUCAAAGUAUAAACCUGCAACAAAGGGUAGAGAUCUUUAGACUUAAAUGUAAAUGAUAAAUUGAGUAAAAAGAUUUAAAUGAAGGAAAAGGAAGGAAACCCGUGAAGAUGGUGUAACUAAACCAUUGAUUUGAACGAGAAACAGAGCAUUUUGAGGAUAAAGAUUGAGACUUUAAGGGAGAAGGAUGAAAAGUAAAGAAACCCACUGAUCUUAAAGAAUGGAUGUGGAAGACAUGUUCAGAUUUGUGAGAGCUGUUGAGAGUGGAGGAACACGAAAUAUUGAAAAGAGAGGAUCUUUGAGCAUUUAAGAAGGUCUUUGUAAUAAAGGAUUUGGGUUUAGAAAUGGAGGCACGUUUCAGUUCUGUUCUUCUGGUCUCUUCUUGCUGCUGCUGUGGCAACUUGUUUUCUAUAUUUGUUGGUUUGAAUGUUCAAAGAGAGAGAGGUGAGAGAGAUGAACGUGGGGCCGUUGAUUGGAUCUGAAGUCACCCGAGGUGAUGCAAUCACAGCCGUUGCUUUGUUAAGCAGCAAACAGAUGGACCAAAGGGCAGUGUGGGUAAGGUAAGUGGACUUGAUUAUGACUUUAAUCCAUACAUCCAAAUAAUUAGUUAAUCUAUAUUAGUAACACAGAAAACGUAACAUUCCUCAAGAUCAGGAUUUUAUGUCAAGAAAAAAAAUAAACAAUAGUUUGCAAAAUAUUCAUUAUGAAAAAUAUUUUCUAAAUUGUAAAAAUGAUUCAUCUAGGAUUUUUUCUUCAGUUAAAAAUUAGUUUACACAAGUGUUUAUUUGUAUUUUCUUUCCAAACAGAUUUUUAAAAAUAUUUUUAAAAUAUGUAUCUAAUAAAUAGAACACACAAGUAAAAACCAUAUUCAUAAUAAAGGUUAAGUGAUAUAUAUAUAUAUAUAUAUAUAUCAAAUUUUUGUAAGUUAUUUUAAAUAUCAUUAUUUAUGUUUAAAUUUCAAAAUUAAGAAUUUUAUAUUAUGUUGUAAUUUAAUACUCCAUCUUUUUUUAUUUGGCAUUGUAGACUUGUACACACAAAUUAAAAAAAUAUUUAAUUUUGUAUAUUUCAUAUACAAAAACAUCAUGAACUAUACACUUAACCAUAGUUCAACCAAUUAGAAAAAUAAACUACAUAAUAUAAAGAGUCAUAUAACAUGUAAAGUUAAUAGAUUUUGUAUUAAAUUUUAAAAUGUCAUUUACUUUGAAAUAUUAAAAAAUUUCUAAAACGUUAUUUAUUUAUUUUCUUAAAGGAAAAAUCAGUUAUUAAAAAUGAAGAGAAUAUUGUUUAGUACACAUUUUGAUAUUUAAGAGAAAGGAAAAAACUCAAAAUGAGUCAAAGCCCAAAAAUUUAGAUGGAAUCUUCUUGUUUGGUUUUAAUUUUUAAACAAGAUGUAAAAUACGUUACCAUAUGCUGUCUCGGUAAUCUCACAUAUUUAAAACGAUUUAAGAACAAAAAUUAAGAAAAGCUAACAAUAACGUGUCGGCAAAAUGUGAUAUGUCAACAUUUUUAGACAAUAGAUUCCUUUCAGGAAAAAUGGAUAUUUUAUUUUACCGAAAUUACCCUUAGCAUCGUUUCAAAUUGCUAAAAGUAGUCACGUUUCUGGUUUGAAAAGGUAUGGGCUAAAAUUGUCCGAAUGAAAAAUUGUCUUUUGUCGUAUAGUUCUUUAGAUUCUGUCUCGAACCCUGACGGGAUGUCAAAUUUCAUGUGAAACUCUUAUGGUCCGAGGGGUCCGAGGAGCAAGCUCUAUUGGCAGUUGAAAUAUCGUCGUUGAUGAGGUUAUGAAAUUGACGUAAUUGAAUACUCUUAAGCAUUGAAUUAAAACGACAUUUUAUGGUAAGAUCAUAUUACUAUAGCUUUGGGGGUUCAAAAAAGGUAAAUUGUAUGAUGUCAAGAAAAGAGGGUAAAAUGUAUAUCAUUUUAUAUAUCAGCAAUUCAAAAUAAAUAAAUAAAUGUUGCUUUUUUGGUUAGUUAAUGGUUGACAAAGAAUCAUUUAGUGCAUUCGAGACUCACUAUAAUCAUUUUUAACUUUAUACACUCUAGUUACAUUCUUAAAGUUAGCAAUUAUUUUGUCUGUUUAGCACCAUAGUGUUGCAAACUUUUUUAUUCACCUUUUACAAUUUGAAGCCAUUAUGUAACUAAUUUUUUGAUAAUUGAGAUGGGUUUUGAACUUUGCGCAUUUUAUACGGAUAUUAAAAUGAAAAAAUAUAUGUACCUGGAUAACGCACACAAUGAUAGGGAUGAGUUCGUAUAGCCAUUCGGGUUCGGAUCGGAUAUAAAACCCGUUUGGAUUUUUCAGACCGGGUUCGGGUAUUUUUAGUUCGACUUUGGUUAUUUUGGGUCGGAUUCAGAUAUUUUAGAGUUUGAAAGAAAAAAUUAAAAUUUUCAUUUUUAAGUUUUUUGUAUUUAAAAAUAUAACUUUCACCUAACUGAUUUUUUUAUCUUUAAUAAAUUGAAUGAUUAAUAGAUUUAGAGAUAACAUUUCAAAAAUAAAAAAACAAUAUUUUUAAAUUUUGGAUGUAACUUUUGUUAAUACAUGAAAUAUAAAGUUUGACAUGCAUUUUAGGUAAGUAUCAAAUCAUUUUGUCCGUAAUUAUAUGUAAAUUAUAUGAUUUUAAAGUAUAUGUAACAUCAAUAUAAAAUAUUUUAAAUAAAAUAAGAGAUGUAAACUAAAAAUAUAAGGUUGAGUAUACACAUGUUCGGAUAUCUAUUCGGGUUCGGAUAUUACCGUUCAGAUUCAAAUAUCUAAUAUUUUCUAAAUCAAUAUCCGCUUAGGUAUUUUACUAUUUCCAUUUGGUUUUUAGUUCGAGUUUUUUGGAUCAGGUUCGGAUACAGGUUCGGUAUCGGAUAAAAUGUCCAGGUCUGCAUACUGAUACUACUUCAUGCAAAGGUGAUUAAUAGGGUGAUGCAAGGAUCUCGCCAAAUCUGAAAUAGUCAAACUGUAUCCUGUAAAUUACAAUAAACUAAUAUAAUUAAAUGUAUUAGAUUGCGUUUUUCUAUUAAAAUCGUGGCUUCGAAUGUCAAGUUGAAAUGGUCUGGAAAUCCAAGUUUGCUAACUGGUAUAAUAUCUUAAUAUAAAAUGCGUUUCGUUGUGAACAAAAGAAAUGCGUUUCGUAGUUAUAUUUAUAAUUUUAAUGAUUUGUGGUCUGCAUGUAGUUUGUAUUUGGAAUUUUGUUGUUCCAGGAAAUGGUCUACAGAUUUUUUAUAAUAAUUAAAAUACUAAUUUGAUUCCUGGUUCCUGGUCGUAAUAUGUUUUAAUCUCAUUUACAUUUAAUCGUAUUUUCUCCUUAGUUUAAGAAUUUGUUUCAUAUAAUUUAUUUCUUUGCGUCAAAUGGGUGCCAAGUAUAUUUUCCCUUUUUCUUUACAACUUUAUUAUAACGUGAAUUUGUUCAUACUUCAGUGUUAAGCCAUGAUUUUGUACUCCCACUCAUCUAAUUGAAUCAAAUUAUAUACUAAGUAUUAUAUCUUCAGAAUCUAAAAUAAACCAUGUAUAACAUGAAAUCGUGAUAUAUAGUUAUAGACAGUCAUUUGAAAUUGUCAGAAAAUGGAUUUUAAAAAAAGCUCUCAGAAAACUAAAAUCCGUCAUUUGAAAUUCUUAUCUUAUAUAUUAAAACAGAAGUCACAAUCUUCAUUCAUGUGUGAUUUUUUUUAAAAUGGACCUAAUGGAUCUAUUCAUAGAAAUUCAUACUAUAUUUUAAUUCAGACUAAUAAUAAAUAUAAUUUUAAAAAUAUUUUAAUCAUAGUAUCUUUUGAUAUCUUUUCAUUUUAAAUAUAAAUAUAUUUAUUUUAAAAUUCUAACAAAUCUGUUUAAGAAGAUUUUUACAAGAUCUUCAUUUUUGAAGUAUUUAAAUAUUUUCACUAAUUUCAAAAUUAGUUUAAAAUAUUAUUAUACAUUAAUAUAUUCAGUUAUAUAAAAUGAAAAAUAAAAAAUCUAUAAUAUUUUAGUUAUUAUAUAAUCAUAAUCAAUCAUAUUAAAUUAAAAUUAUUAUAUUGAUCUAAAUAUAAUAAAAUUGUAUUAAAUUUAUAUAUUUAUAUAUUUUAUUUUCGUAAUUAUAAAAUAUUUAUGUUCAAAAAUAAAAUCUAAUAUGUUGGUAAGAUGGGUUAACAUUAUCAAACUAUAUAAUACAUGUAUAAAAAUUAACAUGUAUUUCUUUAAAGUUAAUAAUAUGAAUAUAUUAAUUUGCUUAAUAACUAAAUGCAAAUACAAUAAGAUAAAUAUAUAAUAAGAAGUGGCAAAUACAUAAGGUUUAAACAAUUAAUUAAUUAUAACAUGUAAAUUAUAAAAUUAUUGUAUUUGAAAUAGUUAUAUAAAUAUUUAAGUAUAUGAUUAACAUUAAAAAUAUAUACCACUUAUGUUCUAAAACAAUAAUUUAUGUAUAGAAAAGUGAAAACAAACACCCGUGCGGUUGCACGGGUCAAAAUCUAGUAUACAUUUAAACUAUUAAAUCCAAAAUAUAUGUCUAGACGUUUAUAUGGACAAACGGCAAGAUAAUGAUAUUUAUUCAGAAACUUGUUUUUAUUUUUGUUCGUGUACAGUUUUCUAUAUUAAAAUAGAAGUUAAGGAAGUGCACCAAACACUUCACAUGAAGAAAGGGUUGUUGCCAAAUCUUUUUUCAAUUUAUGGUCGAGAGCUCCAAAGUUUUCAUCGAAAGUCAUUUUCUCACAUCAAACCUAGACCUACUUCUUCGGUUAAAAACUUAGUCUAGUACUGUUCUGUUAUAUACUUAACUUGUUCCAUUAACGCACUAUGUCAUACUUUUUAAUAUAUGUAAUAGUAAUCACUCUUAUUUCAUUUUCUCCUAAUCGGUAUAUCGACCUCCCGCAUCUAUUAUAGAGUAGAAAAGUAACUACUGGAUCGUUGCGUUGGAAUGUAAGAGGGAAUUGCUAAGAUGGUGAAAAAUGUAUAUCAUGGGAAGAAUGUUCAGAUCUGAGAUGGAUUGUACUACUUUACAUUUAGUUUCUCUAUAAUCGUAAUUGAGUGUUUUCUUGAGUCUAGUUCCAUUCUCCAUAUGCCUAAACAGUCCACACUUUGAUCUAGAUUCAGUGACUUACUAUACUUGUUGCAGUUGUCCGUGUGUAUACGUGGAAAGAUAUUCGUCGAACAUAUCAAGCAAAAAGUAAUAAUAAUCGACAACCGUGAUAAAGCUGACAUUUAAUACUAAUAAAAAUGAAGAUCUACUACAUACCUCUACAAGUAGUUAUUGAUAUGAGACAACAAUUCGUUUGGAUUUUGGUUUUAUGCUCAACAGAGAAUGAAAAUGCCGAUGGAUAUUUGAAUUUAGUCACAAUUUUGUGGAAACAAGGGACUCAAUACUUUAUAAGAAUUGCUUAUAUUGGUGAUGAGUAAUGUCUACUACGUGUAACUUAAUUAAAUUUGCAAAUAGUUUUUUUCAACAGAUUUUCAAUAUAUCUAGUGAGAAAAUAGAAUCCAAUGCAUCAAUGUUGCCUGACCUAAAGACGCAUGUAGUUUGAGACAUACGUAAUUCCAGUAUGUUUGCGUCAAUUUGGUUACGUUGGUGAUUGAGUAUUCUACCUAUUAAGAAUGGUUCCUAAACCUAAUCAUAAUCUUAUUUUUGUUGUUGUUUUGGGUACAUUGAUUCAACGACCACAAACGUGAGUAAACUCAAUUUACCAAACCAAACCAAACUAAAACCGAACCGAACCAAAUUAAUUUGAAUUGACUUUUGUUAAUUUUUUCUUAGACCCACAUAACUCAAACCAAACCAAACUCAAACCAAGCCCGUAGCUAAACCGAAAUGCCCACCACCCCUAGUACGUACUAGAUUCAAUGACCACAAACGUGAGUAAACUCAAUUUGCCAUAUGUUUUGAUAUUCGCUGACCAUUUUCACCGGUUCCAAGAAACAUUGUGUUUACUGUCUCUGUCUGUAAGUAGAAGUACAAGUACGCUGAUACUGAAAUCAGGAGUUAGGAUAUAAAAGAUUAUACGCUUUCAUUAGAAACUAAGCUUACUUCUGGUUGGGUUUAUAUAUUUGUGUGUUAAUAAUAUGUGUUAUCUUUGAGGUAUUAGACUAGGCUCAGUUUGGGCUUAAAUGUUUUUCCAACUUGGGCAUGUUAAUUCCGGUAAAUACCUUCUCAUUUGAUAAAUAAUUCGCAUGCCAUUUAGGCAUUUAGGGUCCCUUAAUAAUACCCAAAAACAUGCAUCUAGCGCACUUUCACCGUAUGCAAUAAAAAAUUACUCCAGUAACAUGUGUAAUCUAUACUAUACUAAAAGGGAGAUAUAAACCCCUCUUAGAGUGUCCACAUCAGCAUAUAUAAUCAUCCAAUCAGAGAGCCCGAAGUUGCCACGUCAUCUCAUUUAUUUUUUCGUAAAAAAUGAAAAAAAAAUUUAAAGGACAGGAUCGAACCCGGGUUAGUAUGACAUAAAUAUAGAGCAUAUACCGCUAAGCCAUUGAAACUUUCUUGAACACAUAUACAAGAAUCACUAAAUAUGUAAUCACAAACUCUUAUGUACAUUUACAAUAAUAUGGAUUCAACUUUCAAGACUUCGAUAUUUUGUUUUGUAAAAAAAAUAAGAAAGUGACUAAGCUAAUAUAUUCUUUGAAAGUGUGAGAACAUUGACAAAUAUGAAAAAGCAUAGAUUUUUGUUUUCGUGACAAAGUUAAGACUUUUGUAAAAGUAAGUUUACAUAAGCUUGCUUUCCCCGAUUCUAUAUACACAAGAUUCUAUAUACACAAAUAAAUAUAAUAUAACAACAUAAGCUUGCUUUCCCCGAUUCAUAUGAAAACUUUUUAAGUUAUCCACCAAAGCAAAUUAAUUAAAUCAAUCAAAUUGUUAGAAUACAACAAAUUAAUAUAUAAUUUUAUUUUAAAUUAAAUUAUUUAAAAGUGUAUUUUCAUUAAAAAUAAAAUAAUAAAAAAGUAAAACUGAUUUGAUGGUAAUUUUUAUGACAUAUAUAUAUAUAUAUUGUGAAAGAAAUAUAAGCUUAAUAUGGAAAAAAAUCUUAAAUACAAAAAAUCCUAAAAUUAACAAAAAAAACUAAUAAAAAUUAAACUAUGAUAUCAAUUGAAAGCUUCUUAGACAAUAUUAAUAAAAUAUUUAAACGAUAAUUAGACAAAUUUAAUUUUUUUUGCCAGCCAAAAGUGUAUUAUUAAUUAGCAUCAGUUAUUUCAAGAUGUUUAAGAAAGGAUGGACUUAAAUGAUAUAUGAACUAUGAAUAGUAGUACUUUGUAAAGCUGACUUAGAUAACACAUCUGCACAUCAUUUCCAAUCCUUUUUGAUGCCUAAAUUCAAUUUCUUCAGAGCAGUUAUUCCACAAAGAGAUCGUAUGAGAUAUUGUUUUGAUAUUCAGAUUUGUUUCUUGACUGUUAAGAAGAUUGAUAACUGUAAAAUGUCUCAUUUGAAUAUGAUAUGUCUAUAACCGAGUCCCUACAUCAGACAAGUUUGUUUUAAAAGAAUAUAAUUUUAUUUUUCUUAUAUUAUAUAAUAAAUAUAUAUUAUUUACUGAUAAUAAAAAUAUAGUUAUUCAUCUAUCACAAAUAACUAUGCAAAUAUGUGAAUCAAGUACAACAAUCAAACAACAUAAUGAUUUCCACAAAGAAAAUUUAAAAAAUAUAUUUAUGUUAUGUAGUCUUAUUUUAUAUUCUUUAAAUAAUGUAAUACAGUAUUAUACAUUAUAUUUUUUUAGAAUUGAGAAAUACAUAUAAUAUCUUAUCCGCGCGUAGCGCGGUUAAAAAAUCUAGUCCCUGUAAUGAUUAGUCUAUGAUCGAUAUAAUCAUAUAGUCUCUGUAACAUAUACGAUUUUCCGCUCAAAUAUAGUAUAUACGCAUGUAUAGUAUCGUUCAUGAUCUUUGUGUGUCCACCACAGAAAAGUAUUACAUAUCAUUCUAUAUAAGAAAAACUAAAAUUAAUGCUCAUCAACGGAUGACACAACAUUAUUAAAACUUGUUCUUGGGGAUUUUGAUCUCUAAGAAAGAGUAACCGUCUUUGUUUGAGAUGAAAGCUUCGGAGUUUUUGAGGUCGGCAUCGCCGGGAAGCUCGAGACGGCGGACGUAGCCGUAUUCCCACCACCGGCCGCUUCUCCAAUCGCCGUUGGCCGCCGUUUUCCAUUGGCCGCUAAUCUCCAUCACUUUUCCAUUAACGUCCACAUACACCUGCACGUUAUUUUUCCCCACCACUAAUAUACAAGAGUAUCAAAAAAAUUUCUGAUCAGUUUUUCUUGAACCCUCUAGAAAAGGAUGACAUAAUAUAGUUAUUUGAUAUGGUUUCAUUUAUUUCCGUAUUUCUCAUUAGAUUAGUACGUAAAGUUGUACGAUUCGAUACACUUGAUUAAAAAGAUAUUGUAACUAAAAAGAAAACCAAUAUAUAGUAUAAGUGUUCUGUUUAUGUAUUAAUCAAAUAGUAUAUCUUUAGCUAAACGAAAACAAAUUCAAUUCAUUUUUUUUGGUUAUAAACUAACAUCCAAUUGAUUUUUUAUAUCAGUUUUUUUUUUCGGAUCAGAUACAUGUAUAAAACAAUAUAUAUAUAUAUAUAUAUAUGUCAUUUUCUCUUCAAAAACUAAAAAUAAAUAGAGAAUGGUAAGAAAAUAUAUACCGGGGAGGUCAGAUUUAAGGACAUAUGCUUGAUCGGUUUCAGACCAGUCGACUCUACACUGUCCUAAGCUCCUGAGGCUCCCCAGCAAAACAUCCGCCUCGAAUUCCCAUAAAGGAAACGCAUCUGACGGAUCAAAGUACUUUCCGAACAAAAACGGGCUGAAAAUAGAUCCCUCGCUGAACACAACCUUCUCCGAGCCUCCUCCGCUGCUCAAGAACCUCCGGAAAACGUCCUCGCCAAGCGGUACGCUCCACUUUCCCGGCGUCUUGUCGUCGGUGUUGAUCUCUAAUUUGAGGCUUCCACUACUCCUCGCCAUGAGAGAAAUCAAGAGAAAUAAAUUAGACGAAUAAAAAAGGAAUGUGAGUUUGUGUGUGAGAGAGUUUUGGAAUCAAGUUUUUGUUUUAUAGUAUGCGUUUUGACAUAGCUGAUAAAAAAAUGAUGCAAAAAGCUUACUAAAACGAAUUUGCAAGUAAGAGACGGAAUAGUAAAAUUUAUCGUGCAUAAUAAAAAGAGAUUAAUAUAUAUAUUUUUAUUUUAAAACAAAGAUUAUUUAUAUAUAAUUGAAGAAAAUACAUUGUUGGAGGCAGUAAAGAGAGUUUUUAAGAUUAAUUAAACAAUUGAGUUAUUCUCAUUUUGCAUUACGAAACUCAAAUGUGACUGGGUGUCCAUUCCCUCUUCUUGUAUCCGAUCCUGUUUGCAGUAAUACAGUGAUAGUUGUAUUAUUUUUUGUAGUAAACGUAGUUGUAUUAUUUGCAUGACUUGCUUUAUUCAUUAUAUGAUCUUUAUCAUGUGAAAAACUAUGAUGAUAUUAUCAGGUUUAACAUGUACAUGGCUAUUAACUAAAUGUGGUAUAUUUUUAAAAAUAGUAGGAAUAUCUUUAUUAUUUGACGUAUUUUUAUCGUUUUAUUUGUUUAUUAGAGUUAUUUUUUUGCCCUUUAGGUAUUGUUUAGUUAGCAAAUACAGAUCAAAAUAUUAGUUAAUAGUGAAGAGAUCAUGCAUGUUAUAUAACACACAAAAUAUCAAAAGAGGCAUCUUGUUGAUGAAAGGAAUGUUUAUGUGGAGGUAUAUUUGUGGCAUAGUUAAAUUAAUUUUACUUUGAUUGAAAUGAUAGGUCUAAAGUCAGAUUAAAGAAGACAAAUAUACCAUGAAAAUGGAAAAUAUUGGGGGCUUACAUUUAUUUGAUGAAUGAUGAUAAUAAGGGGAAAAAGUUGGGAUAUAUUCUCCUUUCGCUGUGACAAUACUUUAGCGUGGUUAAAGUAAGAAGCGAAUAUGUUCUCUUUGACGUAGAAAUUGCUCGAAGGGUCACAAAGAAAUGUGCAUUUGCUUUUAGCCAUACCAUUUUGAUUCUUCAUCUUAUACCGAAAGAUGAUAUAUCAUAUAUUUUUGUUUUAAAUUCGGAUGAAAUUAAGAACGAUGAAUCUUUUAGGUAAACAUUUAAUAAGAAUAUAUUUUAGAUUACAGGGUUUUGUAGGACGAUCGAUCAAUUGCUAAUGUCCACCAAAUUAGAACAGUUUGUCUCCAUGUGAAUCAUUGACAUUAGUAACUCAUGUAAGUAGGACAUCGCUCAAAAAAAUCAUUUCACUCAGCAUGUAGGGCUGAGAUAUUCUAGUGGCAUUCUUGAACCCAAACCGUUCAACUCCCAUUUGGUUUCUAUAGAUCUACCCAAGUCCACUGACCUUACCAUGAUUAAUCUAUGAGACAUCAAUUUGACAGGUCGAGACUAAGGGUUUCACGAGGAGAAUCAAGCUAGGAGCCGGGACUGAUGGUAGCCUAAGAGAGAUCGUGAUCCAAAGUUUGGAAUUUCCAUUGUUAACAAAACAAAAUUGCAAAAUAUAUAUGCGAAGUCAUUCAAUUUUUACGCGCGUAUUUGGAUUUCUCCAAUGGUAAGAGGAAAAAUAUAGUUUCUUCUCUAGUACUUUCUCCGUUUUUAAAAAAUCUAUAUUUUAGAAAAAACAAAUUGUUUUAAAAAAAUAUAUGUUUUACAUUUUCAAUGUAUAAACUAAUUGCAAAUUGUAAACUUUGUUUAUAAUGAUUUUAUUGAUUAAAAGUUGUAGAAAUAGUUGAUAACAAAAAAUAAUGCAUUGGUAAUUAAAAUAUGAUAUAUUUUUUUAAUAAAUACAAAAAAUCUAAAACACGUCUUUCUGAAACGGAAGAAGUAAUCCAUAACUGACUUUAACAAAACAAAAAUAUGGUUUUCCAAUUCAUCAUUCUUUAACAAUCUUUUAAGAAAAGUAAGAAACUAGAUGUGAAAGGAAUAUCGUAUAUAAGCCAUUGUUUCGAAAAGGGAAUAGUAAAUGCAAUAUAUCGAGAUUCGAUCGAGAGAAUUCAAGAUGAUCUUUUAUUUUAACACUGCUUUCCCAAAAAAGUUGACUAUGAGAGAUGGUCUAUAUAUGCAUCAUGCAUGCAUAUCUCUUCAUACCUUCGAAAAUGGUAGAAGAAACAUGGGGAUAAGUUGUUUGUCAUCAGAGUUUAGAGUUCAGUUACUUUUUAUUGAAUAUACAAAAUUUUAUCCAACCAAAAACACUUUUUAUAAUCAGAUGCUUCUAUUUUUGAUAAUUAAUCGGUACGUGCAUUAAUAUGAAGGUAGUCAUUGCAAGUUUCUUAGGUCAAAAAAGCUAUCUUUUUUUUUUGAAAGCUGGUUUUCAAAUUAAAAUCAAGAAAUCAAGAUAAAAACUAUCUUGCGGAGGCUUCGUGGUCAGUUCGUCGAUCCUCUGUCGUAAGUGUGAUUUCCAGUUCUAGUAGAGAUGAGAGCCUGUUCUAGAAGUUAUUGUCGACAAGUUUGGUUAGUCUUGUCAUCGGUAACUGUGUUUAACCAAAAUUUUAAUUGUUUUCCCCCGCAAAAUAUAAUAUAUUUCUUUCCAAUUUCCAGUUUUUAUAUAUUCUGUCUCCAAUCUAUUGUGAAAGGUUAGCCAAGUGGAAAACUGAAUAUUUUUGGAGUCGCAUAUAAAACAAGACCUCUUUAUUCUAUUAUUCUCUUUGUCAAUCCACUCACAUUAGAGCAUGUCCAUUGAAGGUAUUUUAGUGCCCAUUUGAGCAUGUCCAUUAAAGGUAUCUUAAUGGAUAUUUCAACUCAAAAACAAUUGUCAAAAAAAUUAUUUAGACGGUUCCUGAAGAUCCUAGAGGCGGUUCUAUAUAUAGACUGGAAACCGAAUGAACGAUGGUACAUAUAAGGGUAGUGCUCAAGCUUUCAAGCUAGACUCUCUUUUGAAAUUAGCAGAUGUGAAGGGAAGUAGGGAACUGAUGGGAAACAACUCUCCUCCAUUUCGUUGUUCAAGAGAUAAUUAGAACUGAAGGAAGGAGAGCUGCUCGUACUUUUUGGUGAAAAGUACAAGGCAGGGACUACUUUCAUCUGAAAGCAGAAAAAGAUGAAGGGUUGUGUUUCUUUGUGUUUGUACUCUAUUUCUUGGUAAUUUUAUAUAAGUCCUGCAAAAUAGUCAGAGAAGCACGAGGAAAACCACUGAGUAGAGAUGUCAAGAAAACAAGGUUUAACAGCCAUAGCUUCUUCUGAAUUUCAAGACAAUCCCCUUCAUUAGAUCCUAGACAGAAACUGUUUCCAGCUAUUACAAAGAGACGCAUGGACAUGGACCAGUCUAGCUCAGAUUAUAUUCAGACUAAAAAAAAAAGUAUAAUCUUGGGUUUUGUUACAUGUUACGACGUAAAUCCUCUGCGGUUUUGCUGAAAGCUUCAUCAGAGGAUCUUUUCUUCUGUUGGGAGUGGAAUGCUGCAGAGAUGUCAGUUCUUAGUAACUGAUGAUCAGAAUAUCAGAUGAAGCCUGAAGGAACAAUCACAAAAGAGGUUUUGAGGUGAAAAAAAAGCUAGUGACUCGUUCACUUCGCUAGUACUGACUUAUUAUUCAGCGUUAGUUUUAGGAAGAAUCAUUUUCAUUUCUUCUUCUAGAUUCUUUUAACAUUAUUAUUCAUGUUGAAGCAAUAAUCUUGUGUUCAUUUUAGUAUAAUACUUUCAUAAGUAUUAGGAUGGUUUAGUUAAAUUAAUUAAGUCCGGUUUAAUUUCCUUUUGCUUAACCGGUUCCCUAUAUAAGAACAUUUUGUACAGUUAAGUUCUUUGAGCUGAAUAACAAACUUUUUUUCAUCAUUCAUCUUCUUCAAUCUCUCUCGCUUGAUCUCGCUUCAUCUCUUCUUCAUUUCAUCGAUCAUCAGCUCCGAUCUCAAAGCUCAAGGUUUGAUAAUAAGUUCACACAAACUAAAAACUUAUUGUCCAAGCAAUAGAAAGAAACAAAGCCCUAAACAAAUAAUUAAGAAACCUGUGAUCUAGCCAAUACUUUCUUUAUUUGAUCUUAAAACCAAGCAGAUUUACAGAGUCAGAGAAACGUUGUCCUAUAUCUUGAGUUAAAGACCUAAUCUUCCUGUUUGUUUUGGAAAAUUUGGUCUGGCAAAGUAACAGGCCGAAUAUGAGCCUGAUUCUUUUUGCUGACAAGACCAGGCGACCCAAGUUGAAGACUUAAAUAAUCAGAAACAGUUUUCAGGCAAAGUAAAUCGGAUUGUUACAAACUUAGCAGGCCGAGUAUGAGCCUGAUUUUUUUUUGCUGAACUCGCAACUUGUGUACAUUGUGCGUAGAAAAAAGUUUCAAUUAAUUUUUGAUAAUUACCCUAAACAUAAUUUGAUAUACCAACUUCAAUACACACAAAUAAUUCAUAUAGUCAGUCAUAUGUGGCUGAGACAUUUCUUUAUAAUAUAUUGUUAAUCUUUUUGUGCAUCACCACUGAAAUAUGAAGUGUGAGUAUUCUACACGGUCUAAUGUCUAUAUUACUACGUUGACGAACAUACAAAUCAUAUAAAAAUACGUUGGAUAUACGAAAACAUCAUUAAAUAAAAGGAUAUGAAAAAAGGUUUCUAUAUAUAUAAAGAGUUUACGAUAAAUAGUAUGAUCGUCUAUUAUACGAACAGCCGAUUUUCACUAUCUCUCAUGGAUUAUGGUGGGGAUUAGAUCGGAGAUCUUCUUUAUAAAUAUAAAAAAAGGAAAGUAUUCACAUGUUUUUAGUUUUUAUUUCAGUAAUAUUUAUUAAUAAAAGUAAUAAUAGUAAGAAGAUAUCAAAGGUUGGGGCAGACCAGUCAGUGUGGUGUGGUCGAAUGAAGGUCUUGUUGGUUAGGGUUUAGAGCAAAUUGGGAAACCCCGAAGGACAAAUAUAUCAGUAUGCUUCGAAAUUCAAUUUCUAAUUUAAUGUCUUACCUUCGAACUCUCUCUCUCUCUCUCUUCAAUAUCUACUCUUUCAUAUAUCUACAACCUACAUUUUAAAUGCACGUUGAUCCUUGAGAUUUAAAAUUCUCAUAAUAAGCAAACCUUUUAUUGUCAUUUGCCAGUCCUGCUCCAUGUUGAAAACAUUAUGAUGUAAAGACUAGUUAAAAAUGUUGCUUCAGUACAAACCGGGAGUGAGUGUAAUCUUUCUGGUUUUGGUUUUAUAAUCUAAACACAUAAAUCUCAUGUCUCAUUCGGUUCAGAAGACCUUUUUUCUAGUUGCGUAUUUAAAUGUUAAUACUAAUUAUAGUGAUUUAACUCAUGUAGUGUAUUACUUUUUUUUAAAACUCAUGUAGUGUUUUACUAAACAGAGUAUAGUUUAUUGAUUACUAUCUUCCAAGAAUUGUCAGAAUGCUUCAUUUACCCUUCUGGUUAUUUAAGAGUAAAAUGACAGAUGCAAGCGGAAAGGAGUGAGUUGAAAUCAAUGUUCCUUUUUUCAAACGUAGUGACUACAUAGCUAUGCUGCUCCUGGAGAGUACCCUAUUAUUUGGUUGUCACUCAACAACAACAAUCUUUCAUCACUGCUAGGAUUAAACUUAUGUAAUAGUGAGGGACAACUACAUAGUUUUAGGCUUUUAGCCCGAGUAAGUUUCGGGCAUUAUAGUCUUAUAGAAUCUGAGAAUCGUUCGUAGUCCACAUUUAAAGAUUCAUCAAAUAUUACAAUUUGUUUAUUUUGUACCUUAGACGAUUAAUCCGUGGAAUCUCAGUCAAAAUCCUACAACUCAAAAUUUUAAUGUGAACCUGCCCAGUGCCAACACACAAUCUUAUUAAUUGACGUUCUUAUUAUUUACAGUAAUUAAAUUUUGGAAGUAUAAUAAAAACUAAAGAUUCUUUAUUGCAAACUGUAAGGUAGGAAGAUAGUGGAUGUAUCAUUUUGGAACCAAAAUUUAUUGCAAGUGAUUAGAGUAAAAGAGAUUUAGUUUAACUGGUAUCUAUUACAGUAACACUAGAAAUGAAUAAAAAGAAUAAAAUAGUAAAAUGAACAAUUUUAUUCUAUUAUACUCUUUAAAAAUGAAAAAAGAAUAUUUUUUUUAUUUUGUAUAAAUGAUGUAAUUUCUUUGGAAAGGUGAGAAGUUUAAUAUUUCUCUUUGUUCUUUAAUUACCAUUCAAAAUUAUGAAUACUAAUUCAUUAUGGAAGAAUUUUCAUGUUUACUACAUCGUCGUACUAUUAUUCCAGUUUAUCUUCAUUAAAGAGACAUUUCGAAAAAUAUCUUCUUUAUUAAGAGGCAAAAUAUUUUUAUACUCUUGGUCUAUAAUAUAUACAAUAAAUAAUCAUUUAAAUAAAUAAUUUUUUUUAUAUUUUCGAAUUAUACUUUUUCAAAUUAGAUUUAUUUAAUUUAAUUUUUGAAAUUAGUAAAUUCUUUUUGAAAAGAUUUUUUAAAAACUUUCUAAGUAUUUAUUUAUAUAUUUAUUAGAAUUCUAAACUCCACAUUCCAAAAAUCCUACCCCACCCCUCAACUCUAAACUCUAAGUAUAAAUUAGUUAACCAUAGGGUUGUAAGUGUUUUUUUUUCUCUUUAAAAGUGAAUGUAAAAAUGGUUAAGGUAAACAUGAAAAAUAUUAUUAAAAAUGUGGUAUUUUUGGCAAUUCUCUUUCAUUAUAUUAUGUUAACGAAAAGUAUUUUACACAUAUAUAAAUUUUAAUUAGUUUAAUAUUUUAUCUUUUUCUAAUAAAAUUUAACUUAUAUUUUAUAUUUGGAUAUACAUUUUAUUUAAAAAUAAAUAUACUGAUUAAAAUUUACAACAUCAAAGUUUUAAAUACAAAAUAAAACAUUUAAUCAUUUAAUUUCAGAGAGAGUUCAUGAAUUUUAAGUGCAUCGAAUCAAAGUUAUACUCCUUUGUAGAGUAAAAACUUUUUGUUACAAAAUAAGCAUUAUCUUAUAAUUUUAUAUUAAUUUUUUUUUCUUUUGCCUUUAGUUAAUUAAAAUACUAUACAAUUUUGAUAGUAAAUAAUGGUAAAACUGAAUAUUUAACUAUUUUAAUUUGUAUGAAAAAAAUUAACAUACAAGAAAAUUGAAAUGGAAAGAAUAUUACUUAAGAAAUGUAGAAUGCUCAUUUGGUGUAUAAUAUACUCAUUCUGUACUACAAAGAUAUACUUUUUAGUAUUUUCACACAUAUUAAGAAAACACAUUAAACUACUAUAAUAAAUAUAUCGUUUUCUGUAAUUUUUAAUUUUCAAUAACUUUUAACCAAAUAGUAAUUCAAUAAAGUUAAUUUUUUUUUUGAAGUUUACAAUUUUUUCAUAAAAAAUAUAAAAAUAUAUCUUUCUGAAACAAACUUUUUUUUCUGAAACAAUUUUUUUUUUUCUAAAAAAAUUUAUCAUUAAAAACGGAAGGAGUAUACAGUAAGAAAUAGCUAAACCAGUCAUGUUUAAGAAAUGUAUCCCUAUAAUAAUGAAAAAACCAUUUAACAAUUUAUAUUAAAAAUGAUUUUAAUUAUUAGAAAUAUUACGUAACUUUCAUUGUAUAUAAUAUAGUGGACAAUCCAUUAAUUAAAUGUUCACAAAUAACUGUUUUUCUUUCCGUAGUAAAAAUUACAUGAUUAUUUAAUGCAAUUUAAAAAUAUGAUAAUUAAUAAUACUGAAUAAUUUUUUUCUGUUAACAAUAAUAUUGAACAAUAAAUUUGAUAAAAAAAUUGUAUAUCAUCUAUCUUUUUGUUUAGUUGUAUAUUAUUAAAAUAAAUUAAACAUUCAUAUUACCCAUAUAAUAAAAUUUAUAUUUUUAAUAUAUCUUAAAUACUUUGAAUUUUGUUACUAAGAAAUAUAAUGAUCAGAAAAAUAUGAAUAUUUUAAUAUCAUUUAAUAAAAAUAUAGUAUAUAUCUAUAUAAUAUCAUUCAAGUAAUUAUAUACCAUAUAAAUAUUUUAUUUUUAAUAUUCAUAUCAUUUUGAAUUGAUAAAAAUUAAAAUACUUUUACAAUUUUAACUUGAUUAAAUCGUAAAAUUUCACAUAUCUUUAUUAUUCUUUUAAAAAAUAUUUAUUUAACAAUAUUUUAUAAAAUAUCAUAAUCUGCACAUUAUUACCUAGUAAAAUACUAUUUCACGAUCGUUAUCCACAUAGUGAGAAGAGAAGUCUUUUUUACUCGUAGAUUCGUAAAAUUGUAAAUGAAGGAAACAUUCUCUCGUGUUAUGUAUUUACAUAGGUGAGUUGAGACAUUAUAGACCUCUUUUAGAUUCAUAUGGACGUACAUGCCUACUAACAAAAUAAAUACAAAAUUUUAUUCUUACCUAUUACAUUUUAUUGUUUUUAUUACUCUCAUUUAAUUGACUUAAGUAAUAAAGACACUCUCAUUUAAUAAAAACAACUGUAGUGUCUUCAUAAAAGACGAAGAAAACAUAUUUACUUGCAUAUUUUGCAUCUUCUUCCUUAUUUAUUCUAUUAAAUAAAAAUAUCACUUCCAAAAAAAUACAAAACUAAAAAUCUCAGAACAAGAUAGAGAGAAAGAGAGAGAAAGGGAGAUUACAACCACAAUGGACGAUUCAAACACAAGAAGCCAAACUAAGAAGACGAAGAAGCUUCAGAAAGACAAGAACAAGAACAAGAAGAACAACAUCCCUACUGUUUGGUUCUCUCUCAAGAAAUCUCUCCACUGCAAAUCCGAACCAUCCGACGUCCACGUCCCCAAAUCCACGAAACACCUCACCACAAUCUCCACCAAGCGCAUCUCCACCGCCAACUCCUCCCUACCCUCCGCCGGAUGCGGCGGCGGCUUAUCCGGAUGCUCGAGAUCGAUAGCGAAUCUCAAAGACGUGAUCCACGGGAGCAAACGCCACUUCGAGAAACCGCCGAUAAGCAGUCCUCGCUCCAUCGGAAGCAACGAGUUCCUCAACCCCAUAACCCACGAAGUCAUCCUCAGCAACUCCACCUGCGAGCUCAAAAUCACCGGCGUCGGAGACAUGGCUUCCCCCGCCGGAGCAACGGAAUCCGGCGGUGGCGGCGGAGGAAACGGACGGUCGACGACUUUUGUGGGGAUGCUGAGGCCGGGGACGCCGAUGCAUCAUCUGAACCACUCUGCUUCUCACCGGAGCCAUGCUUCGUCGACGGCGGCGAAAAAGGGCUCCUUUGCUUCGUCGGAGAGAGAGGUAAUAGGAGAAGGGUUUCACACAAAGAGGAGAGUUUCUUUGGAGAUGAACAGAGACUCCGCCGUUAACGGAGGCAAAUACUCUGUUUCUUGCCAUAAGUGUGGUGAACAGUUCAGCAAACUCGAAGCUGCAGAAGCUCAUCAUCUCUCUAAACACGCCGGUAAACUCGAAACUUUAACCAUUGGGAUUAUAUAAUUAAUGAAUAUAUUAUAAAGUUUUCACCUUUAUGAAGAUUUUGUCGCAUUUUUAUAAUAUACUCUCUCCUACUUCAUAAAAAAUCCAUGUUUAAAAAUUUUCAAAUUUUUUAAUAAAAUAUAUUAAAACUUAUCAAUAAAUACAUAUUUUUUUAUAAUUUUAUAUUUUCUAUAUUUUUAAACUAAUAAAAUUUUAAGAAAUGCAAUUAAUAUUUUUAAACUUUACUAUUUUUUAUUAUUAGUUGACAAAAAUUACAUUAGAAAUAUAAAAUAUGUAUAUUUUUGAAACAAAUUUUUUUCUCAUAUAAUAAAGUUUUGAACUUUAUGAACAUUUUCGCAUAUUAAUAUAAAGUAAUAAGCUUUGCUCAUAAUAUUACAGUGACGGAGCUCGUAGAAGGCGACUCGUCAAGGAAGAUAGUGGAGAUAAUCUGUAGAACGAGCUGGUUAAAGUCAGAGAACCAAUGCGGGAGAAUAGACCGUGUCCUAAAAGUACACAACAUGCAGAAGACACUAGCUCGGUUCGAGGAGUACAGAGAGACGGUGAAGAUCAGAGCGAGCAAGCUCCAGAAGAAGCAUCCGAGAUGUCUCGCCGACGGCAACGAGCUGCUCAGGUUCCACGGCACCACCGUCGCUUGCGGUUUAGGGAUAAACGGAACGACGAGUGUCUGCACGGCAGAAAAAUGCUGCGUCUGCCGGAUUAUACGGAACGGAUUCUCGGCUAAACGGGAGAAGAAUAACAAUGGGGUUGGUGUCUUCACGGCGUCCACGAGCGGGAGAGCGUUUGAGUCGGUUUUGAACAACGAGGGAGAUGUUGAUCGGACGGUGAGGAAAGUGUUGAUUGUGUGUAGGGUUGUGGCUGGGAGAGUUCAUCGACCGGUGGAGAAUGUGGAGGAGAUGAAUGGGUUGAUGAUGAGUGGGUUUGAUUCUUUGGCUGGAAAAGUUGGGUUGUAUACAAAUGUGGAGGAGCUUUAUUUGCUCAAUCCUAGAGCUUUGCUUCCUUGCUUUGUGGUAAUCUGCAAGUCUUAAAAAAUAUUUAGCAUUUUUGUUUUGGCAAAGAGAUCAAAAUGUUCUUAUUAUUUGUUUAUUAUUUCUAUCUUGUUCCGAAUUUGUUUUCAAGGUGAAUUUGGAAUUUGAGUUUUAUUUUUUAUUUUUUGGCUAGUUUAUGUAUGAGUUCUUAAUUAUUCUUACCUAGAGAGACAAAAAAAAGUAUUUUUGUUCAUAUUAUGUUAAGAUAAAUUUUUAUUGUAGCGUAUUAUACUGAUGUAAAAACCAGUGGUCAAGAGAGAGAUUGUGAAGUGUGUCAAGAGUGAGAAUUUAGUUUCACGGGUGGACUGUUGGUAAAAGUGCUACGAUAAAUGCCAACUUUUCAUUCAGUAAAACGUUGGUCGACGAGAAACCUUUUCAAAGAUUUGGAACACGAAUGUUGGCUUGUUUGGUUGAAUCAUGUUCAUUGUUCAAUAUGGAUUUAUGUUGUUUAAAGUAUUCUGAUAUUUUUUUAAUUUCUUAUCAUAUAUAUAUUUCAAUAAUAAAUAAGAUAUGAAAAUAGAACAUAAUCAUAUAUAGUACUCAGACGACCUAAAACACAAUUUGGCAUUUUUUAGCUUCAAAUUUGUUUGGAACCAUCCCCGUAUAGUCCUAGAUUACAUAUUUAUAUAAGAAAACAUGGCAUAUAAAAACAAAACUAACAUUAAUGAUAAUUAGACAUUUUGUUAAAACGAAUAAAAUGGUCCAUACUAAAUUACUCGAUAGUUUUCAUAAUGUCAGCGAGACAAAGCUUACGUCAAAGGUGUCGACAAAAUUCUAUCCCAUGCAAACAUUUAUUUGGAGCUUUUAUUAGUUCUAUCUGCAAAAGCCACCCUCUCAUCAAUAUAUAUCCGCCGAGAAAAGAAAAAUUGGAAUAUGUGAGCCCAAUAAUAAUCAAAAUUUCAAAUCUUGAAAUUUCGAAUUUUGAAAACAAAUAUACAUUUGAUUUUUCAGACAUAUUAUUUCAGGGCUCUGCAAAAAUAUUUGUGAUAUACAUUUUGUACUUAAAAGUUGUUUGUGGACAAAGCAAAAUUUGUUUAAGAGUGAGCAUAGUCUAGUGAAAAUGAAUCAUGGAUAUCUCAAAAUGUGGCUAUUUCGAUAUUUGAUUACGUAUGUGUAUACAUACACUGUAUGUUCAUUUUUCAUUUUUGAACUGACACAUAAUAAAUGUAUAUUUGAGAACGAAUGAGAAAUGACGAGGCCUGAAAUGGACAGUGUAUCUAUAUCAACCGCCGAAGUAACGGUGGGAUCAUACCACAUGACGUCUCAGAAAAUUGUAUUCUGUACAUACAUACCUUGUAAUUUAAUUAUCUCCACUCGACAACAAUCUAUGUCGUCAUUUUCGGAUCUUUUAUAUAAUGACGAGAACGCAUUAGUAAUCCCCUAAGUAUGUGAAAUAUACAAAAGCUAAAAGCGAGCUGAUUAAGGCUUAAAGACCAUGGUUUAGCCAUAUGAAACCGUUUGUAGAUUCUUUGUUCCCUGUAAAACGUUGAUUGUUAGAAACAUAUUUCGUAGCUUUAAGCUUUGUAAGUGAAGAAAGUGUUUAUCUGGUACGAUUUUUACACUUUUUAACUUAAAAGGGAUUCAAUAUAUCCAUCAAAUACAUAGGUCCAUUAGUCUACAAAUCAAAAGUGCAAUGAAGAAGAAAUAAGGGAGAGAUGCUAAGAUGCUGAGGCAGCUGCAACUUGGGAUGUUUCUUUAUCCUUAGCCUCCUUAAGUUGCUUCCAUUUCUCAAUGGUGUCGAUAAGUUCCCCAGUUUUGAUCAGAUACCUUACCUUCUGUCCAUCUUCAAGGACCUUGUGACCCACCCGGCUAACCACCUCCUUUUCUUUCGAAUACAGCAUCACAUUUGAGCUGUGAAUCGGUGCUUCAAUCUGGAAAACAUAAUGCAUUUUAGCACAAUCCUCAAUCAUCAAUCAUCAAUCAUCAAUCAUCAUCACUGCCAAAGGCAAAGUGAAGGGAGCUACACGAUGUGGUUUCUGUUUUGCAAAUUAUUUUAAGAGAGUCAUCAUGUAUGUCUCAUGGACUGACUGACCUUGAGAAUUUGGCCAGGCUCUCCCUCUUCACGGCUCUUCAUGUGUUUGGUCUUGAGGUUGACAUCUUUGAUGACGAUGGUGCUGUUGUGAGUAAAGAUCUUAGUGACUUCUCCAAUUUUGCCCUUGUCUCGUCCAGAUAUAACUUUGACCGUAUCACCAAACUUGACAUGCAUUUUGUGCAGAAUUGGAAGACUGUUUGGUUUGCAUUUCUUCCGUUCCCAACGCUUAAGCUGAAAGAAAGAAAAAGAAAAAAAAACACAUCAUAAUCCUGUUAAUGCCCUUAGGAAUCAAUCAAGAGAUGAAACUCAACAACAUUACCAAAAGAAUGAGGUAAAGGAUCUUGGUUACUAACCUUUGCGUAAACAAGACAUGGGUUCUGGGCGGGCUUGACCUGCAAUGAGUUACAAAAGAAAAGCAGAGUAAUUAAGGAACCAAACCCCACCCCAACUGCAAACACUUUGCCUAAAAAAACGCUAAACCAUUCUUCUGACUCAGUAUAAGUUCGUUCGAGCAACAAAACCAUAAUCAACCAAAAUGUACAUCACCAGGUGCUAAAUGCAUUCUUUAGAUUCCAAAAGGUUCACCAACCAAUCAAUCAAACGAGCACACAAAAAUAAGAGAUCCUAACUUAAAAGUUUUAGAUGCAUCGCCAAGCCAAGUAGAGAUAAACAGUUGUCUUUUGAGAAAAAAAUCAAAGUUAUAGAAUUUAAAGUGUUCAUAACUUCAUCUCAGUUCAGUACUAACACAGAAAAAGACAAAGAGACAAUUCACAUUCUCCAAUCCAUUCUCCACUAAACAUAACUCAUAGCGCAGAAACACACAACAAAGUUUCAAUCUUUACUCCUUUUAGAGAAAAAAUUUAGAAUUGGCACCAAAAUUCACCAUACCAAAAGCUUAAUAAAUGAAACUAAUCAACAGGUCCAAUGAAAGAUAUCAAACCCGUUACAGGGCUAAAUGUUCGAGCUAAACGUGGCAAUGUCUUUGAUUAGAACGAGAAAUUCGAAAACGGGAGUUACCGGAGAAGCGGCGGAGAGGGAAAGCGGGGAAAGGAGACGCUGGCCGAGGAAGGAGGAGUUGGACUUGGAGGAUAGCGAAAGAGAUGUAAACGAGCUCUGAAGAGAAGUCAUCAUGGUCGCCAUUCUUUUCAGAGUAACUCCCGCUUGCUAAGUGGGGGGGCUAACACUUCAUGUCUCUGUUCGUCUCAAGGCGAUAAGACGAGGAUAACGAUUAUCUCUUUACUGUUAAACGACACCGUUUUAGUACCAUGAUUAACUUCACUGGUGGGUUUUUGGCUAAGGUUUGGGCUUAAAUAUUGUCUGCUUUGGUGUAAUACCCCAAACAUAUACUCCCUCCGUUUAUGAUGUUUUAGAAAUUUUUUGUUGUUUCGAAAUAGAUGAUGUUUUGAUUUUUUAUGUUAUUUUUAACUUUAUUGAAAACUGUGUAAUCAAUUAGAUGUUAUAGUCAUUUUUAUAAUUGGUCGGAUGAUUUUUAAAUUAUAUUUUUUAAACUAUUUUAAGAAUAACAUCAUCUAUUUUAUAGAAGUUCUGUAUUUUUUUUAACUUUUUUUUGAUAAUUCGGCGGACCGAAACCUAACUGACUAAUAUCAUGGAAUCUGUCCACCGAUACUAAAUAGAUCCGGUUAUUUGCAAUGAGAAUUAAAUAUCCAUAUCACUUUGACCACACAAGCGGACAGUGGCGGAUCCAGACUAAUUAUUUAACGGGAGCACAUAAUAAAUAUAUAUAUAUAUUAAAUAAUAUAAAUAAUUAAUAUAAAAUAAAUAACUAUCUAUUUAAAAAUGUCGUAAAUGAGUAAUCAUUAAAAAUUUAAUAUAGACUAUUAGCAAAUUUAAUUUUGUUCAACUCAGAACAGACUAUAUAAGAUUUUUUUUUACAAAUGUAUAAUCACAAUAACAUAUUGUCGCAGUUAAAAUUAACUUGAAUAUUUAUAAAAAAUAGUCUUCAAGUUUACACAUAUACAACAGUAUAUCGAUAUCACACACAACUUGUUUGUAGUCAUUAUAUCAUAAGGUCUAAACUCUAAAAUACUAAAUAAAAUGAGUGGAUUAAUUAGUUUUAUUUCUUUAUUAGCAAUUGCUAACUAGUAAAAUAAUGGACUUAAAAAUGCAAAUUUUAAGAUAAAAUAUAAACUAUAAUAGAAAGAAUGAUAAAAAAGACAAAUAAAGAAAAGAAAAGAUAUGCUAACAAGAAAAAAUAAUAAUAUUAACAAUAAAACAAAAGGUAGGAUAAUCUCACUAAUAUAUAAUAGCUUUACGGAAAUUGUAAAAGUGGAGAAGACAUUAACUAUACAGCAAGAGAUAAACCAGGAAAAAUAAAGGUGUUGGGCUCGAACCAUGUAAAUGCUGAAGUAACCGGACAUCUUUACCAAUCGUUCCAACAAAAUAAAUAGUCACCGAGCUACAAAAUAAUAUUUGAAAACUAGUCGGGGGCACGUGCCCCCGUUCAUGGUACUGUAGAUCCGCUCCUGCAAGCGGGUAAAUUUAAAUUUAGUAAACUUCUAACCUAGGGUGCUUAACACCAUUCCAAGCCCGUGGUAGCACUAUAUAGUAUAUAGUUAGGUUCCAUAUUACUAAGAUUUUGUUUUUAUUUUCUUUUCCUCGUUCAAUAUUUAUAAGUUGCAGAAUUUUUAGUUCCCAAGUGUUUUAUUUUUUCCAAUGGAAGACACUAUUACAUAUAUGGUUUUUUUUUGGAAGAACAAAAAAAUUGGAUUAAAAUGUAUCUAAAAACCAAACAUUUCAAAUAGUUGUGCUAAUUGCAACUAGAUUAUAAUUUUUGGAAUGAAAUGAUAUGGAACGGUUGAUCCGUUAAUUCUACAUUUUUAAACCAUUUACUCUAUAUUUUUUUUUACCUUUUAUUAUAUUGUGAAUAGAAUAAAAUCUUUAUUAAAUAAAAAUAAAUAAAUAAAAUACAAAGAAAAUGAUUUUAUAGCAAUUUGUUUAUGAAUAAAUAGAAUAAAUCUAUUCCAUUUUUGAUGUAUUCGGUAUUCCACUCCUAUUAUUCUAUUUUAUUUAACUACAUUAAUUCUAUAUUAGUUUACCAGUUACUGUUUACAGUGGUCUCCAUUAUCUAAAUGCUAAAUUUCUUUUACAACAAACCCCCUAAAAAUUAACAUAAAAUAAUUUUUCCAUUCACUAUUUUCAGUUACCAUCAACAUCCUCCUAACAAUACGUCUAUAAAUCAUCCUAAAACCCACCCUCCCAAAAAUAUAAAAAAAAAGCCAAUUACAAAGGUAAUAAAUUACAAUUUUCCUAUAAAAUAUCUUUUUUCUUUUUGUUUAAACAAACAACAAUGCAUCACUAGUCUUCAAGUGUACUGUCCAUGGAAUUAUCUCUCCUAUGAUUUUCCGAUAGUCCCGAUCUAUCUCCAGUCCGCUCAACACUAUACGCCACCGUAGGUGGAAGCAAGGGAGCCUUCUUCUGAUGUUUUCUGGCAUGUCUCACCUUAAUGACACGUGUCAAAACCUGCACAGCAUCCCUCAUGUUGGGGCGUUUCCUUGGGGCAUGAGAUAUGCAUUUAUAUGCAAAAGCCGCAACUUCAUUCACUUCUUGUAUAUCAAACCUCCCAUCUAAUCUCGAAUCCACAAUCUCUUCCCACCCAACCUUCUCCUCUGCAUUCAUAGCCGCCUAAAACAAAAACUUGUCUUAGUAAUGUUUUCUUCAAAGAAACAAAUGUGGAGUUGAGGAUCAUGUUGGUGCCUCUUUUACCAGUUCAACAUAUUCCAUUAGACCUUGUUGAGGGUUUCUUCCAGCUAUAAGCUCAAAAAGCAAAACCCCAAAUUUUAAUUCUUUUCUUUGUCUUGUUUUAUUUCCCUUUUCCCCCAUCACAAUAACAUAUAUAUAGAUUUAUACUAACUUAAUUUUAAAUUGAAUUUGAUAAAUUAAUCAUUAACUUUUUUUCAUGUUCUUUUGAAAUCCAUAUUGUCUGCCAUAUAUUAUUUCCUUCAUUAUAUAAUAGAUGACUUUAAAUAUUCUUAUAUGAUUUCCUUCAACAAAAAUGUUGCUAAAUACGGAAAAGGUAACAAAAUAUAUAAUAAAUGACGUAUAAUAUUCUUGAUACUGAAAUCUAAUACAAUCGGAAAAAUAUGCACCACACGAAACGAAACAUUUUGGCAGUCAAAAGAUUGGCGUACAAAGAGAAGUUUAAAAAAAAAAGUCUUACUUUAAUUGUAUUGAUUCAUUAAUAUCAUAAAGGAAAACGCAAUAAAUAGUAAAUAUCCGACCUAAAACUUGCCGUGGUGGGCAAGGCUACCCUCUGUACUAAUGGAAAGGUUUUAGGAGGAGAAGAUGGAAUAUUAUCAAUUCUCUUAGAGCUGUCUCAGUUUUUUUUUUCCUAAGAACAUUCAUGACUUGUUUCUUAGCCGGCUCUUGAGGCUCCGCCUUGUGAAACCUGCGUUGGUGAGAAGAUCAUCCUCUGUUUCUCUUCUUAUCUCUAACGGCUUCUCAACUACUUCCCUGCGGCAAACCCCUCCUUGUUCCGUCAUCGGCGCUAGACCUUGUGGAGACGAUCUCGGAGGACUCAUAGUUGCCUAUGCAGAUACACAUGCCUGGACUGAACUGGACAAAAUGGUACGUCUGGAGUUGGUGUGUAACAGUAUUAAUCAUGGAAAAACACUAACGAUCGGGGCUUCUCAUGGGUGGGUAGCUAGUUUGAAGGAAGAUGGAACCCUGUGUCUCCAAGAUGAUCUAAACCCGUAUGCAUCGUAUACAGAUCCUAAACGCAUCCCUCUGCCUCCUCUUGUGACUCUGCCACAUUGUCAAACCAAAAUCAUCACCAACGUGUCAAUGUCAUCAUCUUCUCCAGAUGACGAUGAGGACUGUGUCGUGGCUGUCAAGUUCUUGGGACCUCAACUCAGCUUUUGCAAACCAGCCGGGAAGAGUAGUAAACCAGAGUGGACCAACAUCAAGAUCGAGAACCCUUGCUUCUACUCCUCACGUGUCAUGUUUUCCAAAAAGGACAACAUGUUUCGUAUUCCCGGAUCUGGAGGCCACCUCAUCGGCUCAUUGGAUCUCUUCGAACCUAACGAUAAGCUCAAGUUGCAGUGCGUUGGAUUUGAAAACCUUCCUCCUAAGCUACCCACUCCCCUUAUGGAUUCAUGCUGCAUGAGCCAACACUUGGUGGAGUCAACAUCCACAGGUGAGACUUUCUUGGUUAAGCAGUAUAGGAAGACGGCCAAGAUCGUCGAAGGUGUUGCCCAAAUGAAAACACAAUUUUUAAUGGUGUUCAAGCUAGACGAUGAAGGAAACGCGGUCUACACUCGAGACAUGGGAGAUCUCACCAUGUUCCUCUCAAUGUCUGAACCUUUCUGUGUCCCUUCUACUUCCUUUCCUGGUUUGCUUCCUAACUACGUUUACAUCUUGGAUUUCGACGAAACCGCAAUGGUUAGUCUGGUGGAUGGUUUCCCCUUAGUCGCUACAAAUGGAAAAACGGAUGCUCCUUACUACAUUCCACCUCAAAAUAUAUUAGACUGAGUCUAAACUAUAUCCUCCAGCUUCUAUAUCUUCAUAAGUAGAUUGUACUGUUUCCUGUUUUAUGUAUGAAAUAUUUGUUUUAAACGCCGUGAAAAUUGUUAACCGUUCGGUGGUCUGUGGCCGUGGACAUUUAGCUCACAUCAAUUAUAUAAUUAGAGAUAAGAAAUUGAAUAUCGACUUGUAGUAUUUUAAGCUUAGAAAUGGAAAAUAAUUCAAAUUUUUCAUAACAAUGCUUAAACCAUGUAAAGAGUGAGUUAAACCCGAGUUUUGAUGAGGAUACAUUGAGUGGCUGCUACCAAAUGAUUUUGUCUAUAAUUAUAUGUAAAUUAUCUGAUUUUGUCCAUAAUUAUAUUAUUUAGCUUUUGUUUAUGAUAAAAAAAUGUUGUUAAAUUUAUUAUUAAUUAAAUAUAAUAUUUUGAUGAAUGUAAAUAUUACAAAUUUAAAUCUACAUUUUAUUUAUUUAAAAUACAAUUUUACAAAUUUAAACUACAUUUAUUUAUUUAAAAUAAAAUUUUACAAAUUCAUAAAAUUAAAAUAUGAAGUAAAUGAAAAUUGUGUCUGCGACAACCAAACAAACAAAACUAAAUCUAAUUUCUGCGGCUGCGGCUGCGUCAAUGUUUUGUGUCUUUGAAAUGAACAACAAACUGCGGUUGCGACUGCGGCUGCGUCUGUUCGUUUGGUUAUUGAUCGUUUUGCAAAAGGCUGCGGCAACCAAACGAGCAGCACUAUUAAAUCAGUCAUCUUUAGAACUGACUUCGUACAUCAUCAAACCAAUACAUUCAAUAUAUACCAGUUUUGUGUGGUUCAAUAUAUACAGAACUCGGACUUCAAAUUUUGAUAUGUUACUCCUGAACUUGGGAAACACAUUUUUGUGCAUGGUCAACACAUAUAUCAUCGUCCCUGCAACAAAUGACUAUUCAAUGAGCCUUGGAACGGUUUGUGGUGUUGUGGAAUGGUUUGAUGGCAAAUACAUAGAACAUCGCAAGACCCACCACAAUCUCCACCAAGCGCAUCUCCACCGCCAACUCCUCCCUACCCUCCGCCGGAUGCGGCGGCGGCUUAUCCGGAUGCUCGAGAUCGAUAGCGAAUCUCAAAGACGUGAUCCACGGGAGCAAACGCCACUUCGAGAAACCGCCGAUAAGCAGUCCUCGCUCCAUCGGAAGCAACGAGUUCCUCAACCCCAUAACCCACGAAGUCAUCCUCAGCAACUCCACCUGCGAGCUCAAAAUCACCGGCGUCGGAGACAUGGCUUCCCCCGCCGGAGCAACGGAAUCCGGCGGUGGCGGCGGAGGAAACGGACGGUCGACGACUUUUGUGGGGAUGCUGAGGCCGGGGACGCCGAUGCAUCAUCUGAACCACUCUGCUUCUCACCGGAGCCAUGCUUCGUCGACGGCGGCGAAAAAGGGCUCCUUUGCUUCGUCGGAGAGAGAGGUAAUAGGAGAAGGGUUUCACACAAAGAGGAGAGUUUCUUUGGAGAUGAACAGAGACUCCGCCGUUAACGGAGGCAAAUACUCUGUUUCUUGCCAUAAGUGUGGUGAACAGUUCAGCAAACUCGAAGCUGCAGAAGCUCAUCAUCUCUCUAAACACGCCGGUAAACUCGAAACUUUAACCAUUGGGAUUAUAUAAUUAAUGAAUAUAUUAUAAAGUUUUCACCUUUAUGAAGAUUUUGUCGCAUUUUUAUAAUAUACUCUCUCCUACUUCAUAAAAAAUCCAUGUUUAAAAAUUUUCAAAUUUUUUAAUAAAAUAUAUUAAAACUUAUCAAUAAAUACAUAUUUUUUUAUAAUUUUAUAUUUUCUAUAUUUUUAAACUAAUAAAAUUUUAAGAAAUGCAAUUAAUAUUUUUAAACUUUACUAUUUUUUAUUAUUAGUUGACAAAAAUUACAUUAGAAAUAUAAAAUAUGUAUAUUUUUGAAACAAAUUUUUUUCUCAUAUAAUAAAGUUUUGAACUUUAUGAACAUUUUCGCAUAUUAAUAUAAAGUAAUAAGCUUUGCUCAUAAUAUUACAGUGACGGAGCUCGUAGAAGGCGACUCGUCAAGGAAGAUAGUGGAGAUAAUCUGUAGAACGAGCUGGUUAAAGUCAGAGAACCAAUGCGGGAGAAUAGACCGUGUCCUAAAAGUACACAACAUGCAGAAGACACUAGCUCGGUUCGAGGAGUACAGAGAGACGGUGAAGAUCAGAGCGAGCAAGCUCCAGAAGAAGCAUCCGAGAUGUCUCGCCGACGGCAACGAGCUGCUCAGGUUCCACGGCACCACCGUGGCUUGCGGUUUGGGGAUAAACGGGUCGACGAGCCUCUGCACGGCGGAAAAGUGCUGCGUCUGCCGGAUCAUACGGAACGGGUUCUCGGCGAAGCGGGAGAAGAAUAACGGUGUUGGGGUUUUCACGGCGUCGACGAGCGGGAGAGCGUUUGAGUCGAUUUUGGUGGAGGAGGGAGAUGGGGAGAGGACGGUGACGGUGAGGAAGGUGUUGAUUGUGUGUAGGGUUAUAGCCGGGAGAGUUCAUAGGCCGGUGGAGAAUGUGGAGGAGGUGAAUGGGUUGAUGAUGAGUGGGUUUGAUUCUUUGGCUGGAAAAGUUGGGUUGUAUACAAAUGUGGAGGAGCUUUAUUUGCUCAAUCCUAGAGCUUUGCUUCCUUGCUUUGUGGUAAUCUGCAAGUCUUAAAAAAUAUUUAGCAUUUUUGUUUUGGCAGAAAGGUCAAAAUGUUCUUGUUAUUUGUUCAUAAUUUCAGUUUUUACCAUCUUGUUCCGAAUUUGUUUUCAAGGUGAAUUUGGAAUUUAAAUUUUUAAUUUUCGGCUAGUUUAUGUCUGAGUUCUUAAUUAUUCUUACCUAGAGAGACAAAAAUAUUUUGUUCAUAUUAUGUUAGAUAAAUUUGUAUUUUGGCGUAUAUUAUACUAACGUAAAAAGAUGUGGUAAGAGAUAGAUUGUAAAGUGUGUCAGAGUGAGAAUUUUAGUUUCACGGGUGGCCUGUUGGUAAAAGUGCUACUAUAAAUGCCAAGUUCAUUCAGUAAAAAGUUCUUACAAAAAUCGAUAAAUAAGAAAAAACUCAUCAACAAAUUAAACAAACAUGAUAAUUUUUUUUGGUCGACGGUAAACCUUUCAAAGAUUUGGAACAUGAACGUUUGCUUCAUUGCUUGUUUGGUUGAAUCGUGUUAAUUGUUCAAUAUGGAUUUAUGUUGUUUAAAGUGUUUUCAUAUUUUUUUUAACUUCUAUUAUAUACAUAUCAAUAAUACAUAAUAUAUGAUGUACAGUAGAACAUAUCAUAUAUGUAUAGUACUCAGACGACCCAAAGACAUUUGGUUUUCUUUAGCUUCAAAAUUUUGUUUGGAACCAUCCCCGUAUAGUCCUAGAUUACAUACAAAAUGAAUAUUUAUAUAAGAAAACAUGGCAUAUAAAAACAAAAAUAACAUUAAUGAUAAUUAGACAUUUUGCUAAAACGAAUAAAAUGGUCCAUACUAAAUUACUCGAUAGUUUUCAUAAUGUCAGCGAGACAAAGCUUACGUCAAAGGUGUCGACAAAAUUCUAUCCCAUGCAAACAUUUAUUUGGAGCUUUUAUUAGUUCUAUCUGCAAAAGCCACCCUCUCAUCAAUAUAUAUCCGCCGAGAAAAGAAAAAUCAGAAUAUGCGAGCCCAAUAAUAAUAAAAGUUUCAAAUCUUGAAAUUUCGAAUUUUGAAAACAAAUAUACAUUUUGUUUUUUUUUAGAUAUAUUAUUUCAGGGCUCUGCAAAAAUAUUUGUGAUAAUACAUUUUGUACUUAAAGUUGUUUGUGGACAAAGCAAAUUUUGUUUAAGAGGGAGCAUAGUCUAGUGAAAAUGAAUCAUAGAUAUCUCAAAAUGUGGCUAUUUCGAUAUUUGAUUACGUAUACAUACAAUGUAUGUUCAUUUUUCUUUUUUGAACUGACACAUAAUAAAUGUAUAUUUGAGAACGAAUGAGAAAUGACGAGGCCUGAAAUGGACAGUGUAUCUAUAUCAACCGCCGAAGUAACGGUGGGAUCAUACCACAUGCCGUCUCAGAAAAUUGUAUUCUAUACAAACCUUGUAAUUAAUUAUCUCCACUCGACAACAAUCUAUGUCGUCAUUUUCGGAUCUUUUAUAUAAUGACGAGAACGCAUUAGUAAUCCCCUAAAUAUGCGAAAUAUACAGAAGCUAAAAGCGAGCUGAUUAAGGCUUAAAGACCAUGGUUUAGCCACAUAUGAAAGCGUUUGUAGAUUCUUUGUUCCCUGUAAAAAGUUGAUUGUAAGAAACAUAUUUCGUAGCUUUGUAAGUGGAGAAAGUGUUUAUCUGGUACGAUUUUUACACUUUUAACUUAAAAUGGAUUUUCAAUAUAUCCAUCAUCAAAUACAUAGGUCCAUUAGUCUACAAAUCAAAAGUGCAAUGAAGAAGAAAUAAGGGAGAUGCUAAGAUGCUGAGCCAGCUGCAACUUGAGUUGUUUCUUUAUCCUUAGCCUCCUUAAGUUGCUUCCAUUUCUCAAUGGUGUCGAUAAGUUCCCCAGUUUUGAUCAGAUAUCUCACCUUCUGUCCAUCUUCGAGGACCUUGUGACCCACCCGGCUAACCACCUCCUUUUCUUUCGAAUACAGCAUCACAUUUGAGCUGUGAAUCGGUGCUUCAAUCUGGAAAACAUAAUGCAUUUUAGCACAAUCCUCAAUCAUCAUCACUGCCAAAGGCAAAGUGAAGGGAGCUACACGAUGUGGUUUCUGUUUUGCAAAUUAUUUUUAAGAGAGUCAUGUGAGUGGUGUCUGACCUUGAGAAUUUGGCCAGGCUCUCCCUCUUCACGGCUCUUCAUGUGUUUAGUCUUGAGGUUGACAUCUUUGAUGACAAUGGUGCUGUUGUGGGUAAAGAUCUUAGUGACUUCCCCAAUCUUACCCUUGUCUCGUCCAGAUAUAACUUUGACCGUAUCACCAAACUUGACAUGCAUUUUGUGCAGGAUUGGAAGACUGUUUGGUUUGCAUUUCUUCCGUUCCCAACGCUUAAGCUGAAAGAAAGAAAAAGAAAAAAAAACACAUCAUAAUCCUGUUAAUGCCCUUAGGAAUCAAUCAAGAGAUGAAACUCAACAACAUUACCAAAAGAAUGAGGUAAAGGAUCUUGGUUACUAACCUUUGCGUAAACAAGACAUGGGUUCUGGGCGGGCUUGACCUGCAAUGAGUUACAAAAGAAAAGCAGAGUAAUUAAGGAACCAAACCCCACCCCAACUGCAAACACUUUGCCUAAAAAAACGCUAAACCAUUCUUCUGACUCAGUAUAAGUUCGUUCGAGCAACAAAACCAUAAUCAACCAAAAUGUACAUCACCAGGUGCUAAAUGCAUUCUUUAGAUUCCAAAAGGUUCACCAACCAAUCAAUCAAACGAGCACACAAAAAUAAGAGAUCCUAACUUAAAAGUUUUAGAUGCAUCGCCAAGCCAAGUAGAGAUAAACAGUUGUCUUUUGAGAAAAAAAUCAAAGUUAUAGAAUUUAAAGUGUUCAUAACUUCAUCUCAGUUCAGUACUAACACAGAAAAAGACAAAGAGACAAUUCACAUUCUCCAAUCCAUUCUCCACUAAACAUAACUCAUAGCGCAGAAACACACAACAAAGUUUCAAUCUUUACUCCUUUUAGAGAAAAAAUUUAGAAUUGGCACCAAAAUUCACCAUACCAAAAGCUUAAUAAAUGAAACUAAUCAACAGGUCCAAUGAAAGAUAUCAAACCCGUUACAGGGCUAAAUGUUCGAGCUAAACGUGGCAAUGUCUUUGAUUAGAACGAGAAAUUCGAAAACGGGAGUUACCGGAGAAGCGGCGGAGAGGGAAAGCGGGGAAAGGAGACGCUGGCCGAGGAAGGAGGAGUUGGACUUGGAGGAUAGCGAAAGAGAUGUAAACGAGCUCUGAAGAGAAGUCAUCAUGGUCGCCAUUCUUUUCAGAGUAACUCCCGCUUGCUAAGUGGGGGGGCUAACACUUCAUGUCUCUGUUCGUCUCAAGGCGAUAAGACGAGGAUAACGAUUAUCUCUUUACUGUUAAACGACACCGUUUUAGUACCAUGAUUAACUUCACUGGUGGGUUUUUGGCUAAGGUUUGGGCUUAAAUAUUGUCUGCUUUGGUGUAAUACCCCAAACAUAUACUCCCUCCGUUUAUGAUGUUUUAGAAAUUUUUUGUUGUUUCGAAAUAGAUGAUGUUUUGAUUUUUUAUGUUAUUUUUAACUUUAUUGAAAACUGUGUAACCAAUUAGAUGUUAUAGUCAUUUUUAUAAUUGGUCGGAUGAUUUUUAAAUUAUAUUUUUUAAACUAUUUUAAGAAUAACAUCAUCUAUUUUAUAGAAGUUCUGUAUUUUUUUUAACUUUUUUUUGAUAAUUCGGCGGACCGAAACCUAACUGACUAAUAUCAUGGAAUCUGUCCACCGAUACUAAAUAGAUCCGGUUAUUUGCAAUGAGAAUUAAAUAUCCAUAUCACUUUGACCACACAAGCGGACAGUGGCGGAUCCAGACUAAUUAUUUAACGGGAGCACAUAAUAAAUAUAUAUAUAUAUUAAANNNNNNNNNNNNNNNNNNNNNNNNNNNNNNNNNNNNNNNNNNNNNNNNNNNNNNNNNNNNNNNNNNNNNNNNNNNNNNNNNNNNNNNNNNNNNNNNNNNNAAAACACAGAAAUUAAACAAGGUCUAUAAAAUAGUCAACUUAUAUAUAAUAGACUAAAUCAUUUCUAUAGCUCGUACAGUUCACAAGAACAUCUUGUACAGACUACUUGCUCUAAAAAAUGACUCACCAGAAACCAUAUGAUGUUACACGGAUGAAAUGCUCUCUCUCAUUUGCCCUGAAACUUAAAUCUUCGCUUCCUGCACUACGCUUUCUCAGUCUUCUGUUUAUUUUUUUCUGUUUUCAAACUUUUUUCUUGUUAAUGAGAGCAUUCGUAUGUGCUCUAAGCCUAUACUCGCUCUCAUAUUCUAUUGCUGAGCAAAAGUUUGUAAUACUCUUUUUUUUGUUGGUGUAAAUUUAACAUUUCAACAAAAAAAAAAGAUUUGUAAGAUAGUGUGCUAUGUGAAAUAGACAAACCAAACAACUUUUUACCAAUUUGCACCAUUAUAGUUGUUUUGUUGUCUUUCUCAUUUUUGAUCAUUAUUUGUUAGCUGUGGGAUAGGCUACACAAAACAUUAAAGAGGAACGUAAGGGAAUGAAUCAGAGAAAAAAAAUACGUAUACUUGUUUUCAGAUUAUGUACCAGUCUUCUCUUUUACUAUGGUUGUUAUAGAGAACGCUAUUUUGUUUUGUUUUGUUUGUAGUUUGAGAUUUUUUUUUUCUUGAUCUGUCUGUUUACAGGAUAAUGAUUCGUUGUCUUUUGUCUUCUUCCUUCUUCAAAUCUGUUUUUGUUAGAUGCAACGCACUGCAAGUAAUAUAAUAUAGAAAGAAUAGAUUUGUAAAUACCAGUUUUGUAGAUAUAUAGUUGAACAUACCUAUAGGUAUCCUUGUUGCUGUUAAAGCUUUGAAAUAAUAUGCUCAAGUGCCAUUUUUAACUUGAAAUAAACAAUUAAGAGAUUGUUAAUAGAAAAUAAGAAGAAACCAAUUUUUUUAAGUCCGUCGGGAAUCAUCCGGAAAUUCCUAAUGGUUUUCGACGGAUUUAAAUAAAUAUUUACUUUUAUAAAUUGCGUAGGAAAUUCACGACGAAUUCUCGAUAAAUUUAGGGUUUAGGGUAUAAAAAUAUGUAUAAAAUAGGUAAAAUCCUAUUCGUUAAAGAUCUCUGAAUUCUAUAAUAACAUUUAAAACUCCAUAUGAUAUAACAUAUCCUCAAUAUAUGAAUAUUACAAAAUUACAAAAAUUAAAUCAAAAGAAUCAACUUGAACGUUAACAUGUCAUAUACUUACAUUAAUUAUUUUGGGAACUCGUCCAUAGAACCAUAUGCUAUAUUACAGCGCACCUGAAACUCUCAUAAUCUCAAAUCAAUCCAAAAGUCCUUCUCUUCUACCUCAACUCCCACUACAAGAAAACAGCGGUAUUCUGACGGACGUUCUGACGGAAAAUGAAAUCCUCGGAAAAUCCCGAGGAAUUUCCGAGGAUAUUCCGAGGAAACACAAAAUUUGGUUUCCUCGGAAUUUCCUCGGAAUAUACCGACGGAAUUCCGAGGAAAUAUCAUUCCGUCGGAAUAUUCUUAUGGAAUACCGAGGAAAAUUGUAUUCCUCGGAAAAAACCGAUGAAUUCCGAGGAAAUAUUAUAGACGUUAGAGAGCCGUUGGGGGAUUUUAAAAAUUCCGAGGAAAUUCCGACGAACUAGCCGUUGGCAUCGGAAUUCCGUCGGAAUUUCCUCGGUCUGUCGGAAAGAUUUCAACUAUAAAUACAAGCACCCCUCUUCCUCUUCAUUCACUCCAUAUCUUCAUCCUCCCUCUCACUCUCUUUACACACGAAUUUGAUUCAUAAAAAACAUGUCUUCUUCAAAUUAUUUUCGUUCUUGGAUCGAUCGACCUCAUUUGGAUCUGAACACGAGAUUGCUUACGGAAGAAUACCAACGAGGUAUAACCGAAUUCAUGGGGUUAGUUCACCGACAACCGGAAGCAAAAACAGGUAUGUUAAGAUGUCCUUGUUCUAAUUGUAAAAAUAAAAAGGUUAUUAAAGAGUGGGAUGUUUGGACUCAUCUAUAUUUGAGUGGGUUUACACGAAGUUACAAAAUUUGGUAUCAUCAUGGGGAAACUGAUUAUGAACAUGGUAGUACUAGCGAACCUCAGCCAGCUGUUAGAUUAGAAGAACCAAUUAGAACAGAUGUAAAUUAUGGUGUAGGUACUGAGCAGAUGGUAAAUGAUCAUUUUAGAGGGGAAGAUUUACCCAAUGCCGAAGCUAGGAGAUUUUAUGAUAUGUUGGAUGCUUGAAAGCAACCAUUGUACGAAGGUUGCAGAGAUGGUCAUUCAGCUUUAUCAUCUGCUACAAGAUUGAUGGGCAUUAAGACGGAUUAUAAUUUGGCGGAAGACUGUGUGGAUGCGCUUGCUGAUUAUGUAAACGGUAUUCUACCCGAAGAUAAUGUAGCUCCUGGCUCAUACUACGAGGUUCAGAAUCUCGUAGCUGGUCUUGGUUUAUCGUAUCAGGUAAUAGAUAUAUGCAUAGACAACUGCAUGAUUUAUUGGAGGGCGGAUGAACAGCGGGUUUCAUGCAAAUUUUGUGGGAAGCCUCGUAGACAACUGCAUGAUUUAUUGGAGGACGGAUGAACAGCGGGUUUCAUGCAAAUUUUGUGGGAAGCCUCGUUAUAAAGAUACGAGUGGAAGAGUUCCAGUGCCAUAUAAAAGGAUGUGAUAUUUGCCUUUGACGGAAAUGUUGCAGAGGUUGUAUAUGUCUGAACGCACAGCGCAACCAAUAAGAUGGCACGCGGAGCACUCAACAGAUGGUGAGAUCAGACAUCCUUCAGAUGCAAAAGCGUGGAAGCAUUUCCAAUCAAAGUAUCCCGACUUUGCGUAUGAGAGAAGAAAUGUCUACCUUGGAUUAUGUACUGAUGGUUUCAGCCCGUUUGGCAAGAGUGGAAGACAGUAUUCUCUAUGGCCAGUCAUUCUUACACCAUACAACCUACCCCUAAACUUGUGCUUGCGACGAGAGUUUUUGUUUCUCUCGAUUCUCGUUCCCGGACCAGAGAAUCCUAAGAGAUCACUUGAUGUGUUUCUUCAGCCACUAAUAUAUGAGUUGCAACAACUAUGGGCUCAAGGUGCUGAAACAUACGAUGUUUCGUAUAAAGAAAACUUUCAAAUGCGGGCAGUACUAAUGUGGACAAUAAGUGAUUUUCCAGCAUAUGGUAUGUUAUCUGGAUGGACAACGCAUGGAAGGCUAUCAUGUCCAUAUUGUCAAGAUAACACUGAUGCUUUCCAACUAAAACACGGAAGGAAAACGUGUUGGUUUGACUGUCACAGGAGAUUUCUACCACCAGAUCAUCCAUAUCGUAGAAGUAGGAAUUUGUUUACGAAGAACAAUAGGGUGUUUGACAGUCCACCUCCGGAAAUUCGUGGGAAAGAUUUGAAGACACAACUUAGAGAUUUUGGUGCAGAAAGGACGCCAUACGUCGGUGGACAUGAGCGUUUUCCGGUAGAUGGUGUUGGAAACCUACAUAACUGGCACAAAAAAGUAUUUUCUGGAAUCUGCCAUACUAGGAGGAUCAUCUACUAAGGCAUAAUUUAGAUGUCAUGCAUAUUGAGAAGAACUUUUUUGACAAUCUCAUGAACACGAUCCUUAAUGUUCAAGGUAAAACAAAGGAUAAUUUGAAGUCAAGACUGGAUUUAGUCGAUAUAUGUGCUCGUUCAGAACUUCAUGUUGAUGAGAAUGGUAGGGCUCCUUUUCCCAUAUACCGACUUGAUGCAGCGGGAAAUGAUGCGUUCUUUGAUUGGAUUUCAAACGAUGUGGAAUUUCCAGACGGUUACGCAUCUAAUUUGCGUAACUGUAUCGACAGAAAUGAAGGAAAGUUUACUGGCUUGAAAAGCCACGAUUGCCAUGUAAUGAUGCAGCGCCUCCUUCCGUUUGCCUUCAAGGAACUAUUACCACGAAAUGUUCAUGAAGCAAUUGCAGGGAUAAGUGGUUUCUUCCGCGAUUUAUGCACGAGAUCAGUGACUCUUGAAGGUAUUGAAAAUUUGAAGACUAACAUAGCCGUGAUUCAGUGCAACCUUGAGAAGAUAUUUCCUCCCUCAUUUUUUGAUGUUAUGGAGCAUCUUGUUAUUCACCUGGUAAGAGAAUUGGAACUUGGUGGUCCUGUGCAGUAUAGAUGAAUGUAUCUGUAUGAGCGGUAUAUGUUCCAUUUGAAGAAGAUGGUGAAAAAUUUAAGUAGGGUGGAAGGUUCUAUAGUCGCACAGAUGAUCAAUGAAGAAACUUCAAAUUUUGCCGAGUACUACUUUCCAGCAGAAGUUCAGACCAAAAACAGAAGACCUGCUCGGCAUGAUGAUAGACGCGAACGGGCAACAUAUCAUUGGAAGGUUCCAGACAUUUUCACAGACGUUGGACGACUUAGCGGAAAACCAAAGGACCGUCGACUUACUGAUCAGGAGCGCAGUCAUUUGCAAACAUAUUUACUCACCAACUGCGAAGAUGUUCUUCAAUAUUAUAGGAUUUUCAUGGCAGAAAAGCGGUUCGAAUUUAGAUACGCCACAGAGGACGAACUAGAAGAAAUGAAGCAGAGAAUUUGGUGGAUGGAUGUUUACUUAUGUGAGUGCUGGUUUGGCCAGAGGUGAAACAUUUGACGAUUGGAUACGCGAGAUGGUCGUUGGACCAAACUUUGUUGUGAAGUCAUAUCCGAGAUUUUGUACUCGAGGAUAUGCAUUCACAACUCAGAAGAGGAGACGUUCGAGUACGACUUAUGAUGCUGGUGUUUGUUCUGCAUCAGGAGAUGAUGUAUACUACGGACACAUACAUGAGAUUUUGGAAAUCAAGUAUUUGGGCAUGGUUGGAUUGCGCUGUACUGUUUUCUAUUGUGAUUGGCACGACAACACUCCAGAUCGAGGUUUGAGAACAGAUGCAUUUGGUGUUACAUCAGUAAAUUCGAGACGGAAGCUGCAAUAUUAUGAUCAUUUCAUUCUUGCUUCUCAGGCCGAUCAGGUUUGUUAUAUCAAAUAUCCCCGGGUAAGGAACAGAGAUGAUUCAUGGGUUACUGUUACAAGACUCAACCCGAGAGGCCGAGUUCACGAAAGUUCUAAGCUGGAAGACCCACAACAACCAAGCACAUCCGGCAACUUAAGUGCAGCAGAAGAUUUAGGUGGAGUUGGCCUUGUAGUCGAUUUAACCGACUUCAGAGAGGAAGCCGCCGUUCACGUAGAGGAUGAACCAGUGAUUGGAGAGUUUCACCAAGAUCCAGAUUCAGAUUCAUCUGGUGAUGACGACUCGGAAACAGACUAGCGUCGACCUUUUUUUUUUAAAAAAAAAAAAAUAUAAAUACCGAGGAAAUUCCGAGGGCAGAUAGGUUUUCCUCGGAAUUUCCUCGGAAUAGAUCUUGUCGAUUUAGGGAUUUGAUUAUACAUUCCUUUUCCUCGGAAUCUCCUCGGAAUUUUCCGAGGAAAUUCCGACGAAGAUAAGGUUUUCCUCGGAAUUCCCUCGGAAAAUUCCGAGGAAAUUCCGAGGAACUUGGGGUUUUAAACCGAAAACAACUUUUUACGGAUUGAGUAACACGUAUAUAACCUUCAUUAAGUGUCUUAACCAGAUUAUGAUGUUUGGAACUAGGAACUUUGGUGUUUUACCCAAUAACAAACACUUUUACGAUUGCAUGAACGAAAACCACACAACAUAAGAGAAACACUUAUACACUUUAAUAAACGGUAAAGGGAAUACUUACAAUUAUUUUUGAAAUUUUGUUAUUUCAUGGUUUAUGAUCAUCUAUAAAAAGAAUCCUCAAUGGUAUGCAUUAUAAUUGUAUAAGAAAUGAAAUACGGCGAAAAUAAUCGAUGUUUUAAAACCCCAAACCCUGGUUCCUCAGAAUUUCCUCGGUAAUUACCGAGGGUAUUCCGAGGAANNNNNNNNNNNNNNNNNNNNNNNNNNNNNNNNNNNNNNNNNNNNNNNNNNNNNNNNNNNNNNNNNNNNNNNNNNNNNNNNNNNNNNNNNNNNNNNNNNNNNNNNNNNNNNNNNNNNNNNNNNNNNNNNNNNNNNNNNNNNNNNNNNNNNNNNNNNNNNNNNNNNNNNNNNNNNNNNNNNNNNNNNNNNNNNNNNNNNNNNNNNNNNNNNNNNNNNNNNNNNNNNNNNNNNNNNNNNNNNNNNNNNNNNNNNNNNNNNNNNNNNNNNNNNNNNNNNNNNNNNNNNNNUGGAAGGAGUUGUGUGCGCAUUGGGAUAAGGAAGAGACGAAAGAAACUUCUUCCACCAACUCCAACAACCGCAGGAGCGACCGUAAAGGGAAGGGCAUCUACAAGCAUAACUUGGGUGCUCAAUCUAUUGCCACUCUGGGGGAUCGCAUGGUAAGUUCAGCCGCUUUUUCUUCAAUUAUUUAAGUUUCAGAAUUUAUUUUUUGUGCAUUUUUUUCAAAUUUCUAAUGUUUGUUUAAUUUAUUUUUUUUCAAGGCGGAAGAAAAUGAGGGCGACCCGGUUGAUGAUCUCGCCCUAAUGAAAAGGGCGUAUACCAACAAGAAGACCGGCCAGAUUGAUGAUGGUCUUGUGAGGGACGUGGUCGACCUGGUCCAAACUCAGGUGUAUGACGAAGUGUCUCAGCUUCAAACCGAUGAUGACGAUUCGACGGCUUCGACCAACUUGUCCCGGGUUCGAAUCAACGAAAUCGUUGAAUUGGUAAGUUUUUUUUUUUUAAAGUUCAAUUUAAUUAUUUCUUGAUUUUUAUUUUAUCAUCAAUUUAUAUUAUCUAAAUUUGGUUAUUUAUAUUUCAGUCGGUUCCAAAGAAAAAGGGACGUUUGGUCGGUUUGGGUCGUCGCUCCCGGUCGGCUGCUCCUUCUUCUGCACCACCGGCAUAUGUUGAUCCAGAAGUUCUUACGGCUCAGCUGAAGGACAAGGAUGAUCGGAUAUCUGCGUUGGAGACCCAGAUGGCAGCUCAAUAGGCGGGCUAUGAGACCCAUAAGAGGCUGAACGAGCAGAUGAUGGAGAUGAUGAAGAGGAUGUACCCGAACGAGGUGUUCCCGAACAUUCCAGACCCGUAGUUUUUUUUUUACCAAAAACUCGGAAUCUUUUAUUUAACUUUGAAUAUUAUCUACUAUGUUUUAAUGUUUUAUGUUUUAUUCAAUUUUAAUUUUAAUUUUAAAUUUUCGAAUUUAAAUUUUAAAAAUUUUAAUUUUUUUAAAAAAAAAUUAAUUUUUUUUAAAAAUUAAUUUUUUCGAAAUUCCGAGGGAAAGCAUUUCCUCGGAAAUUUCCGAGGAACUUAUUUCCCUCGGAAUUUUCCGAGGGAAGAAGGUUCCUCGGAAUUUUCCGAGGGACUGAAAUUCCUCGGAAUUUUCCGAGGGAAGAAAGUUCCUCGGAAUUUUCCGAGGGACAGAAGUUCCUCAGAAUUUCCCGAUAAACAUUCCGAGGAAUAUUUCGUCGAAACUUCCGAGGAUUGGACCAUCGGAAUUCCAUCGAAAUAUUCCGAGGAAGGCGUCCCUCGGUAUAUUCCGAGGAACAUUCCGACGAACUUUGUGUCCUCGGAGUUUCCUCGGAAUUUUGUUUCCUCGGAAUUCCGUUGGAAAUUUCCGACGGAAUUCCGAGGAAAUAUGAAUUUCCGAGGAGAUAUUUCCAAGGACUUUUUUCGUCGGUAUGUCCUCGGAAUAGCGUUAUUCCGACGACAUAUCGACGAUUUUUUCCCUCAGUAUGCCGAUGUUUUCUUGUAGUGAUAUCACAAGAAAUUUUCUGUUUUCUUUGGUCUGAUAUAUAUAUAUAUAUUAUAUAUAACGUUUAGUGUAUAAAAAAUUAUGAAUACACGUGACGAUGUUUUUUUUUUUGCUAAAUUGUAAAUAUCAUAUAAAUGAAAAAAGAUUUUACAGAAGCAAGAUCUUAGUUUUGAAACAUCUUGGCAAAAAGAAAGAAAAAACAAGAUGAAACAACAACAUCCAACCUAUGGAUAACUUUAACACUUAUCGUAUCCACAACACCAUAAGUGAUCUGAAGUGCUUGUUCGACCUCCUAGAGGAAAUGAUAUUCCUCAUCUCCCUGUCUAAGGCCCUGAAGACAACAGAGUAAGGCUGAGAGAUAUUGUUAUGAACCAGGUUGUUCCUCUGCUUCCAAAGGUGAAAAAUGAGCGCUUGAGAGGCCAACUUCCUGAGGAGUAGCUUUCUCCUAGAGCGCGGUUCUCGGAUCCAAGCUAAGAGCUCCGCCCAGUUAGCAAAACUCCUUGCGGGAGAGCUGCAUCUAGGGAAGACUAGCGACCAUAUGUCAUUGGUGAACUGGCAGGAGAGAAACAGAUGGUCUCUCGAUUCAGGAUAAGAGGAACAGAAGGGGCAUGUAACUGGUAUCGCAAGCCCCCAGGAAGCCAGUCUCGCUCUUGUCGGCAACCUAUCGUAAUUGGCAACCCACAUAGUGAAGGCAUGCUUCGGAAUGGCCCCUUUAAACCAAACAAUAUCAUGCCAAGGUUGCGUCUCUUGUCGCGGUCUCAAAGCCUCCCAAGUAACCUGAGAAUUAAACACAUUCAAAGUGCAAUCAGCAACCCUCCAUUCAUAUAGAUCAGAGACAUGAUGAGCUAGGGGGAGAGAGAUGGUGGUUAAGUAAAUAUGUAAAUCCACUUCCUGUUGGGAUCUUGGGUUGGGUAAAGACCAGUUUGAAUUGGAGAUUGCAUCUGCCACCAAUGCGUUUUUCCUUACUCUCAGCGCUCGAGGACCAUUUUCACCAAUGUGCUUGAUCAGUUGGCCGAAAGGAGUCCAACAAUCAUACCAAAAACGCAAGGUUAAGCCGUUCCCCAGAACCCCCUUGCAGAAACGCAGAGCCAGAGGCCUGAGCUUUAAGAUUCUUUUCCAGGUCCAAGAGUCAGACUGAGACGGUUCUAUAGUCCAGAAAGAGUUUUCAGUUAAGUGGAUGCUCAUGUGCCAGUCAGCCCAGAGUGAAGGGGAGUUAGACAGUAGACGCCAGAUAAGCUUGAGACCGAGGACCUGAUUCCAGACGCGGAUGCUUCUGACUCCCAGCCCACCUUCUUCCUUAGGUAAGCACACAGUCGACCAAGCAAUUUUUGCAAUGCCCUUCUUCUCAGUAUUGCCAGACCACAGGAAGCGAGUACACAGAGCUUCAAUGCUCGAUAUACAACCGUUUGGUAACAUAAAGGCCGAGACCCAGAAGUUAAUUAAGCCAAAGAUUACUGUCUUGAGAAGCUGGAGUCGGCCCGCGAAGGAGAGUAGCUUAACAGACCAAGCUUGGAAACACCCGGUGAUUUUGGUCACAAGAAGGGCAUAUUCUGAAAUUUUCAACUUCCGACUCAUGAGAGGCAGUCCUAGAUAUCUGAUGGGGAGAUUACCAGAAGAGAAACCAUAUCUAGCAAUAGCAAUGGUUUCAUUCUGGUUAAGUCCCGCCGAGAAUAUCUCUGUUUUUGCUGCGUUCAUUUGGAGGCCAGACCAGGAGGCAAAAUCAUCCAAGCAUUCUGAUAUUCCAUGCAAACUGUUGCUGCUUCCAUCGAAGAAGAUCAUUACAUCAUCAGCAAACAUUAAGUGAGAAAUUUUAAGGUUCUCCGUUCUUGGAUGGUAGCCAAUGGUUCCGUCCUCGUAUCUAGAGAGCAGCAGUCUGGACAAACACUCCAUGGCCAUAACAAAUAGAUAGGGGGACAAGGGAUCACCUUGUCUAAUACCUCUAGUGCUCUGAAAGAACCCACCAGUUGCUCCAUUGAUUGAAACAGAGAAGGAUGCUGUAGAGAGGCAUUGAUAAAUAAGAUUAACAAACCUCUCAGGGACAGCCAGAGCCCUCAACGAAGCCAAAAUAAAGUCCCAUCUCACAGUGUCAAAUGCUUUCCGUAAGUCCACUUUAAGCAUACCUCUGGGAGUAACAGACUGAGUGUUGUAGCCAUUCACAAGAUCAGUUGCAAGUAGAACGUUCUCAGCCAGAAGACGACCAGGGAGAAAGGCAGAUUGUGCCUUGGAGAUUACCAACGGAAGGAUGUCUUUGAGUCUAGAUGCUAAGAGCUUAGCAAUCACUUUAUAGACAGUAUUAAGACAAGAGAUCGGUCUGAACUGGGAGGGAUGCGACGUGUUCGGGAUUUUAGGAAUUAACACCAGGUUUGCCGCGUUCCAUUGCUUGAGAAGAGAGCCGGAUCGAAAAAUUCUAGAAUUGCCUCAGUUACUUCCGGACCAAUAAUAGACCAUGUCGCUGUGAAAAACUCAGAAGAGUAGCCAUCCGGACCCCCUGUUUUGUUCUUGGGCAGGGAGAAGAAAGCUUCUCUGAUGUCUUCCUGUGAGAAAGCCUUCUCAAACUUGGCUGAUUGUUCCUCGGAGCACUUGAAGUCAAAGAGAAGGUCCAGGUCGCUCUGCUCAAAUAACGGAGGCGAAGUAGGACUUCCCAAGAUUUCAGAGAAGUAAUGAAUGCAUUCCGCUUGAAUGUCAGGUAGCGCAUCAAUACGGUCGCCAUUGUCAUUAACAAGGAAAUGAAUGUGAUUGAUUGCUUGUCUAGACGCCGCAUAUCUAUGAAACAGCCUGGAGUUACCAUCUCCAUAGGCCAGCCAGUUGAUCCUCGAACGUUGGAAGAAAAAGGCCGUCUCAGCGUUUGAUAACUCUUCCCAUUCUUGCCUCGCUUGGAUUUCUAACGCAGCAUGGGAGGAUGUGGGGCUGGCAAGCACAAGAUUCUGAGCAUUAACCAAGUUAUCAAGAGCAAGUGCUGUUCUUUUUUCAAUGCCAUAGUAGUUCAUCUUGCUAAAUUCCUUGAUACACUUCUUUAGUAACUUCAACUUGCGAGAGACCCUGAACAUAGCCGAACCAAUCACAUUUAUGGAGAACCAAGAGCAGCAAAUCAUGCCAAGAAAGUCCGGGUUCUGUAAGAUGAAGUUGUAGAAUCUGAAAGGCUUUUUGGUCUUCAGGGUGAGCGGGUCAAGAGCGAUGGAGAUAACAGCGUGAUCAGAAAAUUCGGGGCUACCAAAGUUCACAACAGAAGCAGGGAACUCAUAAUACCAAUUAUCAUUCACCAAUGCCCGAUCCAGCAUCUUUGCGAUGGGGUCGCUUUUGCGUUUGUUCCACCAGGUGAACGUGUUUCCUCUAUAGUUGAGAUCGUCAAUCUGAGCAGAGAGUAAGCACUGGUUAAAGUCCCGGAUCCUUUUGUCCAUGUUGAGAGAGGAUGGCUUAGAGUGUUCCUUUGGA